This 94040-nucleotide long non-coding RNA is filed under the name Citrus x clementina. RNAcentral's name for it is "Citrus clementina (C. clementina) long non-coding RNA (CCLE_LNC005612)". Lineage: Eukaryota; Viridiplantae; Streptophyta; Magnoliopsida; Sapindales; Rutaceae. The record is from RNAcentral.
UUGACUUCCCCAUUGAAAUCUGAAAGCUUCCACCUAAACAAAUCGUGGAAAGAGACUUCAGAAGCUGCGUGGCAUCCGCAUACAAAAUUUACAGUAAGAAACGAAAUUGAACAUGUUUAUCUAGAUUUGUCCCUUUAUCUUCCAUUGCAUUAAUGCUUGAAGCCUACCACUCAGUAAUUAAAAAUUUUCUUCCAUCGUGUCGAUUUCAUUUUAUGAAUAAUUAAUAUUAUUUUUAAACAAAUUAUUUAGCGCUAAUUAAUUCAAUCACAUAGUUGUAUACUAAACUAUGAUAAGUUUAAAGCCCGCUUCUCACCGUGCAAGUGAAACCGUAGAAAACAUAGCGCAUUAACACUUUUAUACCGUUCUGCUUAGUUUAUUCAAAUUCGUUAAUUGUAUCCUGGAAUUGGAGGAGCAAUGAGUAGUGACGAAGCUUCAAUUUUCUCAACUUUUCUGUUUUGUCUGUUGAUGUUUGUAUUCAUCACCAGUGAAAUUGAAGCAAGAAAACUUGAAGUACAAAUGUGUUCUUCCUCUUGUGGAGAUGUCAAAAACAUAAGCUACCCUUUUCGCCUCAAGGGCGAUCCAGCUGGAUGCGGCCAUCCGGAGUUAGAACUUUCUUGCGAGAGCAACAAAACCAUCUUAGAAUUCAAUUCUAGAAAGUACUAUGUGAAGAGAAUUUCCUAUGAUAAAUGUUCAAUCAGUGUUGUCGAUGUUAACUUAGCCUAUGGAAGCUGCAGCUUCCCAUCCACUUCUUUUUCCCGACAUUGUAUUAUUCGGAACAUUUUUAUGAGCUUAUUCAUUAUGCUAUUGAUUCAUACGCCUAUUUCGUGAAUUGCUCGAGUAAUAUUGUUGAUCGGGCGUUUACAAAAGUUCCAUGUUCCAGUGACAAUCAGUCGAUCGUUUAUGCUUAUGUUGGAUAUAAUAGCAUUGGCAUUAGCGGCACAGUAGCAGAUCUUCCAGAGUCAUGCGUCUUCAUUUCAAAGGUUCCUGUAGUACUUAAUAGGAAUGUGGACAAUCCUUCUUAUGAAGACAUCCGAAAAUUGCUGGAGUCGGGGUUCGAUCUUAGAUGGUCAGUUGAGUGCAGGAGCUGUGUUGCUGCUGGUGGAGUGUGCACUACCCAUUUUCGUUGCCUCGUCAUAGGCGAAAGCAACCUAAUUUCUGACUGUAAGCCCAUGCUUAUAUUUAUUUUUGCAUUCAAAUGCAAGGCUUUGUUUAUAUUUUUCAAUAUUGUACGUAAUAAAGAAUUUGUGAACUAUCUCUAAGACCAUACCGAUAUGACCCUUAAUUUCUGUUUCUCCUUCACUUUUGCAACAGUUUGCAUCUACAAUGCAGGAGUAGGGGCAAAAAUUAUUUGCUACCCAUAUUAUAUACGUAAGCAUAUCCUUAUAUAUCUUCUUCAUCAUGUGUUUUCGACGCUAAAAAAUGCGACGGCUUCAUAUAUUCUCUAAUCUUUUACUGUAUAAUUUUUUUCUUAAUCAUCUCUCUGAUUAGGUAUAAAGCUUAUUUAUUUUUUUUCCCCCUCUCUCCAAUUGCAGUUUACAGUAUAAUUUAUGUGAUAAGUUCUCCGUUAGGUAAAAUCUCCUCUCCAGGAUCCUCUUUUUAUUGCUUUGCUUACUACUAUUUACUUUCAAUAAACGUUUUCUUUACCAGGGUUUCCAGUUGAUGUUCUGAUAAUUGGUAGAUUUAUUCUUGCUCCAAUAGUCUUUCUCGUGUUCCUUAUCCACAAAUACAGAACGACAUUGCAAACAGUUGAUAAUGUGGAGAAAUUUCUGCACAACCAUCAAUCGUGGAUGCCUAAAAGGUACUCUUACCCGGAGAUAAUUGCCGUGACAAACCACUUCACUCAUAAAUUAGGCCAAGGUGGCUUUGGUUCAGUUUAUAAAGGACAACUUCAUACCGGUCGCUUGAUUGCUGUUAAGAUGCUGGAGAACUCCAAGUUCAGUGCGGAGGAAUUCAUCAACGAAGUUUCAACAAUAGGUAGAAUUCACCACGUUAAUGUGGUCCAGUUAUUGGGGUUCUGUUCUGAGGGAUCCAAACGUGCACUUGUGUACGAGUUUAUGCCUAAUGGAUCACUCGAUAGGCAUAUCUUUCCCAAGGAGAGUAGAGGCCAAUCUUUUAGUUGGGAGAAACUCCACGAAGUUGCUUUAGGAACUGCUCGUGGGAUCGAGUAUUUACACAACGGAUGUGAUGUCUGCAUUCUUCAUUUCGACAUUAAGCCUCACAACAUCCUGCUAGAUCAUAAUUUCAUCCCAAAGGUCUCAGACUUCGGCCUUGCAAAGUUUCAUCCCAAGGAAAAUGAUUUUGUGUCCAUCAGUGCCACAAGAGGAACCAUAGGAUACAUAGCACCUGAGCUGAUUUCAAGGAAUUUUGGAACUGUUUCUUGCAAGUCAGAUGUUUACGGUUUUGGGAUGGUGUUGUUGGAAAUGGCUGGAGGAAGAAGGAAUUCUAAUAUGAAUGCAACUCGUUCAAGCAAAGCUUAUUUCCCAUCUUGGGUAUAUGACCAAUUAAAUAAGGGAGGUGAUUUAGAGCUUCGGAAUGUGACUGAAAUCGAGUCCAUGAUUGCAAGGAAACUGUGUGUGCUUGGUUUAUGGUGUAUUCAGGUGAAGCCAGCUGAUCGCCCCUCCAUGACAAAAGUUUUGGAAAUGUUAGAAGGGAGUAUCGAAGAUUUGCAAAUGCCUCCGAAACCUUUCUUCUCUUCUUCUCGACAUAUCUCCGGAAGAGAGAUUGAAUCAGAUUCUUCAACAGAGUUGUUAGUGUCUGAAUCGAUUGAGGAAUGUUCUUUCAAUGAUAGUUUUGCUUAGUUUUGGCAAUGAUAUGUGUAAAAAAGAAAUAAAUUGUCCUCGUGCUACCAGAGCUUCUAUAACAUUAUGUUGAAUAUUCAUUGUUUGAUGUGAAUAUUCCAAUUUUGCUCAUAUCGACCAGAAUAUGAUGUAGGUUUGUCAAGUGAUCAUGUACAUUCAUCAACCUUUUGCAAUUACCAACAUGAUAUGCUUUGAACUCUCUAGAGUAUGCUUUGAACUCUCUUUAGAGUACAAUUACCAAAGUACAAUUACCAAAGUAUAUCGUAGACACCUAGCUAUCACCACACAUCCACUUUUACUUAAUAGAUAACAAUUUCAUCUCACAACAGUGGUGAAUUAAAAGACACAUAUAGCAAUUACCCGUUUUCAUGGUAAGCGGAGGGUAGCUGCUAGGAAUUACCCGUUUUCAAAAGAACAUUACUUACUGAUCUUAAAAACAUAAUUUUCUCAUUUCCUACCUACAAAUUACUUUCACAACUCUCACUAAAAUCUAUAUCACAAACAGCAAGUCCCAUCCUGUUCCUCCAUGCAUCUGAUAUUGGCAGAUACUGAAGUUGACUAGUCUCUUUGGGGCUACCAUUGACUUAGAAAAAGGAGAAAAGAAAGAAGGAAAGAACAGAAGAAAUUAAAAGAAACCCAUUUUCCUACCUUUUUCCAUGACAAAUUGACAGUCAAACUCUCCUCUCCCUUAUUACUCCAAAAGCAUAACUCAAACUCUGCUCUAACUCAAACUCCGCUCUCCCUCUCCCUCCAUGUCCCUCGUGAUGAGUUUAAUAAUCCUCUUCCUCUUCUUACCUUACACAUGUACAUUAGCCAAAGCUUCUGCAGAGGACAACAAGACAGAUAAAUAUGAAUUCUGUCAACCAACAAAUUGCAGUAAUAGGAUCCCAAGUAUCAGAUAUCCCUUCAGACUCAAAACUCAACCAACAUCUUGUGGCCUUGAAGGGUUUGAAUUGUCAUGCUUAAGUGACAAGACAAUCUGGCAUCUUCCUUCCUCUGGUGAUUAUUAUGUCCUUGAAAUUUCUUAUCUGGACCGCAGUAUUACCAUUACAGAUGUGAAUGAGACAGCAUGCCCGUUUCAAAGCCUUAUCUCUUUCAACCUCACAAACUCCAAAUUCUUUUUUCUUCACUCUAAUGAAAGUUACGCUUUAUAUAACUGCACUGAGAAGGUUUCCCCAGGAUGGACUUCAUAUGGACUAAUUGGACCGAUCAAUUGUCUUAGCAAUGAAAACAAUCUUGUCUAUAUCAUAGAUAGCGAAUAUUCAAUGGAGGAUAUGCCUCCAUACUGCAGAAAAUCUGGAACAGUUGAGAUUCCUGGUGGAUUACCUCUGCAGGAUAUUGCAACGACGGCGAGGGCAAGACCAGUAGUCUUAGGAUGGGAAGCUCUUGAUGGAUGCAACGACUGCGAAAAUUCAGGGAAUUAUUGUGGGUUCAACACUACAAGCAAUUCGACAAUCUGCGUUGCCGUAAAACACAAAAAACGUAAGUAACCAUAUCUUUUCUGAGUCACCUCUCUCUACAGUGCUUGAAAGUGAAAGCAUCGUCUCUAUUUAGUUAACAAUAAAAAUAAUAAGUUGAAUUUAUUAUCAUUGUUAUAUAUGCCGGAAAAUUUAUCAGAGCAGUGUAAAUGAAAAGAAAAAAUAAUAAUAAUUAGGCUUUGCAUUAUUUUUUCAAUUGUAAAAGUGUAAUUACAAUUGCUAGAAGUUAAAAAUUAAAGAAGCCAUCUAUAUUUCACUUUUGGUUAGAUUUAGUUGAAUUCCGAUGGUGAGUUUUUCAAAAAAUUAACAAUUUGAACUGAAUUGAAAAUCCAAUCAAUUUGGUUCGAUUUAGUUAGGCUUUUUUUUUUCCCUUUGACCUGUAAUUUCUUUUGCGUUUUUCUAGUUUUUUUGGCUUUUUAUUUUCUCUCAUAUAAAUCGAUGGAUUUUUUUUUAACCAAAAAAAAAAAGACUAACGAUUCAUUUUUUUGGUGGCAAAUAUAAUUUUACCUACCCCUAAUCUGUAUGGCGAAUAUCAUUGCUAUUAAAGGCUGCUUUCUGGUAUUAGUGCCAGUUGUAGAUUGGUUAAUAAAAUGUUGCUAGCCAUGCUGAUUUGACUGUUUGAAGAAAAAUUGAUACUACUCAGGACCAAAUAGAUAGUACUAAUUUUCUCUAUCUUGUCAAUUUAAUCUUUGAAUCUUUAUAUUACAAUUAAUUUUCGUAAAUGGUGAGAGAUUGAUUAAACUCACAAUGCCUGAUAAAAGUUUAACCUAUUAUAUUUUCUUGCGUACUCAAUGAAUACAAAUUAAGAAGAAUUAUUAUACUAAUACUUUUUCUCUAUGAUUAAGUUCAUGAUGGAAAAUUUAUUGAGAAAAAAAUUUGUUCAAUCAAGUAACCCUCAAUAUUCACAUGGAAUAAGAGAUGAGGGGAAAAAAAUCAUUUUGUGAAUGCAGAAAGGGGAAAAAAAAUACAUAAAGACAGAGAUUUCUAAUUGUGAUAAUUUUGGUGUUUUCAUUGUGUACUUCAGUUAAAGUUAAAAUUUUAAAAUUGAAGUGUGUAAGGUAAAAGAGUUCUACUUUGCAGUUUAAACAAUUUCAUCCUUUUGCAUAUUAUUAUUUUUUCAUUAUUUAGUUAAAUGAAAAAUUAAUUAUCUAUCCACCCAUGUGAAUAAUAUACCUAAUUAUAAUUUAAGUUAUGAAAAAAUACCUAUAUAUGAGAUGGUCACAUGAGAGGGACUUGUUAAAACCCAAUCAAAUGAUAUUAGAGUCUUUAUGCUACCAAGUUAAGCUUGCACGGGUCCAGACUUUUAGCAUCUCAUUUUAUUGUUUGAGUUAAUUUUUUAACUAACUUUUCUUAGUUAUAUCUAACGGAUGGUCCUGGCCCUUUAUCUAUAAGUCUAAUAUCCACAGGCACAAGCAUUGGAGGCAUCACCCUCUUUGCAUUAGUGAUAUUUCUCAUUUACAGAUCAAGAGAAUCUGAAAAAGAAAAAGAGACUCAACUGAAGGUGGAGAAGUUCCUCGAAAACUACAGGACCGUCAAUCCCACCAGAUAUGCUUACAAAGAACUGAAGAAAAUAACAAGCAGAUUUAAGCACAGGCUCGGUCAGGGAGGUUACGGAAGCGUGUUCCGAGGAAAACUCUUCAACGGAAUUCCAGUUGCUGUCAAGAUGUUGGAACAUUUAAAAGGAAAUGGACAAGAGUUCAUCAAUGAAGUGGCCACAAUUGGCAGGAUUCACCACUUCCACAUUGUUCGGCUUCUGGGAUUUUGCUCUGAAGGAAACAGGCGUGCUCUUAUUUACGAGUUUAUGCCCAAUGGAUCACUUGAGAAAUUCAUCUUCUCAAAGACAAAUAGCUCAAGUCAUCGUCAAUUGAGUUGGGACAAGCUGAGGAAGAUUGCAUUUGGCGUUGCCCGUGGAGUGGAGUACUUGCACCAAGGAUGCAACCAGAGGAUCCUGCACUUCGAUAUCAAGCCUCACAAUAUAUUAUUAGACCAUAAUUUUCAACCGAAGAUUUCAGAUUUUGGACUGGCUAAGUUGUGCUCAAAGGACAUAAGCAUUGUAUCUCUGACAGCUGCCAGAGGCACUUCUGGCUACAUUGCCCCUGAACUUUUCUCCAGGAAUUUUGGUGAGAUCUCUUACAAGUCUGAUGUUUACAGUUACGGAAUGAUGCUGUUAGAGAUGGUCGGAUGCAGAAAAAAUAAUGAUCCUGCGGUUGAAAUUCAGAGCCAAAUAUAUUUUCCGGAGUGGAUUUACAAUAGAAUGAGGCAAGGACAAGAGCUCUGUUUGGAAUUUGAGGAAGAUGGGGAUGAGGGAAUUGCCAGAAAGCUUGCAAUUGUGGCACUUUGGUGCAUUCAAUGGAAUCCCACGGAGAGACCUUCCAUGCCAAUUGUAUUACAAAUGCUUGAAGCUGAUUUACAAAGCUUGGAGAUCCCUCCAAUGCCCUUUGUCUCUGCUGAUGUUGAGGCAGGUGCAAUCAAUUGAUCUAGAUAGCAGAAGAUUACAAUUAAAAAGGGAUAUUGUUAAUUUAUUUCAAAUUUUCUCCGAUUAUAAGCUAAAUUAUUUAGUCCUUGUUAUUGGAACGCUUGAAAACCACUAAAUUGAGUUUUUGUUUGACUGUGGUUGUUUUAUUUAUCGCUUAAAAUCUUUGAUGUGUUCGAGUGAUACAACAUUAAUACAACUAUGGAUGAAUUUUUUCAAUUUGUCAUAUUAGUUGAGGACCUACUAUUAUACUUCUAUUACCUACUUGAAAAUUGAGUUGAACAAAAUUUAUUAUUUUAAAAUAUAAAAAUAUUAAUAUUAUCUCUCACAUUCUUCUUGUAUUUAUAUAUGUUCUCGUAUCAUGCGCUCAACUAAAAUUUUAGGAAACUUUUAUUUUUUAUGGUGCUUUUUUUUUCCUUUAAAACCAAAAUAAAGUUGGGAUUCAUUUAUGUUUUAAUCAUAUGCUUGUUUCAAAAUUUUACUUUCUUACAAUUUUUUUACAAUUUUUUAAAAAUGUACUCUCAUAUUUGUUAAAUUUAAGAAUUAAAGUCCAUGAUAUUAUAUUCAUCUUUAAGUUUCUCAACAGCUACUUCGGAAGUGAAUCAGACUAGAAGGGAAAAAAUGAACAAAACAACGGAACAGUUCAUGGCUUUAUGCUUCUUUAUGGACUGCGGUUGCCUCCAAGAAUAGCCCAAGUCAUUAGUGGGCUUUUAAUUCUGCUGCUCUGAAAAGCCCAAAGCGUCCAUGAUAAAGCAGCUCACGGGAGCAGUCCCAAUUCUGAAUCUCUCUCAACUCCUCAAGCGGGGAUUCAAUUUGAAUGCCGCCAUUUGCCUCAUUUCACAAUACAGAUAUGCAUGCAUGGAGGAUAUAUAUACACUGGGCUUAGUUGUGUAUACAUAACUUAUAAAGUUAUAAUUAUAUUAUGAGUAUAAUUGUAUAUGUAUGUAUGUGUGUGUCUGUGUGUGUGUGUGUGUAUGAACAAAUAAAAUAACAAUCAAAUGAAAAUUAACAAGUAACACCUGGAAGAAGAUCAGUGGAUCACUACAGUUUUGAGGGCCAAAUGAAGCUGCACGUUGAUGAUAGAAUACAGAGAGCACAAUGAUUUAAAAUGCGUUUGCUUAAUGGCAUUUUAAUUUAUGCGCUCUCUAUCUUUUGUCAACAAAAUUUCAGAAAAUUAGGGCCCUCUACUUCAAUCAGAACAAAACAUGCACCAAAUAUUAAUAAGGAAAAAAAUCACCAAUCAAUACGCUUUUAUCUCCACAAUAAUAAAUAGCUGCUGAAUGGCCAUGGAAGCGUGCAUAUCCAUAGCAACACGACAUUAAAAUGCUUGAUAAAUUGUUUACAGUAGCAUGACUUUGUAUGCCAGAUAAAUGGUUGCAGGCUUAAACGCAUUAAUUUAUGAAGUGCUUCCCCCUUUUAGGCUGGAGAUAAAUCCAGUCUACAUUACUUUCCCUCCUUUUCUUGCUCGCCUUUUGCAAUAGAUAUGUUAUUAUAUUGUUUUUUUAGUACAUUUUCAAUGAGACUACUAUUCUUAUAUCGGCUGCCAAGUUAAACAUUUGAUCAAUAUUUAUUUUAUGGAUUUGAAUUCGACAUGACAGACAUUAAAAACAAGUGGCAUACAACAUGACCAAUUUUUACAUCAAUACAUACAUUAUACUAAUGCAGCUGUGACAUUUGAAAUAAGUGAUUAUUUCAUUAAAGCAAUUUAUGGCAGUGAUACAUACCACAUGAAACACAACAAAACCCGUUACAAUGUCACAAAAUUAAUACGAAAACAUUUGAUGGAGAGGAAAUCUAUGCAUACGAAAACAAAAUUAAAAUAUGUGUUUAUUUUAUCUUUUAACUUAUCCCUAACUUUAUUAAAAUCAGAGAUCCCUAAUUAAAAAAUACUAUAAUAUAUAUAUAUAUAUAUAUAUAUAUAUAGAGAAGGAAAUAGGAUCGAAGGAUGGAAGUGCUUACGAGAAAAACCAAUUAUUAAGAAGUCCGAUAUGAACAAUGCUUGGAAAAGAACGGCUUUGUCGGAUUUUAAAGUACUUUACCAAAUAUUGCUUAAGGCACUUUUAAAUUUAAAACGCGGUUAGUCAAAUUUUUAAAUUAUUUAAAGUACGUGACUUGUUUACCGACAGUGCAGAUCAGACUAACGCCCAUUCGGGUUCGUCUCUGAAAUUUAUGUCGUCGGAUUUCCGUCGAUAUACUCAAAUAAUUUUUCUUUACCAAAUAUUUAUUAGAUUCUUUAAGCAAGCCUAGCAACAAACAUACAUCUAAAAGUUAGGGUGCAUACACAGUACCAGAUCUGGAUCCCAGAAAUGGUGCUAUGAAGGAUUGGAGGGAGAAGAGAAAAAUUACAACUGAGGAUUGAGAUCUGGUCUUGUUGCCUCAGAGGAACGUAACAGUUGUAUGGCAGAUCUGAUACAGAUCAGUCUGCUAAAGAUGCUUUAAAUUGCGGAAAAUUAAAGUACAGAAAUUUAAACAUACAUGAAAAGCUUUAAAUAAAAUUUACAAAUGCUUUAAUGUAAAAUGAAAAUUGCUUACAUUGAUUGCUUUUCUUUGUAGCAAAGAAAGGGAAAUUAAUCUUGAAGGCAAGGAACUAUUCUGAAAUCAGAAAAAUUUCCUUGAGCCCUUCGGAUUCCUGAUUCCCAGAGAGAGAUAGAGAGAGAGAGAAGGAAAAGAAGAGAGAGAAGCUUUAAACUUGAAAAUGAAAAACCUGAGGAGUCUAAGUCUUCCUCCUGAUUUUUAUACAAAAUGAGUUUUAAACUGUAGACUAUAGCGGAGCUGUAGCGUACAGUAAUCUUUGGAAUUCUGUACUGUAGACUGUAGCGAAGCUGUAGCAUACAGUAAUCUUUGGAAUUCUCCACUGUAGACGGUUAGCGGAGUUGUAGCGAAAUACAUAAAUGAUACGGGUGAAGAGACAUGUGCGCUCUCACUUGUGUCCAGAGGACCACCCGGUGGUACAAAAUACCAAAAAAUACAGGGAAAAUACACGUAAUAAUUACUUUUUUUUUAACUUACAAACAUUAUUUACAAUGCUUUAGUGGAGAGAAAAUUCUGAAACAGUCGUCUUCAUUUUCAUCUCCAAGAGAAAUAAAUGGCUCUUCAUCUUCUUCAUCGUCUUCAGAGGUGUCUGCUACUGAGGACUUCGAUCUUGAGGUGAGGAGCUGCUCCAUAACUUUAAAAUAUUCAUCUUCAGUUUUGGCGCUGGCCAAAAGGGACUGGGCUUUAGAUUUCUGAGUAAGAAAGGUUUGUUGGGCUUUGGAGUCUUUAAUAGUUGGUGGUAGGAAGCCUUUUGAAUUAAGCCAAUUUUUUAUGAGGGUGUCAGUUAAUUUGGUUUGCUCAUCGAAUUUUGACCACCACUUCACUUUGAAAGUUCUUUAGAUAAUGAGGUGUUUUUCUUGGGUAUGAAAUUUGAAAUUCCACAUCCAUACCCAUGGGAGAAAGAAAUUUGUACAAAAAUAAAGAAAGGGGGAGAACCUUUUCUCUGAUUCGGAUGGGGUAUAAUGGGCUUUGAAAAGGUUUAGACAAUGAGUGGCAUUUGGGGUCAGGAUUUGUGGUGUUGGACCAAAAUAAUUUCACCACUGCUGAAACCAGUUUGGAAGACUUUGGACGGUUAUUUUUGAGUUGAAGAAAAAUAACCACGAAUGGGAUUUCUUUGGGUUUUGUAUAAAAAAUGUGUUUAACCAAGCUUGCUGGUAGUCCUAGUAGGAAUAGGUCAAGCAAUGAGGCAAACGCAUUUGGAAAUUUGGAGGGAAGGUUUUGAAUUUGUGGAGUUGGUCACCCCACUGGUUUGGGCUCAAAACUUUUAAGAUAGUGGCUGUGGAAUAAGCCGGUUCAGUGUGGGUUUCACUGAGAAAGAAAUGUUUGAAUUUUACAGACUCAGUGGCUUCUAAAAUGCUUUGGUAAUAAGGCUGGGGUUUUGUUAAAUCCCAUGGUUUAAAAAACCAGCCUUUAGGAAAAAACUUUGAAAUUGCUUGGAAAGGAUCAGUGUGGUAAAAACCAUCUUCCAUUGUUAAAAUGUUUUGAAAAUGGGUUUUAUCAUACCAAUCGGAAGUUUUCUUUGAAGAAGUUGGUUGUGAAAGAACAAUUUGGGAAGAUGAACUUUCACCAGAGAGAACAAUAUUUUGGCUUUGAGAGGAAGGUUUUGUAAGUUCUUUAGAAAUUGGUUUUUCUUCCUCAGGGAUUUGAGAAAGGGCUUUAGAUUUUGAAAUGCCUUGUAAGGCAAGCAUAAGUUCAGGAGACUUUGUAAUGGAUUCCAUCCAUUCUUUUACUUGUUGUUCAGAGGAGAUGGAUUUGUAUUGGGUUUCUUGUUCUUCCUCAACCAUUUCAAUCCAGGAUUUAAUGGGCAUGGCUGAAGAUAGUAAUUUAUCUUUAGAGGGAGUGGACUGAGGUUCUUUGGAGGUUGUUUGGGAGUCACAGUCUUUAAGAAUAGCUUUACCUUUGUCUCUGCGCUUUGGCAGCAUUAUCUGUUUUGGAGAAAUUCUCUAGUUAGAAAAUCAGGAAUAGAAUUUGUAUUACCUUUAAUAAACGCAAUAUCAAAAUCAAAAACACUUAAAAUAGCUUGCCAUCGUGCAAAAAUCUGUUUUGAUGCAAUGUUUUGAACAUUAUUUUCUAAAACAUGUUUUGCAGCUUUGCAAUCAAUUCUAAGUAAAAAUUUUUGAUUUAGUAGAUCACUUUGAAAUUUGGAAAUACACAAAACAAUAGAAAGAAUUUCUUUUUUGAUAGUGGAAUAAUUUUUCUAGCAUUCAUUCCAAUGUGCAGAAACAUAUUGUAUUAUCUGUUCUUUAUCAUUUUCUUUUUGCUUUAAUAUACCUCUAUAACCUAAAUCAGAUGCAUCAGUUUCAACAAUUUUAGGUAAUGCAGGAUUUGCAAGAUAUAAACAAGGGAUGCUUUUAACAGAAUUCUUUAUGAGCUUAACAACUUUGGUAUGUUCAUCAGUCCAGGCAACAGGAUUCUUUUUUAACCCAUCAUGCAAAGGUUUGGACAUCCUAUUGAUAUUAGGACAGAAAUCAAGAACAUAUUUUAGACUUCCUAGAAAUCUCUGUAAUUGAGUUUUAUCUAAGAUUUUAUCCGGGAACUUGUCUGCAAAGACAAGAGAACGCUCAAUAGGAGUAAUGGUUCCUUUGGAAAUAUGAUGACCAAGGAAUCUGAUUUUUGUUUGGAACAAAGAAACUUUGGAUUUGGAAAUGGCUAAUCCAGCUUUUCUAGUUGCCAAGUAAAAAGUCUUUAAAUGUUUGAAAUGCUGGUCAAUGGUUUGAGAGAAAAUUAAGACGUCAUCAAUAUAAACAAUACAAAAUUCAGAAUAAGGGUUGUAAAUAUCAUUCAUGAUUAUUUGAAAUUCAGAAGGUGCAUUUUUUAAACCAAAAGGCAUAACGGUCCAUUCGUACUGUCCAAAAGGAACAGUAAAAGCAGUUUUGUAACGGUCAUUGAUUAGUAUUAAAAAUUGUUUAAUUAUCAAGCGAUAACAUGUAUUUUAUGCUUAUGUUUUAAUUUAUAUUUGUGUUUAUGUAAUAUAUUAUGAAUUAUGAAUUAUGUUUUAAAUAUAUUUAAUUUUGUGUAUUUUUAUGUGUUUAUUAGGAAAAAUAUCAAUUUCACGUACUUCGAGGCUCUAAACAGAUAAACGGAGGCCAAAUUUGGAUUCCGGAGGUCCGAAAACCUUAAGAUCAGUCAAGAUCGGCUUAAAAUUGGGAUUGUGUAAAAAAAGUUGACUUUUCCUGUUGACCGAGCACUGAUUGGAUGAUGAAAUGAGCUUACAAUAGAUAUGAGUGCAUGGGAUAACUGGCAAUUUUGACUAAAUCUCAACCGUUCAUGAUUCAAUGGCCAUGAUUGUGCCACGUGGCAAUGGUUGAUGAAGCAAGUUGGAGGAUCCAAAUCUUUGUAUUCGGGUCGACCCGAUCCACCCAUUAACCCGCCAAAUCUCAACCGUUCUUUGGGCAAAUCGGACGAGUCAAACAAUGCCAUGUGUGAUGAUUGACUUUUGAAGUUUGACCAGCCGUUGGAUCUUGAUCUAAGGGAUGUGAGGAGCACAUGCAUGAAGCCUAUGAUGGACCGCAAAGCACUAGAUUAUGAAUUUAUUUUUCUAUAAAUAGGGCCUCAUUUUUAUGUUUUAAUCAUCUCUCUACAACUCUCUUCUUCUCAAAUUCUCUCCAUCUCCUUGUAAUCUUGAUUUCCAGGUGUGUUUUUAAUAUUUUGUAUAAUUAUUUUCAUUAAUAAAAUUAGUUUUAUUUCCAAUUUUAGUUGUUUUUAUUUCUUUUAAUUAUAAGUAAUUCAAUUUUACUACUUCUUUUUAUUUUAAUUAUGCUUAACUAAAUAAUAUUAGUUAGGGGAAGGUGAAACUCUUAGGAAAUAAAUAUGAUUUAAUCAAAUUCUAUUUUUAAUUUUAUAAAUUAAAUUAUUUUCUAUUUAAUUUUAUACAUGUUUUAUAUUUUAAAAUUUUGAUUUAUUGUAGACAAACAAAUGAAUUUGGCACAAUAAAUUCUUAAGAUCUUAAUAUAAGGCAUGGUGAAAUGGUAUUUUGACUUAUUGUAGACAAAUUAAAUUUUGGCACAAUAAAUACUUAAGCCAUCAUAAAAUUAAAGGGAAAAUAAUAAUAAUUUGUAUAAUUAAUCUUUUGGGUAAUAAAUCUAAAAAAUUGGCAAAAAGAAUUUAUUAAGUUUUAUUUAUUUCUAAGAGUGGAUCCAUAACCCUAACUAGUUCAAUUCCAUAGUUUCAUUUAAAUUAAGUUGUUUAUAUUCAAGUUUUAAUUUCAAUUUUUAGAUAAAAUAAAAUAAACUAAUUAAAUCUUUUCUCUGUGGAUCGACCUCGGACUCAUCGAGUUAUAAUACAACAAGACACUCUUAUACUUGGGAGUUAAAAAUUAAUUUUAAGUUGUGUCAGUCAUUAGGGUGGAUUUGAAUUUGCCAAAAACCAGAUUUCAUGUCAAAUUUUGAAAAUAUGAAAGCAGAAUGUAGUUUUUGAAGCAAAUUCUUUUUAUUAGGUAUUGGGUACCUAAUCCAUUUAAUGCCUUAUUAAGAGGUUUGUAAUUUAUGACCAGUCUUGGUAUUCCUCUUUCAAUUUAAGAAUUUUUGUUUACAUAAAAAACAGCACAAGACCAGGGGGAUCUUGAUUUUACAAUUAGUCCUUUAGUUUCUAAAUCUUUUAUUUCUUCUUUGCAAUGUUUUUCUAAUUCCAUGUUCAUUUGAAUUGGUCGGGCUUUGGUAGGAAUUUGUCUUUCAUCAAAAGAGCUUUCAUAAGGUAAAUCUACCAGAUGUUGUUUUCUGUUCCAGAAAGCAGAUGGUAAAUCAGCACAUAUUUCUUUUUCAAUAAGAUCUUUGAAAUUAGAGAUUUUUCUUUGUACAAAAUCAUUUUUUAAUUGAUUCUCAAUUCUUUUUAGGCUCAAAUCUUUUCGCAAAAACAUUAAAUCAUUCUGUCUUGAUCUAAGAAGAUUAUUGAUUUGAUUUUGAUAGACAGAACAAGCUUUGACAAUAUUCAAAUUCCUUAUUUUUGGCUUUUCAAUGAAUGGGAAAACAAAUUUUUUGUCUUUUGCUUUGAAAGAUAUACUAUCAUAAUUGACAGUAUAGGGGGUAAUAAGAUUUAUAAAAGGAGUUCCCAGAAUGACAGCAUGAUGUAUGUCGUUUGUGAGAACAAAAAAAGUUCUAAAUUCAAAACCAUUGUUAUGAAUUGAAGCUUCAACUUUAGAAUUGACUUUAAGUUUUGAAUUGUUGGCGGCAGAAAGCCUUUCUUUCGUUUUCUCAUGAAAUCUUUUGGGGACAAUGUCUUCUCUUAUGCAAUUUAAAUCGGCACCAGUGUUGAAAAGGGCAAUGGCGUCAAUUGCAAAAUCUUUAGAAAAAAUUAAAGUAAUUUUAAUCAAGUACUUUCUCAUAGUGAUUUGUUUUAAAACAAAUAGAAAAUCAUUUGAUACAGACUCAAUGUUUUCCAAAUUUUGGUCAAUAUUAUCGUCACCAUCAGGAUUAGAUUCAUUAUCUGAAUUAUCCUGUAAUUGCUUUUGUAAGAAGAGUUGAAUAGUAUCGGAGUCACUCUUUUGUUUCUCUUUUAAUUCUCUAAUCUCGGAUUUGAUUUCUUUAAUCUCUUUUUGAAGGUCUUGGAUGUUGGGGGCAGUUUUCUUUGUUUUCUUUUUAUCCAAAAUCUCAGUGAGGUCAUAAGUAUUCUUUUUAAUAAUAGGAACUUUAGAAAUUUCUGCUUUAUUCAAAUCCAGGGUUUUCAAAAGUUUAUCAAGAUACUCCUUUUGAAGAUUUGGAUCAGAAAUAUAUUUAACAAGUUCAAGAAAAGUUUCUUGGUCUUUAGUCAAAACAUUAAUUUUCUUUAAAAAAGAAUCUGAUUCAGAAUCACUACUGCUAGAUGCAGAGGUAUCUGAGUCAAUUAAUCCGUCGACUUGGAGGGGGUCACUAUCUCCCGACAUGGAAGACUUAGAGUCUGAAGACUCUAUAAAAAGAGAGGCAACUUUGGAAAGGGUUUCAUCAUCAAGGCCAAGCUCAUGAAGCUUUCGAUUCAUUCUGCAAUACUUUACAGUAUGGCUUUUGAUACCACACUUGUGGCAAAUGGUUUCUUUAUAGUUAAAAGGGGCUUUGUGUUUGGGUUUAAAAUCCUUUUUCUUAGAGAAGUUGGGCUUUUUAUGGGGCCUCAAGGGUUUCUUAUAAGAAGAUUCUCUAAAAUUCUGGAAUGACUUCCUUUAGCUUUUGGAUUUGUAAUAUUUCUUGUGAGGUCUGGUAGAGCACUCACCAUUACAAUCUUUGGAGACAGAAGUUUUAAAGGGGUCAUAAUUGAAUUGUUUACAGAAACUGCCUAAUUCUUGCUUAGACUUUCUAAGCUCCCAUUUUAGUCGUUUCUGUAAUUUCAAAUCUUGACAGAUCUUUAAACCUUCUUUGUUGACAAAACUGACUAACUCACCACAAGUGAGCUCAUCAUAAGGAAUACGGUUAUCGUGAAGAGCUUUUAUGGAGUUCCUAACCUUUUCUCCUAAAAGGGUAGGUAAUCCUGCAAGGAAUUUCUCUUUCCAAGUUAUAUGGUUUGCAUCAUCUCUGAGAAAGAGUCUGGUGAAGAAAGUGGUUUUGUAGGUUUGGAAUUCACUAAGUUUCCUACAUAUCAAAUUAUGUAGUCACUCAGCAUUUUUGUCUCUAAGGUAAAAAGGGUCACCUAUGAAAUGGAGGGAUAUGGUUAGAAUCAGGGUAGCUACAGCAUCUUGGAUGGGGUUAUUGAGUUCAUCAAGAAUGGGGGUUCCAAUCUCAUCAAACUGGAUGGAAUUCAAUAUAUCUAAUUGUUGUUGUUUAGUGAGAAGAUGAUCCCACCAACCUUUAAGUUGACCAGUAAAACCUGCAAUGAGGAUUUCUGCAAUGGCUUUGUCAGAAGUUCCUGACUGGGUUUUGCAGGCAUUAGCUGCCACGGUCAUCUGUUGCAGCAAUCCUAAGAUGUUGUAUUCAGACAUACCAUCAAUAUUCCACUCAUAGACAGAAGAUGCAUUAAAACGCGAUUGAUUUAAUGCACUAGGCCUGUUGUCUAUGGCCAAAUCAGGUGGAGACUUGACAGUAGGAAGGGCUAAAUCCCAAUGGAUUUUAUUAGCUUUUGGAACAGGUUCUUCUUUGAAGGCUUCUAUAUUAGAAGAGGCUAUAGACAUUUGGUCUUGUUCUAAUACUCUAAUCUUGCUAGAUUGAGGAGUAUCAGGAGCUAUUUGAACUUUGCUAGAUGAGGAAGAAGCAACUUCUAUCCUAUCUAGUUGUUCUCUAAUGGCUUUGGCAAAAUCUGAUUUUGACUCUUGAAUAAGCUUUUGACUAGUUUUCGAAACCUGAAAAGGUUUGAAAAUAGGCUCUUUAAGCUUCUUGUCAAAAUCUGAUUUUGAUGGAACAGGAGAAACAGAGGAAAUAGUAAUGGUUGACUUUUGGAAUUGGUUUUCUAUCCUAGUCAACUGUUUGCCAAUUGUAUUUAAGUUAGUAUUACAGAAAUUAUUCUGUUGGAUAAUACUACUUAAAUUAGCUUCAGAAUCAUUUGGUUUAGGGAUUUUGUAAGGUGAGGCUAUAAUUUGGAUAGAAGGUUCACCAUGGUCAACAUUUAAGCUCCGAAGAGGUGGAUGCUCAGAUUCUAUGGUUCUAUCACUAUCAGAAAGUUUCCACUCAGGAAUCUUCUUUCUAAUAGUAAAAGGGUUUGACUCUUUAAAAGGAUAACUUAUGUUGUUAUCAGAAGAAUAUAUCUCAAACCAAUCAAAAAACAAUAUAUGAAUUUGAUGAAAAUUUACAAACUCAUAAUAGAUUUGUUGGAUUUCUUUUUUUUGAUUUAAAAAAUGUUUAAAAAACCAAAGUCUUUUUCUUUAUUAUUCUCUGAAUAAAAAUCAUUAUGCAGAAGAGUUUUAUCCAAUUGAAAUUCUUUUGAAAUGACACCAAUUACAUUUUCUGUGACAGCAGAAAAUGUAGGAGAAGUUGGAGGAGAAGAUUUCUUCUCUUCCUGUCUUUGUUCGCGUUGACUACUAGUGUAAAUAGGGUGAGGAACACUAGUGGUAUAGUCAACCAAGCGAAUAGAGGAACUAGGUAUAUCUGAAGUUGAAAACCUAGGUUGACUUUUUACAGCUUGAAAAGGAAGAUUUAUAACUGAGGGGAUUUUUGUAAAUUUCUUUUCUAAUGAAGGAAUACUUGAGCAUGACUCUUUAUCAGAAAAUCUGGUUGAAUUAGAUCUCCUCAAAGACAGUUUGACUUUACCAUCAGAAUACUGAGUCACAUUUUGCAACUCUGUAUUUGGCUCAAGUUGUUUAGGAAUCGCAGGUGUAGUGGCUCCUUCAAGGAUCCAUUCUUCUGGAAGAUUAACAUCUUUCCAUUGAAUUGGUUUUGGAAUGACAGUAUUGGCUCUAGACAAAUCAGUCUGUAAGAGAAGAGUCUCAUCUCUUUUUUACUGGAAUUUAUGUUGCGUGCUAAAUGCAGAAAUCAUGGCUUUAUAAGAAAUUUUAAAUAUUAAUGCGACUGGGACAGAUCCCUCAAUCAUAUGAUAAUUGUGGGUUUUAAUUUGUAAAAUCAUGUUUUUUAAAAUAUUUUUGUCUUUAAGGGAAAUUGUUAUGUUUGGAUAACAAUAAAAAGAUAUAGGGCCUUUACAGAGACUUGAUUCAAUACUACUUAGUAAGGAAUCAUCAAAAGAGAUGAAUCGACCAUCUCUAAGGACAACAAAGAUAGAAGUAUUUAGUCCUUCUUUAGUCAAAGGUUUUAUUCCGACUUGGAUUAAACCGAUGUGGACAUAAUUAAAAUUCUUUUCUUUUAAUUUUUUUAAUGAAUGCUCAGAAAACAAUUGAAUUGUUUCAAAUGACUUUGAAAGAGUUAUGUCACGUUCUUCAGUCUUUAUAACAUAAUCAUUCUUUAAAAAAUCAAACUUUUUUGUUUUAUAAAUCUUUUCUUUAGAAAUUUUUGGAAGUUCCCAACAAUUAAUUGCUUUAUCAAAGUUCUCAAUAACAAAUUCUUCUGAGCUCACAACAUGCUUUGAAUCACUAGUCUUCCCAGAAGAAGAGCUAGAAAAGGACGAUGCUCUACAGAGUAGAGAAUCCAUGAGAAAAGAUCUUACGGUCUAUCUAUGGUUUUGGUCGUAUGGCUACAGGUAUAGUUUUACAGCCCUAAGCGGAAAUCCUUAUUCUAAGACGGGACUUACUACCAGUAAAAAUUCACCACACAAACAAAAUUCAAAAUAAAACGCAAGUCUUUAAACACAAACUCUAAACUAUAUUACACUAUCCUCCCCUUGGCUCUGAUACUAGAAGGAAAUAUAUAUAUAUAUAUAUAUAUAUAUAUAUAUAUUAUCAUGUGUGGAUUUUCGCAUCUUUUAAAAUAUGAAUUUACUAAUAUAUUGUAUAUUAGUUAUUUAAAAAAGUUAAUAAAAAUACUAAUGCACUAUAUGGCGUAUACGCACUAUCAGGCACACCUGACAUGUUUUAAUUAGUGGAGUUGUGGGGCCUACAACACAACUCCACCAAUAAAAACUUAUCAUGCAUUAUAUUACUCAACUCUGGGUACCUAAUCAUAAUUCUAAAUGUACAUAUCUUUCUUUAUUCAUAAUAAUAAUAACAAUAAUUACAACAGCAACCAUAAUUUUUAGAAACUUGUGACAUGACAUGAGAAGUCCUCAUUCUUCUGCAUGUUGGUCGCUUUAAAAGUGUUGGUCGUCGGGGCCUCUCCAAAUUUCCAAAGCCGCGUUUCUCCAAAUCCUGUCAGGGACAAAAAAACAAAAAAGGUGAGGUACGCCAUUGUGUUUGGUGGUGAGAAAUUAAGAAAGCGAAAGAUAUUAACUGGAAUUGGACUGCAUUGAAACUGUUUCCAAUAAGUUCCAUCGCUUUUAAUGUUGAAGAACGUUUACCAAGAAAUUUGAGGUCAAGCUAGGAUGGGGACGGAUCAUCCCAUUCCCACCGAUGCUAACUCAUUUACAAUUACCAGGAAAUUAAGCGACUUCUCCUUGCCGUAUGGACUUCCCCAUUGGAAUCUGAAAGCUUCCACCUAAACAAAUCGUGGAAAGAGACUCCAGAAGCUUCGUGGCAUCCGCAUAAAAAAUUUACAGUAAGAAACGAAAUUGAACAUGUUUAUCUAAAUUUGUCCCCAUUGCAGUAAUGCGACAAGCCUAGCACUCAGUAAUUAAAAAUUUUCUUCCAUCGUGUCCAUUUCAUUUUAUGAAUAAUUAAUAUUAUUUUUUAAACAAAUUAUUUAGUGCUAAUUAAUUCAAUCGCAUAGUUGUAUACUAAACUAUAAUAAGUUUAAAGCCCGCCUCUCACCGCGCAAGUGAAACUGUAGAAAACGUAGCGCAUGAACACUUUUAUACCGUUCUGCUUAGUUUAUUCAAAUUCGUUAAUUGUAUCCUGCAAUUGGAGGAGCAAUGAGUAGUGAAGAAGCUUCAAUUUUCUCAACUUUUCUGUUUUGUCUGUUGAUGUUUGUAUUCAGCACCAGUGAAAUUGAAGCAAGAAAACUUGAAGUACAAAUGUGUUCUUCUUCUUGUGGAGAUGUCAGAAACAUAAGCUACCCUUUUCGCCUCAAGGGCGAUCCAGCUAGAUGCGGUCAUCCGGAGUUAGAACUUUCUUGCGAGAACAACAAAACCAUCUUAGAAUUGUCCAAUUCUGCAAGGUACUAUGUAAAGCGAAUUUCCCAUGAUAAAUGUACAAUCAGUGUUGCCGAUGUUAACCUAGCCAAUGGAAGCUGCGGCCUCCCGUACAAAUCUUUUUCCCUAUCCCCUUACUUUUUCCGACAUAUUAACGAUUACAUUCUUAACUCAUACGCCCAUUACGUGAAUUGCUCAAGUAAUAUUGUUGAUCAGGCGUAUACGAAAGUUCCAUGUUUGAGUAACAAUCAGUCGAAUGUCUAUGUUUAUGUUGGACAUGUUGGAUAUGGUGUCACCAACGCCAGAAUAUCAGAUCUUCCAGACUCAUGCGUCUUCAUUUCAAAGNNNNNNNNNNNNNNNNNNNNNNNNNNNNNNNNNNNNNNNNNNNNNNNNNNNNNNNNNNNNNNNNNNNNNNNNNNNNNNNNNNNNNNNNNNNNNNNNNNNNCUGUAGUACUUAAUAGGAGUGUGGACAAUCCUUCUUAUGAAGACCUCCGAAAAUCGCUGGAGUCAGGGUUCGAUAUUAAACGGUUAGAUGAGUGCAGAGACAACUCAUUUACUGAGUGUAAGCCUAUGCUUAUGUUUAUUUAUGCCUUCAAAUGCAAGCGAUUUGUUUUUUGUUUCUCAAUAUUGUACGUAAUAAAGAAUUUGUGAACUAUAUCUAAGAGCAUACCGAUGUGACCCUUAAUUUCUGUUUCUUUUCACUUUUGCAACAGAUUGCAACUUCAGAUACAAUGAAGGAGUAGUGGCAAAAAUUAUUUGCUACCCAUGGUAUAUGCGUAAGCAUAUCCUUAUAUAUCUUUUUGAUCAUGUGUUUUCGACGUUAAUAAAUGCGAUGGGUUCAUAUAUUCUCUAUUCUUUUACUCUAUAUUUUUUUCUGAAUCAUCUCUCUGAUUAGGUAUAAAGCUUAUUUAAUUUUUCCCCCUUCUCUCCAAUUGCAGUUUACGGAGUAAUUUACCAAGCAAUCUUUUGGCCUUCCAUGGGAAAUGGGAGUUUUCUGUCAGGUAAAAUCUCCUCUCCAGGAUCCUCUUUUUAUUGCUUUGCUUACUACUAUUUACUUUCAAAUAUCAUUCUCCUUACCAGGGUUUCCACUUGAUGUUCCGAUAAUUGGUAGAUUUAUUCUUGCUCCAAUAGUCUUUCUCGUGUUCCUUAUCCAAAAAUAUAGAAAAUCAUUGGAGAGAGUCGAUAAUCUUGAGAAAUUUCUGCACAACCAGCAAUCGUGGAUGCCUAAAAGGUACUCUUACCCCGAGAUAAUUGCCAUGACAAACCACUUCACUCAUAAAUUAGGCCAAGGUGGCUUUGGUUCAGUUUAUAAAGGACAACUUCAUACUGGUGGCUUGAUUACUGUUAAGAUGCUGGCGAACUCCAAGUUCAGUGCGGAGGAAUUCAUCAAUGAAGUUUCAACAAUGGGUAGAAUUCACCACGUUAAUGUAGUCCAGCUAUUGGGGUUCUGUUCCGAGGGAUCCAAACAGGCACUUGUCUACGAGUAUAUGCCUAAUGGAUCACUCGAUAGGCAUAUCUUUCCCAAGGAGAGUAGAGGCCAAUCUUUUAGUUGGGAGAAACUCCACGAAGUUGAUUUAGGAACUGCUCGUGGGAUCAAGUAUUUACACAACGGAUGUGAUGUCUGCAUUCUUCAUUUCGACAUUAAGCCUUACAACAUCCUGCUAGAUCAUAAUUUCAUCCCAAAGGUCUCCGACUUCCGCCUUUCAAAGUUUCAUCUCAAGGAAAAUGAUUUUGUGUCCAUCAGUGCUGUUAAGAGGAACCAUAUGAUACAUAGCUCCUGAUCUGAUUUUAAGGAAUUUUGGAACUGUUUCUUGCCAAUCAGAUGUUUACGGUUUUGGUAUGGCGUUAUUGAAAAUGACUGUGUUUGGUGUAUAUACUUUUAUUAGACCUUCCAUUAUGAUCAGACAUCNNNNNNNNNNNNNNNNNNNNNNNNNNNNNNNNNNNNNNNNNNNNNNNNNNNNNNNNNNNNNNNNNNNNNNNNNNNNNNNNNNNNNNNNNNNNNNNNNNNNCUUCACGUGGCCACUGCGGGAGCCAGCCUCCUACUAAGAGCAUAAGGCCAUUCCUGCUAGAGGUUGAGGUAGGGAGACCUUGUCAAUGACGGUUGGUGAGACGUGCACUCCUACCCGAGAAUCGAUGCAUGAAAGUCCAUUCAGCCACAACCACAAUAAUGGAGUAUCCACUUUCGAGAGUUGGGGAGGUGAUAGACGUGGAUUAUAGGAAGGCCCGGAUUGAAGGGAAGCCUAUAAAAAGGUAACCAACGAAGGUAAAUGGUUAAAUUUUUUGAGAUUAAAAUUGAGAUAAAAAGAGCUUUCUAUUGAGAGAUCUUAAACGAGCCAUAAGAUUAGUGGCCGUAUUUCCUAGGAAGACGAAACCUAUGUUUCUGACUUGAGCGUCGGAGGGUUUACGCUGGGAAAACACCCGGCGUGCUCUAACCUGUUUCUACAUAUGCAAGAGUCCGUGGAGAGGAGGUCUUACGAGGAGAGAUCCUGGUCGUGGACGAGCAGAAAACCAGAAUCUCGCAUCAAUAUUUUGGCGCUGUCUGUGGGGAGCUGAUAAAAAAACUUCUAUUGAUAGAGAGAAGAAGAGGAAAUGUAGUGAGGAAACAAUAGAUGUAGGAGGAAGUAGUGCACAAGGAGGUGACUUGAGGCUUAACAAGUCCGUGACGUUGAAAGAGAUAGCCAAUGAAGUACGAGAAAAAACCAUGUAUGAGCGGAUAGAACGGAUGGAAAAACAGAUGGAGACCCUGACAACCAUCCUACACGAACUGAGGAGUGAACGAAGGGGAGUUCAUAAGGAAGGGGUGAGAAGUGGCGGAAUGACACCAGGGCACGAUAAUAUGAUGAGAGGUCGGACCACCAGAAGAUUUGGUGGUGAGGGGGGUAACUCAUCUCUGCGGGGGGAAAGGCAUAGAAGAGAAGAUCAAUCCCCAAGGAGACAGACCUUUGAUAAUGAUGACGGAGUGGCGAAUGCAAAGGAAAAAGAACUCCGGCAACACCUACAUGAUGUUGAGCAAGAGCGAGAUCAGGUUGCAGCAUGUGACCCUGGUCGUGCUGUACAACUGGAAGAAGAAGUGCACAGAUUAGCGUAGAUAAUAGAUGACAUGAAAGGACAAAGCAGGGCACCAGGUUGGAGGAUAAUGUUGGACGAAGAAUCCCCGCUCUCGGCAGAAAUCAUGAGGGCAGUCAUUUCGAGGGAUUUUCGCCUCCCAGACCUCAGAUAUUCGGGGCGAACCAAUCCGUUGGUGCACAUAGAGCGCUUUAAUGACAUAACUGAGGUGCAAGGAUUAUCCCAAGCUAAAAAAUGCGGGGUGUUCCCGCUAUCUGUAGAGGGACGAGAAGGUGAGUGGUACCAAAAACUUCCUCAAGGGAGCGUUAAAUCCUUCGAGCAGAUGUGCCACGAAUUUACAGAGCAGUUUCGUGGGGCAAUGGCACCAGAAUAUGAUAUGAUGGAGCUGGCGAGCAUGAAGCAGAGAGAGGAGGAAACCCUUCAGGAAUUCAUUAAAAGGUUCCAUAGCACUGUCCUCGAUUUGGGAGCCUUCAACCAUCCUCAGGCAUUAAGGGGAUUGAAAGAAGGGGUGAAAAUAAGACGGUUGUGGUAUAAUUUGAGGAGCCCAGCUGUUCAGACAUAUUCAGCCGCUUACGAGCAGGCUAAGAGGGACAUAUAGAUUGUGGAGGAAAAGGCAGCACGGAUUAAGACAGACCAGCUAGAAGGGUUGAGGAGGAAAGAAAAGAGAACCAUAUCAGGAAGUAGGCCGAUUAAGAGGAAAGACCACCAUGCCUCAGGCAGUGGUGCAGGAGGUCGGGUCACCUCUUACCAACCUCAUCAGAGGCCACUCCAAUAUCAGCGUAGUAGGGCACAACCUCCUCAUUCACCAGUCAGGGUUUCAUGGAGAAGGUAUGACCGGACAUAUAGUCAUCCUCAUCCACACCCACACGGUGGUAAAUGAAGCAGACCAGAAGCACUGCUACCCCCUCAAGUUCGGAAUAGCAAAAACAGGGAAAAGGCGGUACACAUGAUCGACCAGAGCCAAGACUAUGUGCGGUAUACUUCCUUGAAGAUACCCUUGGACGAGGUGUAUGAGGCCAUAAAGGAACGGAGAUUACUGUACCUCCCUACCCCAAUAACAAAGCUACCUAGCAGGAGAAAUAUGAGACGCUAUUGCAAGUUCCAUGGCACCCACGGUCAUACCACAACUGAAUGCAGAGAUCUCAAGACUCGGGUUGAAGAUUUGGUGAGAAAUCGAUAACUGGACGAGUUCGUAGAUGAGACCUUCUCGAUGGUGACCUCGUCAGGUGAAGGGGAGCAGAGUGACAGGAACAUGAGCCACGAGAAGCCUAUGGUAAGAGUAAUUGCUGGGGGCCCAACAUUGGCCGGAGAUUUUAAUAGAUCGAGGAAGAACUACGCUAAGUAUGCCAUGACUAACAAAGAAGUGUUCUUCAACACCCCAGCAGCCAAGCGAGCAAGAAUCAUGCAAGAUCCGAUCAUGUGGACAGAUGAUGAUGAAGAAUGGAUUCUAUAUCCACACGAGGAUGCCUUAAUCAUUAAAGACAUCGUUGCUAGCAAGAAGUUUGACUGAGUUCUGGUAGACAUGGGAAGCUCGGUCGAUGUUUUGUUCAAGUCAACUCUGGAGGAGAUGAGAAUAACAGACCUGAGGUUAGAGCAUAUCAAUACCUCACUGAAGGGAUUUAGAGGAGGAAAUCUGGUUCCUCUAGUCGUGGUCGAACUGCCCAUCACAAUUGGCAGCUCCCCGACAGAAAAGACUAUGAUACUGAAUUUUGUGGUGGUUGAUGAAGAGGGUCCUUACCAGAUUAUUCUAGGCUGCCCCUUUCUGAGGAUGAGCAAAGCGGUAUUUUUCAACCAUUAUCUAGCUCUCAAGUAUCGGGUGAAUGGGGUGGUUGGAGUGGUGAGAGGAGACCAGAGAAUUGCUCGAAGCUGUUACUCCACAACAGCAAGGGAAGCAAUGUAGAUUACAUCUCAUUCUUAAAAAUGCGGGUGCCACGUACCAGAGGUUGGUGAACAAAAUCUUUAAGCCGUUGAUUGGGAGAACAAUGGAGGUGUAUGUGGACGACAUGAUAACCAAAUCAAAAAUCCCGAAGGAACAUGUCGAGCACCUUGAGGAGACAUUUGGACUUUUGAGGAAGUACAAAAUGAAGCUCAACCCAGAGAAGUGUGCCUUUUGGGUCGAGUCAGGCAAAUUCCUUAGGUUCAUAGUGAGUCAUCGAGGGAUCGAGAUGAAUCCCGAGAAGAUCCAGACAAUCAUGCAGAUGAGAUCUCCUCGUAACCUGAAGGAGAUACAGAGCCUUACAGAGAGGUUGACAGCAUUGAGUCGGUUCAUAUCCAAGGCGACAGAUAAGUGCCAGACAUUCUUUCAAGUGAUAAGGAGAGGAAAGAAAACAGAAUGGACCCAUGAAUGCGAAGAAGUCUUCUAGAAUUUGAAGUAAUAUUUGCAGCAAACACCUUUGUUGUCCACGCCGCGGGAUAGGGACGUGCUGUUCCUAUAUAUGGCGGUAUCGGAUCAUGCCACGAGUUUUGUUCUAGUGAGAGAGGAAGAAGGGGUUCAAUAUCCAAUAUAUUACACGAGCAAGACCCUACUAGAUGCCGAGACCAGAUACCCGCCGUUAGAGAAAUGGGCACUUGUUCUUGUGGUUGCUGUUCGGAAGCUGAGGCUAUACUUUCAAGUAUUCCCCAUCUCAGUAAUUACAAACCCACCAUUACGACAGACUCUACACAAGCCGGAUACUUCUGGUUGCUAGUGAAAUAGGCCAUAGAGUUGAGUGAGUUCGACAUAAGUUAUAAACCUCGUGUAGCAGUAAAGGCCCAGACAAUGGCCGAUUUCGUGGCAGAAUUCGUAGAGCCCGAAGUAAAUUUCAACCAGUUGGAUGCUGCUACAGUCAACAACGAAGAUCGGGUAUGGCAGGUGUCAGUGGAUGGAUCCUCAGAGGAGCAGGGGAGGAAAUCUAUUAUGUUGUAAAGGUGGAGUUCACAGCCAUAAAUAACCAGGCAGAAUAUGAAGCUUUAAUAUCGGGUUAGGAAUUGGCCAAGGCAGUGAAAGCGGAUAGGGUAAAAAUCCGAACUGAUUCCCAACUGGUUGCAAAUCAUGUCAAUGAAAGAUUUCAACUGAGAGAUGGGAAGAUGGAACAAUACUUGAAGAAAGUCAAGCAGAUGAUUGGGAAGUUUGAGGCGGUUGAGGUGAUACAAAUCCCAAGGGGGGAGAACAGUUGAGCAAAUAUUUUGGCCAGGGUGGCAGUUGUAGCAGAUCUAAAAAUGCAUAAGUCGGUCCCUUUGGAGGUGAAGUCCAGUCCUAACAUCGAGUAGAAUUUGAAGGUGGUGCGAAUAGAACAGAAAUGCUCGUGGAUGGACCCGAUAAUCUCGUACAUCAGAGAUGAGGUAUUACCACCAGAUAAGCUACGAGCUCGGAAGAUCAGAGCUCAGGCAUUGAGGUACACAAUGAUUGAUGGGGUGCUAUAUCGGCGGAGAUAUAGUCUACCGUUCCUUCGGUGUUUAGAUGAGGACGACCCGGAUUAUGUACUGAGAGAAGUACAUGAUGGAGUUUGCGGAAACUAUUCUGGCGCGAGGUCCCUUGCCCACAAGGCUCUAAGGCAGAGAUAUUUCUGGCCGACGAUGCACCAGGAUGCGCAGGAGAAAACCAGGAGUUGUGUGAACUGCCAGAGUUUUGCAAAGAAGCUCAGCCACAAGAAAAGCUCACUUCUAUAGCCUCGCCAUGGCCAUUUGCUCAAUGGGGAAUUGAUUUGAUUGGGUCGUUGCCAAAGGGAUGAGGGGCAGCAACACACGCAAUAGUAGCGAUAGAUUACUUCACGAAAUGGAUCGAGGUAGAAGUCCUCAGCAGGAUCACCGAAAAAAAGACGACUGAUUUCAUGUGGAGAAACCUGGUCUGUCGGUACGGGAUCCCUUAUGCCCUGAUAACAGACAAUGGCAGGCAGUUUGACAACCAUAACUUCAGGGAUUUCUGCCAAAACCUCGUGAUAGAGCUGAAGUAUUGCUCACCUGCUGACCCUCAGUCUAAUGGACAAGUGGAAGUGGCCAACAAGAUAAUAAAGAGGCUUCUGAAAACCAAGCUUAGAGCAAAAAAAGGUGCAUGGAUUGAUGAGCUACUAAGUGUAUUAUGGGCAUACAUGACAACCCACAAAACAACAAUCGACAAAACACCGUUCGCUUUGGCCUUCGGACAUGAAGCUGUUGUACCGGUCGAGAUAGGGGCGACCACGCACUGGACAGAUCACUUCGAUGAGUAGAAAAAUAACGACUAAAUGUGCUUGAAUCUGGAUUUGCUGAUUGAGAAGAGGAACCAAGCAUCGAAGUGAUCAGUCAUUUACCAGCAGAGGGUUGCUCGAUAUUACAACCAGAAGGUGUGUAUAUGACAGUUCAAGGUCGGCGAUUGGGUACUAAGGAGGGUGAACCAGAACACGAAAGGCUCGACACAAGGAGUACUUGGACCAAACUGGGAGGGGCCAUAUAGGGUCAAGCAGGUAGCAGGACCCGGAGCCUACAAGCUUGUUCGUGGGGAUGGCCACGAGGUGAAACGCCCCUGAAACGCAACACACCUCAGGAAAUAUUUCCAGUAAGACCCAAUCAUGCUUUAAAAGUUAUUUCUAUUUGCUCUUGUUAUUAUGCAUUUUAUGUUAAAUCAAUCUCAUGUAAGUUGAAUUCAGCGAUUAAUGAAACGUUGAGGAAUUUCAGUCAAUUGUAAUAGAGUAAAGUUUUUAAGGCAUGCAAAGGCUAAGUCUCAAAGCCUGUUUUAUGGCGAGACCAAAAGCCAAGUGUGCCAGGAUUUGCUCGACCAAGCGAAGACGAGCAGACUCUCAAACGUUACAAAAGUUUCUAAGGCAUGCAAAUGCUAAGUCUCAAAGCCUGUUUCAUGGCGAGAACAAAAGGCAAGUGUGUCAGGAUUUACUCGACCAAGCGAAGACGAGUAGACUCUCAAAUGUUGUAAAAAUUUCUAAGGCAUGUAAAGGCUAAGUGUCAAAGCCUGCUUUAUAGCGAGACCAGAAGCCAAGCAUGCCAAGAUCUGUUCGACCUAGCGAAGACGAGCAGACUCUCAAACGUAAGGCAAUAGAAAGCCAAAAUUUUCGGCACCUGCUCGACCACAAUGUAAGUGAAAAAAAAAUAAAAUAAUUUGCCAAGAGCUCGAGGCAAAGAAAGUAAAUAAGAACAUUCUUAUUAAUCUGCCAAUAAUUAUGAAAAGCUACUAGUCUUAACAUACAAUGUUCUAAAAAAACAACUACAAAACAAGAUACAUUCAAGAAGAUGGUGGGUCAGUAAGUUGGGCCGCCUCUACUGGCUGCUCCACCUCAGGAGCAGGGGGGUUUCACCAGUUGCCCUAAGGGGGUACUUGCCUUGGCAACAUCAGCAGGGACUGCACGAGGAGGAGAGGUUUCCUCCUCAGUGGCAUUUGGCUUCAACUCUUCGACAUCUUCUUUGGCUGCCUCCUCAUCCAUAUAUUGAGCAACACCAGUAGCAAGCUCGUCCAUCUUUGGAUCAGGAUGCUGCUUCCCAAGGACGGCCAUGAUGCAGCGAUAAGAAUGCCGAAGCCCCUGGUCAUAUUGGUUGUCAGCUUACUUCUCUAGGUUCUCGACCUGAACCUGGUGGGAAUCCUUGAGAGAUUCGAGCUGAGCCUCAUAAGUAGCCUUUUGCCUCUGCAGAUCCUCCUUGACCUUAGUCAGCUCUUCCUCAAGAGUGAUUGCCCUUGCCUACGCUAGAGAUUCUCACUUUAUCAACUUCAGAUUCUUGAGGUUCAGAUCUCUUGCUUUCUUCUCGGCAGUGUCAGAUCUCCUACUGUUGACUGAUGACGUGGCGCAAUCCUGAGCGUCCAAACUGUUUUUAAUUCGAUGGCCAUGAUUUACUCAAUGUAUCUAUAAAAAGAGGGCCUCCCCCCUAAUUUGAUAUCUGUGAAUCCAUUUUUGGACUCCAAUUUCUGUAAUUUCUUCUCCAUCUUGUAUUUUCUACGUAUUUUAAUAAAUUUUCAUUUUGCCCCUAGUUCAAUUAUGAGUGGCUAAUUUUCUUUUAAGCUUGGGUUGAAGAUGAAGUCUCAACAUGUGUCAUGGGCUUUAUUUGAAAAAUUUAUUUUCUCUUCCCCUCUAGUUUUUGUGGAUGUUUUGACUUCUAUUCGACAAAUAAUAAUAAUCUUGUUUAGUACCGCCUUGGUUUCACCGGCUCCUUAAUACAAGGUUAUUAUUAUUUGUUACGAUAAGCCCUUACCACCAUAUUGAUUAGAGCGUGGUUCAUGAGUGUGGAAACCCCCCCUCAUGAUUUAAUUGGUAUUAAUAAGAAAUAUUUAGCCCAUGGUGCAUGUUGAUAGGGAUCUAGAUACACAAGUACUUUAUUUCAAUAGAUUUAUCUUCAAUUUAUUCUCGCCUUUUUAAUUUAAGUUUUAGAAUAUUCCAAAUCAAUUUCAUAAGAAAUCCAACCACCCAUUUACAAAAUUAAUUCUACACACAAUUAAAAUCCACCUCCUCUUGGGAUCGACACUUGUCACCAUUAGUCUAUUCUAUAAUAGAUUUGUGCACUUGCGAGUUCAAUAAAAUUUGCACAAUAAGUUUUUGGCGCCGUUGCCGGGAAAGUAAGUUAUUUUAAUUCGUAGAAUUAAUUUUUGUGAAUAAUUUCUUUUAUUUGUUUUCUUGUAUUUUUUUAAUUAAACAAAGAGAAAAAAUAAGUGAAUAUACAUUUAUAGGUAAUAAUUUCUUUUCUUUCUCUAUUCUUUACAAUUUUGUAAUUUAAUUUUUAAGUUAUUUUCUUUGUAAUUUUUGUGUGUUUAUUUUAUUAAUUUUUUUAGUUAAUUUAUUUCACGUAUUUGUUUUAGUGUGUUUUUAUAGAAAGGUUAUAAUAGCGCGAUAAGAUUACUAUCGUAAUUUCUCCUUUUUCUCUAUUGUUAUUUGUUUUGUUCCUGUUUAUUUUUGUGUUCUUUGCAUGCAUGGUCGUAGGUCAUUAUUACCUAAUCUUGAACCUAUAGACCUUGAACUAAAAAAAUUACUUCGCACACACAAGCACGUUAAAAAUAAAUUUGGAAUGGAUUUACAUGCACCACAUGAGAGGCCAUUUAAGAACUAUUUUAGUCCCUUAGCUAAUAUGAGCACAUCAUGUAUACGAUACCCAAAUGUAGCUGCUAGGAGUUUUGAACUAAAACCUAGUGUGCUAAAUUGUCUCCCCACAUUUUAUGGCUUAGAAAAUGAGGACCCAUAUAAUCAUUUGAAUGAUUUUCAUGCUAUUUGUCAAACAUCUAAAUAUGAGAAUUUUUCAGAUGAUGAUGUUAAACUUAGACUAUUCCCAUUUUCUUUAAAGGAUAGAGCUUGUUCAUGGUUAAAUACUUUAUCUGCUAAUAGUAUUGCAUCAUGGGAACAAAUGGUAACUAAAUUUUUGAAUAAAUAUUUCCUAGUGCAUAAAACCAAUGCUAUUCGCAGGGAAAUCUCAGAGUUUACCCAGAGAGAGGACGAAUAGUUUUUCAAAAUAUGGGAGCGAUUCAAUGUGCUACUCUUAAAGUGUCCACAUCAUGGGUGCAAGAAAUGACACCAAUGCCAAUAUUUUUUGGAGGGAUUAUUACCGAAUGUGCAAGAAUGACUAAUAGCAAUAAGUUGAUGAGAGCUAAUGUCAAAAAGUACAUCAGAGAUUUGGGAAUUCUUCCAGCGACAAGCAGAUAAUUCCCAACAACGGAGUCGAUCGCUCAGGAACACUAAAAGAAUUAAGGGAGUAAAUGAGGUUUACAUUGGCGAGUCAACUUCGAGAAUCAAAGAAGUUAAGGAGAUGGUUGAAGGUCUUGCUCGACAAAUAGCAUCAUUAACGACUGCACAAUCAACAAAACCACAUGACCAUGACUCAUACUCAGAUCAAGCCAAUGCCAUAGGUGUAAUGAGAAAACCUUCAAAUUACAACUCAUACUCCAACACAUAUAACCUUGGAUGGGGAGAUCACCAUAAUUUUUCAUGGUCUCAAGGAUUCCAACAGAAUGGACCAGCAACUCCAACUCCACCAAUUCAACAAAUUUCUCAAGUUCCUCAAGCCUUUCAGCCACCAUUUAGACCAUACAAUCAGAACCAGAACUACUCUCAAUCAAGACUAUAGGAUGAUGCAUUCCAGAAUUCAAGAAUGUUACUCACUCCACGAUUGAGCAACAGAACCGUACCAUUGAUGGACUACGAAAUGAGUUGAGAGCAGGCUUCAAUGCACAAGCCCAAUCUGUUUCAAGCCUCGAAAAGAUGGUGGGACAACUUGCUUCUUGAGUUUAGACCUUGGCAAUGACUAUUGAGAAAGGCAAGUUUCCAGUUCACCACAGCAGCAUGGAGAGGUCAAAACAGUAAUGNNNNNNNNNNNNNNNNNNNNNNNNNNNNNNNNNNNNNNNNNNNNNNNNNNNNNNNNNNNNNNNNNNNNNNNNNNNNNNNNNNNNNNNNNNNNNNNNNNNNGUUGAUACGGGGAGCUCAGUUGAUGUGCUAUUUAAAUCAACUUUGGAGGAAAUGGGAAUAGCCGACCGGAAGUUGGAAUACACCAACACCUCCUUGAAGGGGUUCGGAGGAGGGAAGCUGGUCCCUCUGGGCGUGGUCGAACUGCCUAUCACAAUCGGGGGCCCCCCCACUGAAAGAACAAUGAUACUGGACUUCGUCGUAGUGGACGAGGAAGGUCCUUACCAGAUGAUCCUAGGUCGGCCAUUUUUAAGGAUGAGCAAAGCGGUGCUGUCCAACCAUUAUCUGGCUCUGAAGUACCGGGUGAAUGGGGUAGUCGGAGUGGUACGAGGAGACCAGAGGAUCGCAAGAAGCUGCUACUCCUCGGCAGCAAGGGAGGCGAUGCAGAUAACAUCCCUCGAUACCCGAGUGGAAAACAAGACCGGCAGACAAGAACCCGUAGAGGAUCUGGAAACAGUAAGCAUGGGACCAGAGAACCCGGGAAAGACGAUCAGAAUCGGGUCGAGACUUGAGGGAGAGCAAAAGCAGGAGUUGGUGAAAUGCUUACAGGCUCACGCCGACGUGUUUGCCUGGACACAUGAGGACAUGCCAGGGAUUGACCCAGAGGUAGCAUGUCAUAGGCUGGCAAUAAAGAAAGGUGCUCGGGCAGUAAGGCAGAAGAGGAGGUGCUUCAACCAGGAGAGGUAUGAGGCUGUAAAUGAUGAGGUGGAGAAGCUUCUGAGAGCAGGGUUCAUUCGGGAAGUCAAUUACCCAGAGUGGAUAUCAAAUGUGGUGUUGGUAAAGAAGGCAAACGGCAAGUGGAGGAUGUGUGUGGAUUUCACAGACCUCAAUAAGGCGUGCCCAAAAGACAGCUUCCCUUUACCAAAGAUCGAUCAGCUAGUAGAUUCAACGGCUGGACAUGGUCUGCUUAGCUUCAUGGACGCAUUCUCGGGAUACAACCAGAUCCCCAUGUACGAGCCGGACGAGGAGAGCACGGCUUUCAUCACUAACCAAGGUCUGUUCUGUUAUAGGGUGAUGCCAUUCGGUCUCAAGAAUGCUGGGGCCACCUAUCAAAGGCUGGUGAAUAAAGUCUUUAAGCCCUUGAUCGGGAAAACCAUGGAGGUGUACGUGGACGACAUGAUCACCAAGUCCAAAAUCCCGAAGGAACAUGUCGGGCAUCUCGAGGAGACGUUCGAGCUCUUGAGGAAGUAUAAGAUGAAGCUCAACCCGGAGAAGUGUGCUUUUGGGGUCGAGUCAGGGAAAUUCCUGGGAUUCAUGGUGAGCCACAGGGGGAUUGAAGCAAAUCCCGAGAAGAUCCAGGCGAUUGUGCAAAUGACGUCUCCUCGAAACCUGAAGGAGAUGCAGAGCCUCACGGGGAGGUUGGCGGCGUUGAGCAGAUUCAUAUCCAAGGCUACAGAUAAGUGUCAGCCAUUCUUUCAAGUGAUAAGGAGGGGAAAGAAAACGGAAUGGACCCCAGAAUGCGAGGAAGCCUUCCGGAACUUGAAGCAUUACUUGCAGCAAGCUCCGCUAUUGUCCACACCGAGGGAUGGGGACAAGUUGAGUCUGUAUUUGGCGGUAUCGGAUCGGGCCGCCAGUUCCGUUCUGGUGAGAGAGGAAGAAGGAAUUCAGUAUCCGAUAUACUACACCAGCAAGGCUCUGCUCGACGCUGAGACCAGAUACCCAACGUUGGAGAAAUGGGCACUGGCCCUUGUGGUUGCUGCUCGGAAGUUGAGGCCGUACUUUCAAGCAUUCCCGGUCUCGGUAAUAACCAACCAGCCAUUGCGUCAAAUUCUGCACAAGCCGGAUGCCUCUGGUCGGCUCGUCAAAUGGGCCGUAGAGCUGAGCGAAUUCGACAUAGACUAUAAACCCCGCGCGGCGAUAAAGGCCCAGGCAAUGGCCGAUUUCGUAGCUGAGUUCGCGGAGCCUGAAGUAUGCUUGGAUCAGCAAGAUGCGGAUAUAGGCAACGACGAAACUCAAGUAUGGCAGAUAUCUGUGGAUGGGUCAUCAGGAGAGCGGGGUUCAGGAGCAGGGAUUGUCCUGGAAGGCCCAGAGGGGGAGGAGAUCUCUUAUGCUGUAAAGUUGGAAUUUGCAGCCACAAAUAACCAGGCAGAAUAUGAAGCCUUGAUAGCAGGGCUGGAAUUGGCUAGGGCCGUGAAAGCGGACAGAGUUAAGAUCAGAACCGAUUCCCAGCUGGUUGCGAAUCAUGUCAGUGAAAGAUUCCAACCAAGAGAGGAGAAGAUGGAACAAUACCUAAGGAUAGUCAGGCAGAUGAUGGGGAAGUUCGAAGCAGUGGAGGUGAUACAAAUCCCCAGGGAGCAGAAUAGUCGAGCAGACAUUUUGGCUAGGAUGGCAGCCGUCGCCGACCCAAAAAUGCCAAAGUCGGUCCCCCUAGAAGUGAAGUCUCGCCCGAGUAUCGAGCAAAAUUUGGGGGUGUUGCGGAUAGAACAAAAAAGCUCGUGGAGGGACCCGAUAGUUUCAUACCUUAGAGACGGGGCCUUACCACCAGAUAAGCUACGGGCUCGGAAGAUUAGAGCUCAGGCCUCGAGAUACACGAUGAUCGAUGGGGUACUGUAUCGACGAGGAUAUACAUUACCGUUCCUUCGGUGUUUGGACGAUGACGACGCGGAUUACGUGCUGAGGGAAGUGCAUGAAGGAAUUUGCGGAAAUCAUUCUGGCGGGAGGUCCCUGGCCCACAAGGUCUUAAGGCAGGGAUAUUUCUGGCCGACGAUGCACCAGGAUGCGCAAAGGAAGACCAGGAGCUGUGCAAGCUGCCAGAGUUUUGCAAAUUUUUCUAACCAACCACCAGAGAAGCUCACCUCCAUGGCCUCCCCUUGGCCAUUCGCUCAAUGGGGAAUUGAUCUGAUCGGCCCAUUGCCAAAGGGACGAGGAGCAGCAACACAUGCGAUAGUCGCUAUAGAUUACUUCACGAAGUGGAUAGAGGUAGAAGCCCUUAGCAGGAUCACAGAGAAGAAAACAACAGACUUCGUGUGGAGAAACCUGGUCUGUCGAUACGGGAUCCCAUAUGCCUUGGUAACGGAUAAUGGCAGGCAGUUCGAUAAUCACAGCUUCAGGGAUUUCUGCCAGAACCUCGGGAUAGAGCUGAAGUAUUGCUCGCCUGCUCAUCCUCAAUCGAAUGGACAAGUAGAAGCAGCCAACAAGACAGUCAAGAGGCUUCUGAAAACCAGGCUCGGAGCAAAAAAGGGUGCGUGGGUUGACGAGCUGUCAGGUGUGCUAUGGGCAUACAGAACAACCCACAAAACCGCAACGGGGGAGACACCGUUCGCUUUGGCUUUCGGACAUGAAGCGGUCGUGCCGGCUGAGGUAGGAACGACCACACACCGGACAGAUCAUUUCAAUGAGCAGGAGAACGACGAGCAGAUAUGUUUGAAUCUUGAUCUGCUAAUGGAGAGGAGGGAACAAGCAGCCGAGCAAUCAGUCACUUACCAACAGAGGGUUGCUCGGUAUUAUAACCAGAAGGUGAACAUACGGCAAUUCAGGGUCGGAGACUGGGUACUGAGAAGAGUGAACCAGAGCACCAAAGAUUCGACUCAAGGAGUGCUGGGACCGAAUUGGGAAGGGCCGUAUAGAGUCAAGCAGAUAGCGGGGCCCGGAGCUUACAAGCUGGUUCGCGCGGACGGCCACGAAGUGAAACGCCCAUGGAACGCAGCACACCUCCGAAAAUACUUCCAGUAAGACUUGCUCACAUUUUAAAGCAAUUUCUGCUCAUGCUGUCUAUCUUUUAUUUUUAUGUUUUAUGUCCGAACAAUUUCAUGUAAGUCAAAUCCUGCCAUUAAUGUAACGCCGACGAAUUUAUUUCGCUUGAAACCGAAAAAAAAAAAAAAAAAAAAAAAAAAAAAAUCCUAAGGCAUGCAAAGGCUCGCCAAGUCUCAGAGCCUGUCUUAUGGCGAGACGGAAGCCAAGCAUGCCAGGAUCUGCUCGGCCAGGAGAAGGCAGCAGAAGAAUCCAAAUCGUUUGAAGAAGAUUCCUAAGGCAUGCAAAGGCUCGCCAAGUCUCAGAGCCUGUCUUAUGGCGAGACAGAAGCCAAGCAUGCCAGGAUCUGCUCGGCCACGAGAAGGCAGCAGAAUCCAAAUCGUUUGAAGAAGAUUCCUAAGGCAUGCAAAGGCUCGCCAAGUCUCAGAACCUGUCUUAUGGCGAGACAGAAGCCAAGCAUGCCAGGAUCUGCUCGGCCACGAGAAGGCAGCAGAAUCCAAAUCGUUUGAAGAAGAUUCCCAAGGCAUGCAAAGGCUCGCCAAGUCUCAGAGCCUGUCUUAUGGCGAGACAGAAGCCAAGCAUGCCAGGAUCUGCUCGGCCACGAGAAGGCAGCAGAAUCCAAAUCGUUUGAAGAAGAUUCCCAAGGCAUGCAAAGGCUCGCCAAGUCUCAGAGCCUGUCUUAUGGCGAGACAGAAGCCAAGCAUGCCAGGAUCUGCUCGGCCACGAGAAGGCAGCAGAAUCCAAAUCGUUGAAGAAAAUCCUAAGGCAUGCAAAGGCUCGCCAAGCCUCAGAGCCUGUCUUAUGGCGAGACAGAAGCCAAGCACUUCCNNNNNNNNNNNNNNNNNNNNNNNNNNNNNNNNNNNNNNNNNNNNNNNNNNNNNNNNNNNNNNNNNNNNNNNNNNNNNNNNNNNNNNNNNNNNNNNNNNNNUUGCUCGCCUGCUCAUCCUCAUCGAAUGGACAAGUAGAAGCAGCCAACAAGACAGUCAAGAGGCUUCUGAAAACCAGGCUCGGAGCAAAAAAGGGUGCGUGGGUUGACGAGCUGUCAGGUGUGCUAUGGGCAUACAGAACAACCCACAAAACCGCAACGGGGGAGACACCGUUCGCUUUGGCUUUCGGACAUGAAGCGGUCGUGCCGGCUGAGGUAGGAACGACCACACACCGGACAGAUCAUUUCAAUGAGCAGGAGAACGACGAGCAGAUAUGUUUGAAUCUUGAUCUGCUAAUGGAGAGGAGGGAACAAGCAGCCGAGCAAUCAGUCACUUACCAACAGAGGGUUGCUCGGUAUUAUAACCAGAAGGUGAACAUACGGCAAUUCAGGGUCGGAGACUGGGUACUGAGAAGAGUGAACCAGAGCACCAAAGAUUCGACUCAAGGAGUGCUGGGACCGAAUUGGGAAGGGCCGUAUAGAGUCAAGCAGAUAGCGGGGCCCGGAGCUUACAAGCUGGUUCGCGCGGACGGCCACGAAGUGAAACGCCCAUGGAACGCAGCACACCUCCGAAAAUACUUCCAGUAAGACUUGCUCACAUUUUAAAGCAAUUUCUGCUCAUGCUGUCUAUCUUUUAUUUUUAUGUUUUAUGUCCGAACAAUUUCAUGUAAGUCAAAUCCUGCCAUUAAUGUAACGCCGACGAAUUUAUUUCGCUUGAAACCGAAAAAAAAAAAAAAAAAAAAAAAAAAAAAAUCCUAAGGCAUGCAAAGGCUCGCCAAGUCUCAGAGCCUGUCUUAUGGCGAGACGGAAGCCAAGCAUGCCAGGAUCUGCUCGGCCAGGAGAAGGCAGCAGAAGAAUCCAAAUCGUUUGAAGAAAAUCCUGAGGCAUGCAAAGGCUCGCCAAGUCUCAGAGCCUGUCUUAUGGCGAGACAGAAGCCAAGCAUGCCAGGAUCUGCUCGGCCACGAGAAGGCAGCAGAAUCCAAAUCGUUUGAAGAAAAUCCUGAGGCAUGCAAAGGCUCGCCAAGUCUCAGAGCCUGUCUUAUGGCGAGACAGAAGCCAAGCAUGCCAGGAUCUGCUCGGCCACGAGAAGGCAGCAGAAUCCAAAUCGUUUGAAGAAAAUCCUGAGGCAUGCAAAGGCUCGCCAAGUCUCAGAGCCUGUCUUCUGGCGAGACGGAAGCCAAGCAUGCCAGGAUCUGCUCGGCCAGGAGAAGGCAGCAGAAUCCAAAUCGUUUGAAGAAAAUCCUGAGGCAUGCAAAGGCUCGCCAAGUCUCAGAGCCUGUCUUAUGGCGAGACAAAAGCCCAGCAUGCCAGGAUCUGCUCGUUCGCGAGAAGGCGAGCAGACUCCGAAGCAUUCGGAAAGUUUUCUACGGCACGCAAAGGCCUCACCAAGUCUCAAAGCCUGUCUUACGGCGAGACAGAAGCGAUCAGCGUUUCAGACGAAAAUUAAUUCAUGAGUACGACACGAGAUAGUAAUCAACAACAUUUUUAUUAAUGGCUAACAGAGGGGAUAAAUUUCAUAAAACGUUGUUCAUUACAAUACAAGAAGAAAUAUAUCAAAAAGAUGGUGGAUCAGUGAGCCGAGCAGCAUCGGUUGGCUGGACCUCCUCGGGUGCGGGAGGGGUAUCACCAGUUGCGUCCGGGGGGGUGCUCGCCUCGCCAACAUCAGCAGGAACUGCACGAGGAGGAGAGUUACCCUCCUCAAUCACGAUCGGCUCUAACCCCUCGGCAUCUUCCUUGGCCGCCUCCUCGUCCAUAUGUUGAGCAACACCAGCUGCAAGGUCAUCCAUCUUGAGAUCAGGGUGUUGCUUCCCGAGGACGGCCAUGAUACAACGAUACGAGUGCCGAAGUCCCUGGUCGUACUGGUUGUCGGCCUCCCUCUCCAAGUUCUCUACAUGAGCUCGGUGGGAAUUGCGGAGAGAUUCGAGCUGAGCCUCAUACAUAGCCCUCUGCCCUUGGAGAUCCUCCUUAACCUUGGUCAGCUCCUCCUCGAGGGUAAUGGCUUUCGCUUGAGCAAGGGACUCUUGCUCUAUCAGCUUGAGGUUCUCAACGUUUAGCUCCCCCGCCUUUUUCUCGGCAACGUCAGCUCUGGUCGUCGCCGAUUGAAUGUCCUCCUUCAUCUUCCUGUCGUAACGGCCAACCUUGGCCUUAUAGUAGGUGGCCAUGCAGCUGAGAUGGAAAGCACUGUACUGCAUGGCUCCCACCAGCUCGCCCAGGGUACAACCGUCAAAGCCCUCCAGGUCCUUCUUGCUCACGAGUUUAGACAACUCAUUGAGAUAGGGAACCAAGUGUUCUGGUCGGCUGUCGGGUAAGCGAGACCGAGGCACAACAGGUGGAGAAGAGGAAGCAGGAUCAGUGGCUGCUCUACUGGAUUCCCCGACUUUAGCAGAGGCAGGAGGGAGAGCCUGCAAGGGAGGAACCUGCUGCAUGAUGUUCUUUCGCUUCACAGCGGGAGCAUCUUUGUCCUGGUCCCUAUCGGUUGUUGGAGGCCGAGAGCGUUUCCUGGUCAGAGCUCCAAUCACUGCGUCCUCCAUCUUAUGGCCAGGAAGUAUCAACCGAGACUCGAGGAAGUUGUAUGUAGAUAGCAGUUCUCGGCUCGAGCAGGAAUUGGCCAAUACAGCCUCGACCCGUUUAAGCUGACCAGGUCGGAGUGGAAAAUGAACGCCCCAAGAAACUACAACAUAAACAGACACUUGGUUAGAAGCAAGCCAAUGAAACAAGAACAAUUAUGGAUACAAGGCAUCUGGAGCGAGCAGGCAACCUGGGACCGUGAAGCGGGGUGGGACCCGAUAAUCCUUCCCGUCCAUUUGUGCGACCUGACCCCAAGGACCCCCAGCAAAAAAGAACUUUCUCUUCCAAUUCCCACCACCACCAGUAGGGAGGUCGGUUAUAGGUUUCCUGCUCUUGGUGCUAGAUUGGAAGUAGUACCAGCCGGCAUCUUUGGGGCUACUCUUUAGCUGGUACAGGUGCUUCACCUCAUCAACCGUGGGCUCGCUUUGGCAACAUCUGUCCCACAAUAUGAACAGACCAGAGAGCACUCUCCACCCAUUGGGAUUCAGCUGACCAGGAGCUAGAUUUAGCCCGUUAAGUAUCCGGGCAAAGUAAGGUUGCAAGGGACACCUCAGCCCGUACUUAAAGCUGUCCAGAUACAGGGUAACAUAUCCCCGAGGAGGCCGGCUGGGAGCAUCCUUCUUUCCCGGGACCUUGAGAGGUAUCUCGCCAGGAAUGCUAUACCUCAGCCGGAGGUCCUCGAGCUCAUCAAACUUGGUCGUGCACGUCAUGUAAUCAAUAGCAUAAUCCCGCGAUAGGGCUCUACCUCCUAUUGUACUCCUCCCCUCUGGUCGCGGCGCUCCCGAUGGGGACGCCUCACCAGAAUCAUCUCCUCGACCCUCACUCAAAGUAUCCUCGGAGUCAGAAGAUCCAUCCUCACCAUUACUCCCGCUGGUAGGGGUCGUUUGGGGAGACAUGCUCCUAGCACUAGUCCUGACACUAAACCUAACAGGCUCUAAGGGGACCUCGGGGUCAAAGGCGGGAUCGGUGAGCAGACUAGGCAGGAAGUCCAACUUGUCGUCAUCAACCUCGAUGACCUUCUCUUUGCCUUUUGACAUUCCCUAAACUCUAACCACAACACCACCAACUACUACCCAAACGAAAGAAAAAAGAAGUUAUCUACAAACUAUUCGAGACCGAGGAGAGAGAAGUAAUACCUGAAGUACCGCUUCAAUCGGAGAAAGGCAAGGAGGGGGGAGCUCCGUGCCGGAACUUCUUUGCCGGAGAAACAGAGACGUAGACGGAGACAGAGUGAAUGGUGAAUAUGCCGUUCGAGAGGAUUUGGCUUUCCAAAUGAGGACGGACCCUUGGGUUGCCAGCAUAUAACUGCGCCGAAUCCCGAGGGCCUCAUAACCGUCGGUUUGAAAUUCAAAUGGAGGGGGCGAUUUCUGCCACGUCACCACGUUCGCAAUUAAAUGCGACAUGACUCUUGGCAGCCUUUUCCAAUCCCACGCGAGCGAGUGCUGUCGAGUUUCCACUGCUGGUCCACUACAUUACCCAACACCAGAAACUGGGGGACCGGUGUUUGGGAGAGAUACUGUUUGGGAUAAAUAUGUCGACGAGACCAGGAAUGACGAGCAGAUAUCUGAUGGCAGAGCUCUGCGAACCGGUGUGUUCCAUAAAAGCCUGGCACGCGGAGGAACAGGAGCAGCAAUAUCCUGCUCGUCCACGACGUUGUCAUCCGCGAGGCCAAUUCCCUAUAAAAGGUAUACGGCCAUUCCGGCUAGAGGUCGAUAGGCGAGGAGACCCGAUCGACGGCAGUUGGCAAGACAUGUUCUCCAGCCCGAGAAUCUAGGCACGACAUCCACGCUUUCUCCUGAGCCGUGGCGUAACACGCAAGAUCUCACAGAACCACGACAGCCACGCUUUCCCCUGAACCGUGGCGUAACACGCAAGAUCUCACAGAACCACGACAGCCACGCUUUCCCCUGAACCGUGGCGUAACACGCAAGAUCCCCCGUUUGCCCAUACCGCAGCAGUCAGAGCCCCAGACCGUCUCGAAAAAAGCGGAAAAUUGGGAUUCAGAGGGAGCCUAUAAAAAGGUAGCCAACGAAGGUAAAAGGGUUAGCAUUUUUAAGAUAAAAGAGAAAACCACAAAAAAGCCAUAAGACCUGUGGCAAGCGUUCCCCGAACCUUCAUAUCUGACUUGAGCGUCGGAGGGUUUGCGCCGGGAGAACAACCGGCGUACUCUGACUUGUCUGUGUGUGCAGGGACAUCCGGAGAAGAAGCAUAGGCGAGGAGACCUCCUGGUCGUGGUAGAGUUGGUCGAGCAGGGAUCCUGGUCGUAGAACGAGGAGAACCGGAAUCUCGCAUCAACAGUGGGUUCAAUACUACAAGCAAUUCGACAAUCUGCGUUGCCGUUAAACACCAAAAACCUAAGUAGCCAUACUUUUCCUCAGUCACCUCUCUCUACAGUGCUUGAAAGUGAAAGCAUCGUCUCUAUUUAGCUAACAAUAAAAAUAAUAAGUUGAAUUUAUUAUCAUUGUUUUAUACGCCGGAAAAGUGAUCAGAGCAGUAUAAAUGAAAAUAAUAAUAAUAAUAAUUAGGCUUUGCAUUAUUUUUUUCGAUUGUAAAAGUGUAAGUACAAUUGCUAGAAAGUUAAAAAUUAAAGAAGCCAUCUAUAUUAAUAGGGGUGGGCACUGAGGAAAGGUUAGAUAUAGUUGAAUUCCGAUGGUCAGUUUUUCGAAAAAAUAAUAAUUUGAACUGAACUGAAAGUCCAAUCAAUUUGGUUCGAUUUAGUUAGUUUUUUUUUUAAUUUGCCCUGUAAUUUCUUUUGCGUUUUUCUAGUUUUUUUGAUUUUUUAUUUUCUGUCAUGUAAAUCGAUGGAUUUUUUUUUACUAAAAAAAAACUGACGAUUCCUUUUUUUGGCGGCAAAUAUAAUUUUACCCACCCCUAAUCUGUAUGGCGAAUAUCAUUGCUAUAAAGGCUGCAUUCCAGUAUUAUUGCCAGUUGUAGAGUGGUCGAUAAAAUGUUGCUAGCCAGGCUGAUUUGACUGUUUGAACAAAAACUGAUACUACUCAGGACCAAAUAGAUAGUACUAUUUUUCUGUAUCUCGUCAAUUUAAUCUUGAAUCUUUACAUUACAAUUAAUUUUUAUUAAUGGUGAGAGAUGGAUUAAACUUACAAUGCCUGAUAAAAGUUUAAUCUAUUAUAUUUUCUUGCGUCCUCAAUGAAUACAAAUUAAGAAGAAUUAUUAUACUACUACUUUUUCUCUAUGAUUGUCUUUGUCAACUUUUUAUGUAAGAGCCAAUAUACGUUCAUGAUGGCAAAUUUGUUGAGAAAAAAAAUUUGUUUAAUCAAGUGACCCUCAAUAUUCACAUGGAAUAAGAGAUGAGGGAAAAAAAAUCAUUUUUUGAAUGCAGAAAGGCAAAAAAAAUGCAUAAUGACAGGGAUUUCUAAUUGUGAUCAUUUUAGUGUUUUCAUUGUGUACUUGAGUAAAAGUUAAAAUUUUAAAAUUAAAGUGUGUAAGGUUAAAGAGUGUUUAUUUUACAGUUCAAAUAAUUUCAUCUUCUGCUUAUUAGUAUUUUUUCAUUAUAUAGUUAAAUGACAACCUAAUUAUCUAUCCACCCAUGUGAAUAAGAUAUAUAAUUAUCAUUUAAGUUAUGGACAAAUACCUAUAUGAGAUGGUCACAUGAGAGGGACUUGUUAAAACCCAAUCAAAUAAUAUUGAGUCUUUAUGCUACCAAGUUAAGCUUGCACGGGUCCAAACUUUUAGCAUCUCAUUUUAUUGUUUGAGUUGAUUUUUUAACUAACUUUUAGCAUCUCAUUUUAUUGUAACAGAUGGUCCUGGCCCUUUAUCUAUAAGUCUAAUAUCCACAGGCACAAGCACUGGAGGCAUCACCCUCUUUGCAUUAGUGAUAUUUCUCAUUUACCGAUCAAGAGAAUCUGAAAAAGAAAAAGAGACUCAACUGAAGGUGGAGAAGUUCCUCGAAAACUACAGGACCGUCAAUCCCACCAGAUAUACUUACAAAGAACUCAAGAAAAUAACAAGCAGAUUUAAGCACAGGCUCGGUCAGGGAGGUUACGGAAGCGUGUUCACAGGAAAGCUCUUCAACGGAAUUCCAGUUGCUGUCAAGAUGUUGGAACAUUUAAAAGGAAAUGGACAAGAGUUCAACAAUGAAGUGGCCACAAUUGGCAGGAUUCACCACUUCCACAUUGUUCGGCUUCUGGGAUUUUGCUCUGAAGGAAACAGGCGUGCUCUUAUUUACGAGUUUAUGCCCAAUGGAUCACUUGAGAAAUUCAUCUUCUCAAAGACAAAUAGCGCAAGUCAUCGUCAAUCGAGUUGGGAGAAGCUGAGGAAGAUUGCAUUUGGCGUUGCCCGUGGAGUGGAGUACUUGCACCGAGGAUGCAACCAGAGGAUCCUGUACUUCGAUAUCAAGCCUCACAAUAUAUUAUUAGACCAUAAUUUUCAACCGAAGAUUUCAGAUUUUGGACUGGCUAAGUUGUGCUCAAAGGACAUAAGCAUUGUAUCUCUGACAGCUGCCAGAGGCACUUCUGGCUACAUUGCACCUGAACUUUUCUCCAGGAAUUUUGGUGAGAUCUCUUACAAGUCUGAUGUUUACAGUUACGGAAUGAUGCUGUUAGAGAUGGUCGGAUGCAGAAAAAAUAACGAUCCCGCGGUUGAAAUUCAGAGCCAAAUUUAUUUCCCAGAGUGGAUUUACAAUAGAAUGAGGCAAGGACAAGAGCUCUGUUUGGAAUUUGAGGAAGAUGGGGAUGAGGGAAUUGCCAGAAAGCUUGCAAUUGUGGCACUUUGGUGCAUUCAAUGGAAUCCCACGGAGAGACCUUCCAUGCCAAUUGUAUUACAAAUGCUUGAAGCUGAUUUACAAAGCUUGGAGAUCCCUCCAAUGCCCUUUGUCUCUGCUGAUGUUGAGGCAGGUGCAAUCAAUUGAUCUAGAUAGCAGAAGAUUACAAUUAAAAAGGGUUAUUGUUAAGCUAAAUUAUUUAGUCCUUCUUGUUAUUGGAACGCUUGAAAACUGUUGGAAAUUUUCAAAAUAAUUGUGUCUUAUGGUAAAGACAUGUCCUAUUAAUUGUGCCUUAUAGAAAAGGUACCUUUCACUAAAGACUUGUCUAAUUAAAUGAUGUCUUGUUGUAAGGACAUGUCCAUUUAAUUGUGUCUUGUAGAAAAGGUAUCCUUUUACUAAAUGAUAUAACUUUUCAUGGCAACAUUUCACUUAGAGAUGCAUCAUUUCAUGGUGACAUUUCAUUUGAAAUGGUGAUGGUUCAAUUUAGACCAUUGAUUAAAAUCAAAUCUAGAUCCAAUGGCCAUGAAUGAAGGGGUAUCAUGAAAGAUGAUAACCCAAAUGAGGGGGCACAAGUAUAUCUAUAAAUAGGGGUCAUGUUUAAGCCAUUUAGACAAAAAAAAUGAAUGAUCCUACACCACUCUUUUCUUAGCAUUCCUUUCUAGUACGAAUCUCAACACAAAACACCCAUUUCUUUUGUGCAUUCACAUUCCAAUAUAUUGUUUUCUGCAGGAACAAUAUAUUGUUUCUUGGUAGGCUUGCAACGUUCAAGAGUAUUCUAGUUUGCUUUCGUCGAUGCACAACGCAAGCAAACAAACAAGUGCUUCAUUGUAUCCUGGAGGCGUAUUUGCUUAACCCAUGUGCAUCACUCAAUUGGUGGGGGCAAAUAACGUCUUAAGGAAAGCGACAUUUGUAACGUGCCUUGAAGCACACAAAAUUUCUGCAGUUUCUUCCUACAUACAGAGUUAGUUGUAAACACAUUAUUUUACAUAAUAAAGUUCCACCAUUAUUGUUGUAUUUCUCUACAUUUGUCAUUCCCCACAAAAUUUACCACCAACAAUCUUAAGACGUUAUUUCUACAACAAUGGCACCAAGUUCAUCUCUUCGACAAUUUGCAGUAGAUUUUGUCAAAUUGGAGCGGUUCGAUGGUGGCAACUUUAUUCGUUGGCAGAAAAAGUUGCAUUUCUUGUUGACAAGCCUCAAUGUGGUCUAUGUUCUCACAACACCAAAGCCUCAAGAACGUGAGAAUGAGACAUUAGCGGAAACCAGAGUGCGACAUAAGUGGGAGCAAGAUGACUACGUGUGUAAGGGACACAUUUGCAAUGCCAUGUCUGAUACUUUGUUUGAUCAAUAUCACAACAAACCUACAUCAAAAGAGAUAUGGGACUCAUUAGAGGCUAAGUACAUGAUGGAAGAUGCCACAAGUAAGAAAUUCUUGGCUUCUAAAUUUUUUAAUUAUAGAAUGGUUGAUAAUAGACUCGUGGUUGAACAAUAUAAUGAGAUUUUGCAUAUUCUUGAUCAAUUCAACCAACAUAACAUGAAAAUGGAUGAGUCUAUUAUUGUCUCUUCAAUUAUUGAUAAACUUCCUCCCUCUUGGAAAGACUAUAAGAAAAGUCUUAAACAUAACAAAGAGGAAAUUAGUCUGGAUGGCUUAGGCCAAAGUCUUCGUAUUGAAGAGGAACUCAAGCUUAAUAGUCUUGAGGAUCAGACUACUAUGUCCUCUAAAAUUAAUGUCGUAGAGGAAGGGAAGGAGUUUAAGCAUUCUAAUCACCCUAAGAAUAACCAAAAGAGAAAGUUUGAUUCCAAAGAGAAUCAAAACAAUAAGAAGAAAAAGAAGGGUACAUGCCACCACUGCGGAAAACCUGGCCAUUUCAAAAGAGAUUGUCGACUUCUGAAGAAACAAAAGGAAGUUUCGAACACAAAUCUUGUGGCCAUGAUAUCUGAGAUUAAUGUUCUUGAAGAUGAUAAUGCAUGGUGGAUAGAUUCUGGUGCAACCAAGCAUGUAUGCAAGGAUCGUAGCCUUUUCAAAUCUUAUAAAGCAAUGGAUGAUGGAAGUGUUCUUUACAUGGGAAAUUCCUCCACUGCAAUAGUUAAAGGAAAAGGCAAUGUGCAACUAGAGUUCACUUCCGGAAAAACUUUAACUCUUACAGAUGUUUAUCAUGUUCCUGAAGUUAGGAAAAACCUUGUAUCUGGUAGCCUUCUUAAUAAGUUUGGCUUCAAACUUGUUUUUGAGUCAAACAAGUUUAUAUUAUCUAAGGGUGGUACCUUUGUUGGGAAAGGAUACAUGUAUGAAGGAAUGUUUAAACUCAAUAUCAAUAAUAUGAAUGUUUCUUCUGCUUAUAUGGUUGAUUCAUUAUCUUUGUGGCAUAAUCGUUUAGGACAUGUGAAUGUUAGAAGAUUGCAUGAUAUGGCUAAUUUAGAAUUAAUUCCUAAGCAUGAAAAUGAUAUGCAUGAAAAAUGUAAAGUAUGUGCACAAACUAAAAUCACAAGAUCUCCUUUUCCAAAAAUUGAAAAAACAUCUUCUUUAUUGCAUUUAAUUCAUAGCGAUGUGUGUGAUAUGCAUAGUAAUCCUUCUAAAGGUGGUAAAAAAUAUUUUGUAACAUUUAUUGAUGAUUUUUCAAAAUAUUGCUAUGUGUAUUUAUUACAUUCUAAAGAUCAAGUGUUAGAAAAAUUUAAAACUUAUAAAAAUGAAGUUGAGAAUUUUUGUGACACUAAAAUUAAAUGCCUUAGAAGUGAUAAAGGAGGUGAAUAUGCUUUUUCUGAUUUUUGUGAAUCUGUUGGCAUUGUACACGAAACUAGCACUGCAUAUACUCCACAACAAAAUGGUGUAGCUGAAAGAAAAAAUAGGACAUUAAUAGAAAUGGUUAAUGCUAUGCUUCUUAAUGCUGGGCUUGGUAAAGGUUUUUGGGGUGAAGCUAUUUUAACUGCAUGUCAUAUCUUAAAUAGAGUGCUUAAUAAGAAAACAAAGGUGACUCCAUAUGAAUUAUGGAAAAAGAAAAAGCCUAAUCUUUCUUAUCUAAGAGUUUGGGGUUGUCGAGCCAUUGUAAGACUACCAGAACCUAAGAUAAAGAAAUUAGGAGAAAGGGGCAUUGAAUGCAUAUUCUUGGGAUAUGCAGAGCAUAGUAAAGCUUAUAGGUUUCUUGUAACAGAACCUAAUAGCUUUGUUGAGAUCAAUACUAUAGUGGAAUCUAGAGAUGCAAUAUUCUAUGAAAAUAGAUUUUCCACUAUACCAAAAAGUAUUGAUUCUCAAGAGAAUGAUAAACAAAUAGAAAUUGGUCAAAAGCGUGAUGCUAAUAAUGAGCAAAAUCAUUUGAGAAGAAGUAAAAGAAUAAGGACUCUAAAAUCUUUUGGACCAGAUUUUAUAGUUUAUUUAGUUGAAGGGACAAGAGACUCACAAUCAAAACAGACCAUGAUCACAUCUACUAUAGAGUCUGAUCCCCUCACCUAUGAAGAGGCAAUGAAGUCUCAAGAUGCUGCUUUUUGGAAAGAGGCCAUUAAUGAUGAAAUGGACUCUAUUGUGGGUAAUAAGACUUGGAAAUUAGUUGAUUUACCUCCUGGCUCUAAUCCUAUAGGUUGUAAAUGGAUUUUCAAAAAGAAGAAGAAAGUUGAUGGAACAAUUGAAAGAUUUAAAGCAAGACUAGUAGCAAAAGGCUUUACACAAAAAGAAGGCCUUGAUUAUUUUGAUACUUAUGCACCUGUUGCAAGAAUUGUUACUAUUAGAGUCUUGAUUGCUUUGGCUUCAAUUUAUCAAUUUGAAAUCCAUCAAAUGGAUGUAAAAACAGCUUUCUUAAAUGGAGAAUUAGAUGAGGAAAUUUACAUGAAACAACCAGAAGGGUUUGUUAUGCCAGGACAAGAACAUAAAGUUUGUAAACUAGUCAAGUCUUUAUAUGGUCUUAAACAAGCUCCAAAGCAGUGGCACGAAAAGUUUGACAAAGUGAUUGUCUCAAAUGGAUUUAAUAUUCAUGAAUCUGAUAAAUGUGUCUAUAGCAGAUUCAAUGGAAAUAAAGGUGUGAUUAUUUGUUUAUAUGUAGAUGACAUGUUAAUUUUUGGUACUGAUAGUGAGAGCAUUGAACUCACUAAAUUAUUAUUGUCAUCUAAUUUUGAUAUGAAAGACAUGGGACUUGCUGAUGUGAUUUUGGGGAUUAAAAUUAUAAAAAAUGAGAAUGGCCUAGUAUUGACCCAAUCACAUUAUAUUGAGAAAAUUUUAAAGAAAUUUUAUUAUUAUGAUUGUAAGUCUGUGUCAACACCUUUUGAUUCAAACAUAAGACUGUAUCCUAACACUGGCAGUUCAGUAUCCCAAUUAGAAUAUGCACGUAUUAUUGGAUGUCUUAUGUACGCAAUGACUUGUACUAGGCCUGAUAUUGUUUUCGCUGUUGGAAAGCUCAGUAGAUAUACUAGUAAUCCAAGCCAAGCACACUGGCAAGCAGUGUACAGAAUUCUAAAAUAUUUAAAACAUACAAUGGAUUAUGGUAUAUACUACACUGGAUAUCCUUCAGUUUUGGAAGGAUUUUCGGAUGCUAGUUGGAUUACUGAUCGAGAUGAUCAUACAUCCACAAGUGGUUGGAUUUUUAAUCUUGGUGGAGGAGCUAUUUCAUGGGGCUCAAAGAAGCAAACUUGUAUAGCAGACUCCACCAUGGCUGCAGAAUUUGUAGCUUUGGCUUCAUGUUGCAAGGAAGCUGAAUGGUUAAGGAAUUUGCUUAUAGAAAUUCCUAUUUGGUCUAAACCAAUGCCUCCUGUAUCUAUUCACUGUGAUAGUGAGGCAACUUUAUCAAGAGCAUAUAGUCAAAUCUAUAAUGGAAAGUCUAGGCACAUUGGUCUAAGACAUAGUUAUGUAAGACAAUUACUUACAGAUGGAGUAAUCACAAUUGACUUUGUGAAAUCAUGCCAAAAUUUGGCAGACCCCUUAACUAAAGGCCUUGCAAGGGAUAUUGUAUUUAAAACUUCUAAGGGGAUGGGACUGAAGCCAGCAUCAUCUUAUCACCAAUGAUGGAAACUCAACCCAACACUUGAAAUAUCAAGAUCUUGGGUUCAAUGAGCAAAAGUACAUCAUAUGUUGUGAUAGCAAGCACUAUAAUAUUUUUAGAUGCGUCCCAAAGGUUAGUGCUUGAUACCUGUAACAUAUGGAAAAAGUUAAGCUACUUAGCUUUUAAUGGACUUAUAAAUGUUUUAGUUACAGGGACAUUCUAGAUAAGUCCACCUAUGUGAGUGUAGGAGGUGGUGCCGCUUCCUAUGUAACUUGGCUGGUUACUAAAGCGCUCAUGAAAAUAGGAUAUAGACACAGGGCCAAUCCACGUGUCGGCUAAGGAAUACUUGAGAAUUUGAAAACUUAUGUGUGAGAUAUAUCCGGUUAGUCGAUUAAGGUUGCUGGUUCAAAGCUUGCCUACCAUGCCACCUUGAUUAACUUUGAUGUAUUGUCACUAAGUGAAGGUUCAAGUCCAAAAGACACCUUCAUCUAUGCCUAAGUUUUCCAAGCCUGUGCAAGAUCAUUUUUCCAAAUUCAUUUAUUUUGAAAAUGGUGGGGGAUUGUUGGAAAUUUUCAAAAUAAUUGUGUCUUAUGGUAAAGACAUGUCCUAUUAAUUGUGCCUUAUAGAAAAGGUACCUUUCACUAAAGACUUGUCUAAUUAAAUGAUGUCUUGUUGUAAGGACAUGUCCAUUUAAUUGUGUCUUGUAGAAAAUGUAUCCUUUUACUAAAUGAUAUAACUUUUCAUGGCAACAUUUCACUUAGAGAUGCAUCAUUUCAUGGUGACAUUUCAUUUGAAAUGGUGAUGGUUCAAUUUAGACCAUUGAUUAAAAUCAAAUCUAGAUCCAAUGGCCAUGAAUGAAGGGGUAUCAUGAAAGAUGAUAACCCAAAUGAGGGGGCACAAGUAUAUCUAUAAAUAGGGGUCAUGUUUAAGCCAUUUAGACAUGAAAUGAAUGAUCCUACACCACUCUUUUCUUAGCAUUCCUUUCUAGUACGAAUCUCAACACAAAACACCCAUUUCUUUUGUGCAUUCACAUUCCAAUAUAUUGUUUUCUGCAGGAACAAUAUAUUGUUUCUUGGUAGGCUUGCAACAUUCAAGAGUAUUCUAGUUUGCUUUCGUCGAUGCACAACGCAAGCAAACAAACAAGUGCUUCAUUGUAUCCUGGAGGCGUAUUUGCUUAACCCAUGUGCAUCACUCAAUUGGUGGGGGCAAAUAACGUCUUAAGGAAAGCGACAUUUGUAACGUGCCUUGAAGCACACAAAAUUUCUGCAGUUUCUUCCUACAUACAGAGUUAGUUGUAAACACAUUAUUUUACAUAAUAAAGUUCCACCAUUAUUGUUGUAUUUAUCUACAUUUGUCAUUCCCCACAAAAUUUACCACCAACAAUAAAACCACUAAAUUGAGUUUUUGUUUGACUGUGGUUGUUUUAUUUAUCGCUUAAAAUCUUUGAUGUGUUCGAGUGAUACAACAUUAAUACAACUAUGGAUGAAUUUUUUCAAUUUAUAAUAUUAUUGAUGAAAAAAGAUAAUUAUACCCUUGAGGUGUGAGAAAAUAAUUACCAAAACUCUCAAGUUUUUAAAAUGAGACAUCAAGACUCAUUUUUAAUCAUAAUACCCUUUGAAUUUAUUAAUUAGGAAAUUGACUUUGAAGUUUUUUAUUUAAUUAAAAUUUAAUAUAAAUAAUAUAAUCUAUCUAGUAAACUAAUAAUAUUAAAUUAUUUUUGACAUUUAAAAUAAUAUAAAAUUUUAAAUUAUUAUAUUUAUUUUAAUAAUAGAUUUGUAUUUGUUAUAAAGAUUUUAAAUAAAGUCUUUGGGUUGAAUUUUACAAUUAACAAAAUAUAUCUCUUUCAAUAAUAUUAAAAUUAUUUUUACAUAAUAUUCAAAAUAAUUUUGAUUUUAAUUAAUUUAUUUAAUAUUAUAUUUCUAUUUAUUUUAAAAAUUACUUCAAUAUAAUAAAAUAAGUCAAAUAGAUUGUAAAAUAUAAAAAUAUAUUUUUAGAUUUUUUCAAAUGUAUAUAUUAUUACAUUUAUUUUAAUGUCAUAUUUCUAUAGAUUAUAAAAUUUUAGAGUAAAUUUUUUAGAUUUAUAGAGUUAAAGGGUAUUAUAGCAACAAAAAAAAAAUAACCUUGUUGUUUUUUAUUGAAGACUUGGGAGUUUUUAUAAUUAUUUUUUCAAACAUUAGAGUGUAGGUGUCUUUUUUACUAUUAUUUAUUAUACCCCGCUAUCCUUCCCUACUAAAAUCAAUGCUACCUAAUUGCUGAUGAAUCUUUUGAUUAAUCAUUUAGUUUCAGAUAAGCAACGAAGUGAGACUUCAAAAGUCUUCCAAAAUGUGCACCGUCGUCUCUGAUUCUGAAGUAAGCCCUUAGAAAUUUCAACUUGUCAAGUAGAUGAUUAUUAGUAACUGGACUGCUAAAUCUUAUUCCAUUCAUGGCAGAUUACAUGCCGAAUGAAACACAACAGAGCUCAUUACAGUGGCACAAAAUUAAUAUAAAAACAUUUGAUAGAGAGGAAACCUCUGCACCUAUGAUACCUUCCCAUGCAAGCACAGGGUGCAUAAAGCAUACAAAAACUUUAGUCUAUUUUUAAACACAUCAUUGAAAAAAAAUAAAGCAUAACUAUGGCUGAAAGAGCAUUCCUUUAUUGAUAGACUUAUAGUUCCCAAGGAGGGUAGUUGGCAGAAACUCCAUAAGCUAGGUUGCUUUAGAAAAGGCUCGCGGGAUCGAGUAUUUACAGAACGGAUGUGAUGUGUGCAGUCUUCAUUUCAACAUUUAAGUCUCACAACAUCCUGCUAGAUCCUAAUUCCUUUCCCAAGGUCUCAGAUUUCGGCCCUUGCAAAAUUUCACCCCAAGGAAAAUGAUUUUGCUCCCAUCAGCGCACAGGAAGAACAAUAUAUAGGUUAAAAUAUUACCUGAGCUAUGACUAAGGCGCUGGUCGCUCCUCUUUGACAAAAAGUUUUGGAAAUUUUAGAAGGGAGUAUUGAUGAUUUGCAAAUGCCUCCAAAACCUUUCUCAUCUUCUUCUCGACAUAUAUCCGGAAGAGAGAUUGAAUCAGAUUCUUCAACAGAGUUGUUAAUGUCUGAAUCAGUGAAGGAAUGAUCUUUCGGUGAUAUUUAGGUUUAAUUUUGCCAAUGAUGAAUGUAAAAUAAAUAAAUGAAUAACAUGCAAUUAAUGACAAAUGUUCUUCUUCUUCUCAUUGGUUUAUCUCGAAUUGGAGCCUAAGGCACACACUACACUUUUCACGAGUGAUAGAUAAUUUAGUUGUUGAAAUCUUUUGAGUUGAUACAAAAAGUUUGAGAUUUGAAUCUGUCCAUAUGGGUGGCAAAAGAAUUUAACUAGUGUUGGUGCAAAUUUUGUCCCAACUUAUGAUAUGAAAAUUUCGACUGAUGACGACCCCCUUAGGACUUAGGUUCCUCUUUGUUGGAUUUGAUGAUGGUGAGUUUUUCCUUUGGGCUGAUUUUGAUAGGCCUUUAUAUAUCCUCUUCUCAGUCCACUUCCUUAGGCAAUCAGAAUGUUCUUAUUUAGUGAUACUCUACAAACACAAUCAAAUGAUCAGAGGGCCGGCUUUGCCGGCAUAAACCCUCCAACGGUCAAGUCAGUUACCAGACUUUUGGAAAUAUAAAUUUAGAAAGAGAAAGAUUAGAGGGAGAAAGUUAACAUUUUCUCCUUUUGAGUCUCUUUUUGUCUUCCCUUUUAGUGAGAAUGAAAGACAUAUUUAUCGACCAAAUUGAUUUGACUUGGGUCCUAGUUAUUUUGAUGACAAAUGUCAUUGUUCUUGUGACAUUUGGCAACACUUAUCCUCCAAUGCCCAUGUUGAUUGACACAUAGAUAUACAAACUUGUCUACAGAUUAAAGGAAGGAACGUUUUAUCCUUAGGUUAUUUUUACUAAGACCUUGGGAUCAUAAGAGCUUUCAAACUUAGGAGGUUUGUCCUAGGAUAAGAGCCUAGAACCUCAACACGUUUUGGACUUUUAAUCCUUACCACCUAGUUGAUUUAUCCUAGGUAAUUUGUCUUAGGAUAGGAAUCUAAGACUUUGGCUCCUUUUGGGCGCUGAAACCUUGUUACUUAGGAGGAUCAUUCUAGGUGAUUUGUCCACCACUUCGUGGAUUUAAUUAGGAGGAAAUUUAUUAGAUGGACGUUAUUGAGAUUAAAUUUAUUUGGAUCUUAUUAGGUUUAUUUUAUUUUUGGUCCAACAACUAGAGGUGUGCUAAGCUUAACUUAAAACUCUGAGGUGGAAAUUUUCUUCAUUAUUUUACCCCCACAUUGAAAAGUAAUCACAAAAAAUCAUCACGGACGCAAACUUGCAAUCAAAACGUUUACUGAGAGUUGACUGACUUGUAAGAGUGUCCGAAAUCCCCCAUUGCAUGAAUGCUACGAGUCUUGCACUCAACAAAUAAAAUUAAUAUGCUCUCUUAAACCUUUUUAAUUUCCCCAUCUUUGUUGAUUUUUUUUAAAGAAUAAGAUAAUACUAUUUUUGAACAAUUAAUUAUUGCUAAAUCAUUUUCAGCUAGUAGAAUCAGAUAGUUGAAUGCUAUAAUAUAUUUACUAAAUUGUCAAGUAAUGAUGAUAGUUGAAUGCUAUAAUAUAUUUACUAAAUUGUCAAGUAAUGAUGUAAAUACGUAUCCAAAACUUUGAAAAUGCGGCCUUCUGUUUAAUUUAUUGACAUUCAUCGUAUCCUGGGAUUGGAUUAACAAUGAGUUGGUGGUAGUUUCGACCAUACGCUUUCUUUUUUUUUGUUAAUUAGUUUAGAAUUUUUAGGAAUUUUAGUUUUUUUAAUAUUUUUUGGGAAUUUUUUAGGAACUCUUUGGGGUUCUUUUAUUGCUGUAAAUUUUCCAUCUUUUUUGUUUUCUUUCUCUCGCUCUGUCCUCUUUUUUUUUUUUUUUGGGUGUUUAUAAUAAUUAGGUUCUGUUGUAUAAACACCACUUCCUCAUAUUAUGAUAUAUUUGAGACUUAGGAGUAAAUUAAAAUUAAAAAAAGAAACAAUUAAUUGAGAAGGAUUGAUUACUUUUGAUAAAUAGAUUAAAAGUGAUUAGUGGAUAAUAAAAUUUGGUUCAUUGAGGUAGUUAAAGAUUUAAAAUUCAUUUUUAAUUAAUUAAGUGCUGCUGAAAUUAAAUUAUAAUUAUUUGUUUAUAAUAAAUCAGUAAAAAAGUGCAAAAGUGCACAAACGAAAAAAGUACUCGAAUUUGUAAUAAAUGCUUUUGAUUCCAACGAGUUGCGGAGGGCACGUUACAAAAUAAGGUUUUUAAUUAAAAAGUGAAUUUUAGUCAAAAGGUUCGAGAUUCAUGUUUUUAUCAUGUUAAAAUGAUUUUCCAUCAUAUCCUACACUUAUUACAUGGCACUUGACUUUUGACGGCAAGGUGAAGGAGGUCUACUUGUAGAACCAAAUCUCGAAGCAUGGGUAUCAGUUAGAAACAAAUAAAAUAAAAUGAAUUUUAUUGAUAGCCUUAGCCUAGCUAAUAAAAUCUUAUUUUAUACUUUUUAUUCCUUAAAUUUCUUUUUAAAUUACUCAAAACACAUCAAAUAUUGUGUUGAACGUACGAUUCAAAUAUUCUUAAUGAUCACUAAUUUGAAUUCGUUGUAAGAAAGUUAUAGGUGGGGGGUAUAUAUAUCAAUGACUUGUCGAUCUAAACUACUAUGAUGAGUUGCGUGUAAAUUGAUCUGAACAUUAGUUGAGGACCUACUACUGUACUUCUAUUACCUACUUGAGAAUUGAGAUGAACAAAAUUUAUUUUUUAAAAAUAUAAAAAUCUUAAUAUUAUCUCUCAUAUUCUUCUUUUAUUUAUAUAUGUUGUCGUAUCAUGCGCUCAAGUAAAAUUUAGGAAGUUUUCAUUUUUCAUGAUGAUUUUUCUUUUUCCUUAAGUCCAAAAUAAAGUUAGGAUUCAUUUAUGUUUUAAUUAAUCACAUGCUUGUUUCAAAAUUUUACUUUCUUACCACGUUCUUAUGAUUUUUUUUUUAAAAUGUGCUCUCAUAUUUGUUAAAUUUAAGAAUUAAAGUCCAUGAUAUUAUAUUCAUCUUUAAGUUUCUCAAACAGCUACUUUGGAAGUGAACCAGACUAGAAGCAAAAAAAUGAACCCAAAAAAAAAACGGAACAGUUCAUGGCUUUGUGCUUCUUUAUGGACUGUGGUUGCCUCCAUGAAUAGCCCAAGUGAUUAUUGGGCUUUUAAGUCGGCUCCUAUGAAAAGCCCAAAGCGUCCACGAUGAAGCAGGUCACAGGAGCAGUCCCAAUUCUGAAUCUCUCUCAACUCCUCAAGCGGGGUUUCAUUUUGAAUGCCGCCAUUGGCCUCAUUUCACAAUAUAGAUGUGCAUGCAUGAAGGAUAUAUAUACACGGUUUCGUUUUGUAUAUAUAUCUUAUAAAGUUAUUGUUGUGGAAUUACUCCAAUUCACAGCCGUUAAUCAACUAACCUGAUCUAAUGAAUCCAAUUAAUCAAGAUCCGCUCUUCUUUAUCCAAGAAAACUAACCAGCUUAAUGCAAGUAAUAACCAGAUAACAUGAAGAAGAUGAACCAGAAACAAUACACCCAAUCUAACGUGGUUCAGUACCAAGGUACCUACAUCCACGACCAAAUAACCCAACUGGGCUUGAAGCUUUUAUUGAACAAAGUGUUUACAAUGAGAGUGUUGAUGACAAAGAUUAAAUCUCUCAUACAGAGAAUUUUCUAUCUCUCAGCCUAGGUCUCUCAAAAUCGUGACUUAACAUCUCUUGUUGAUCAGCCUUGAGUUAUGUAUAUAUAGCUCUGUUGUCCAGCUGUUAGCAGUAACAAAUUUAACUAACUCUGGCCCCACACAAAUGCUGACUCACCACGCCACUUAGUCAUAUAACAGAAUUAACUAAUUAAGCUUCACAGUUAUAAUUAUAUUAUGAGUAUAUUUGUCUAUGUAUGUAUGUAUGUACAUAUGAACAAAUAAAAUAAUAAUUAUACGAAAAUUAAUAAGUAGUGCCUGGAAAAAGAUCAGUAGAUCACUUCAGUUUUGAGGGCCAAAUGAAGCUGCACGUUGAUGACGGAAUACAGAGAGCUCAAAGAUUUAAAAUGCGUUUGAUUAAUGGCAUUUUAAUUUAUGUGCUCUCUAUCUUCUGUCAACAAAAUUUCAAAAAAUUAGCGCCCUCUACUUCAAUCAGACCAAACACAUGCACCAAAUAUUAAUGAGGAAAAAAAAACCAAUCGAUAUGCUUUUGUCUCCACAAUAAUAAAUAGCUGUUGAAUGGCCAUGGAAGCGUGCAUAUCCACAGCAGCACGAAAUUAAAGUAGUUGAUAAACUGUUUACAGUAGCAAGGACUUUGUAUGCAUGAUGCCAAUUAAAUGGCUGCGGGCUUAAAAGCAUUAAUUUAUGAAGUGCUUCUCCCUUUUAGGCUGGAGAUAAAUCAAGACUACAUUGCUUUUCCUUCUUUUCUUGUUCGCCUUUUGCAAUAGAUACGUUAUUAUAUUGUUUUUUUAGCACAUUUUCAAUGAUACUACUAUUCCCAUAUCGGCUGCCAAGUUAAAUAGUUAAUCAUUUGAUCAAUAUUUUUUUUUAAUGAAUUUGAAUUCGACAUGACAGAUAUUAGAAACCAGUAGCAUACAACAUGGCCAAAAUUUUCAUCAAUACAUAUGUUACACUAAUGCGGUUGCGACAUUUGAAAUAAGCAAUUAUUCCAUUAAAUCCAUUUACGACAGAACUACAUACCGCAUGAAACGCAACAGGACUCGUUCCAAUGUCACAAAAUUAAUACGAAAACAUUUGAUAGAGAGGAAAGCUCUGCACAAGUGAAUUGCCUUCAUAAAUUAUCAUAGUGACACUUUGACUCUUGACGGCAAAGAGGGCUACUCAUAGAACCAAUCUUGAAUCGGAAAUGGAGAGUUCUAAAAACCACAUGAAAAAUUAGCUUACGAAGAUACAUCAAAAUGUUGCACCAAGCAUAAGAUUCUAGAUAUCCUUAGCUCGAAUCUGUUGUAUGUAAGUUAAGCGGAAAUAUCAAGACACAUUGAUUUUCUUCCCCUCUGCGCCUAACUAGUAUUAUAUCAUUGGUCUAACUUUUUCCAUCUAUAUCCUGUGUGUGAUGAAUAACAUAUAAAUUGAUCUAAAUUUUUGUCAUAAACUAUGCCAUUUGUACUCUAAUCCACUUGAGAUUAAUGAAUGUCGUAUAUGAUUAAAAAAAUUAUUAAUUUCAUCUCUUUUGUUAUUCUAAUAAUCUAUUAUAUGCUGUUAUAUCCCAUGAUCAAACUAUGUAUUCAACUGUUAAUUUUUCAAUAUUAUUUUAUUAUAUAUUUACUUGUUUCCAUAAUCACAGUCUAAUUAAUGAUUUAUGUUUUUUUUUUAAACUUUGGUGGUCUCAAUACGAAGCCCAACUCAUAUUGAGCAUUUGAAAUUUAAAUCAUUAAAAAGCUCAAUUAGUCCCCAAUGCGCAAGAAUAGACUAAUAUCCUCAUGGCAUUUUUUGACGUAACUGAUUUUGUCAAAAGUGUGUGUGUAUAUGUAGACACAAGCGCACACACACACACAUAUAUAUAUAGUUAUGCGUGGAUUUCUACAUAUAUUUAACACGUGAAUUUACUAAUAUAUUGUAUAUUAAUUAAUUGAAAAAAAUAAAUAAAAACACUAAUGGCAUAUUAGUUCCGUCACACACGCCUACAACAUAAAAACUUAUCAUGCAUUAUAUAGAACGCAAUUGUGCACACCGAAUCAUAAUUUUAAUUAUAUAUAUCUUUCUUUAUUCAUAAAAAUAAUAAUAAUAAUAACAAUAACAAUAAUAAUUACAACAGCAACCAUAAUUUUUAGAAACGCGUGAACAUGACAUGAGAAGUCCUCAUUCUUCGGGGCCGUUCCAAAUUUCCAAUGCCGCGUUUCUCCAAAUCCUGUUAAAAAAUAAUAAUAAUAAUAAAGUAAGCGAAAGAUAUUGACUGGAAUUAAACUGCAUGGAAACUGUUUCCAAUAAGUUCUCUCGCUUUUAAUAUUGAAGAACGUUUACUAAGAAAUUUGAGGUCAAGCUUGGAUGGGGAUGGAUCAUCCCAUUCCCACCGAUGCUAACUCAUUUACAAUUACUAGGAAAUUAAGCGACUUCACUUUGCCGUAUUGACUUCCCCAUUGAAAUCUGAAAGCUUCCACCUAAACAAAUCGUGGAAAGAGACUUCAGAAGCUGCAUGGCAUCCGCAUACAAAAUUUACAGUAAGAAACGAAAUUGAACAUGUGUAUCUAGAUUUGUCCCUUUAUCUUCCAUUCCAUUAAUGCUUGAAGCCUAGCACUCAGUAAUUAAAAAUUUUCUUCCAUCAUGUCGAUUUCAUUUUAUGAAUAAUUAAUAUUAUUUUUAAACAAAUUAUUUAGCGCUAAUUAAUUCAAUCACAUAGUUGUAUACUAAACUAUGAUAAGUUUAAAGCCCGCCUCUCACCGUGCAAGUGAAACUGUAGAAAACAUAGCGCAUUAACACUUUUAUACCGUUCUGCUUAGUUUAUUCAAAUUCGUUAAUUGUAUCCUGGAAUUGGAGGAGCAAUGAGUAGUGACGAAGCUUCAAUUUUCUCAACUUUUCUGUUUUGUCUGUUGAUGUUUGUAUUCAGCCCCAGAGAAAUUGAAGCAAGAAAACUUGAAGUACAAAUGUGUUCUUCUUCUUGUGGAGAUGUCAAAAGCAUAAGCUACCCUUUUCGCCUCAAGGGCGAUCCAGCUGGAUGCGGCCAUCCGAAGUUAGAACUUUCUUGCGAGAGCAACAAAACCAUCUUAGAAUUCAAUUCUGGAAAGUACUAUGUGAACAGUAUUUCCUAUGAUAAAUGUACAAUCAGUGUUGUCGAUGUUAACUUAGCCAAUGGAAGCUGCAGCUUGCCGUCCAAUUAUCUUCCCCCAUCUUAUGAUGACAUUUUCGGAUAUCUUUUUGGUUAUUUGGGUCCUUCAUGCGCCUAUUAUGUGAAUUGCUUGGGUAAUAUUGUUGAUCAGGCAUAUGAGAAAGUUCCAUGUUUGAGUAACAAUCAGUCGAAUGUCUAUGUUUAUGUUACAAAUGAUACCAUCAACAGCAGAAUAUCAGAUCUUCCAGACUCAUGCGACAUCAUUUCAAAGGUUCCUGUAGUUCUUAAUAGGAGCGUGGACAAACCUUCUUAUGAAGACCUCCGAAAAUUGCUGGAGUCAGGGUUCGAUUUUACAUGGUGGAACCCCAGAUUCACAAUGACUUACUGUAAGCUUAUGCUUAUAUUUAUUUAUGCAUUCAAAAGCAAGGGCUUUGUUUUUGUUUUUCAAUAUUGUACGUAAUAAAGAAUUUGUGAACUAUCUCUAAGAGCAGACCGAUAUGGCCUUUAAUUUCUGUUUCUUUUUCACUUUUGCAGCCUUUGAAGAUUGCAAAGAAGACCAUGGAGGAUUUGUUUGCUACCAAUAUGGAAUACGUAAGCAGAUCCCUACAGAUCACUUUGUUUAAGGGUUUUCGAUGUUAAUAAAUGUGAUGGCUUUAUGUACUCUCUAAUUUUUUUCUCUCCAACUGCAGUUGUCCGUGAAAUCUUGCGGGCUUCCUACCUGCAAGUACCAGAAAGUCUGGGGGAUCAGUUAAGUUGGUUAAGUUUUCUGUUAGGUAAAAUCUCCUCUCCAGGAUCCUCUUUUAUUGCUUUGCUUACUACUAUUUACUUUCAAUAAACGUUCUCUUUACCAGGGUUUGCAGUUGAUGUUCUGAUAAUUGGUAGAUUUAUUCUUGCUCCAAUAGUCUUUCUCGUGUUCCUUAUCCACAAAUACAGAACGACAUUGCAAACAGUUGAUAAUAUUGAGAAAUUUCUGCACAACCAUCAAUCGUGGAUGCCUAAAAGGUACUCUUACCCGGAGAUAAUUGCCGUGACAAACCACUUCACUCAUAAAUUAGGCCAAGGUGGCUUUGGUUCAGUUUAUAAAGGACAACUUCAUACCGGUCGCUUGAUUGCUGUUAAGAUGCUGGAGAACUCCAAGUUCAGUGCGGAGGAAUUCAUCAACGAAGUUUCAACAAUAGGUAGAAUUCACCACGUUAAUGUGGUCCAGUUAUUGGGGUUCUGUUCUGAGGGAUCCAAACGCGCACUUGUCUACGAGUUUAUGCCUAACGGAUCACUCGAUAGGCAUAUCUUUCCUAAGGAAAGUAGAGGCCAAUCUUUUAGUUGGGAGAAACUCCACGAAGUUGCUUUAGGAACUGCCCGUGGGAUCGAGUAUUUACACAACGGAUGUGAUGUCUGCAUUCUUCAUUUCGACAUUAAGCCUCACAACAUCCUGCUAGAUCAUAAUUUCAUCCCAAAGGUCUCAGAUUUCGGCCUUGCAAAGUUUCAUCCCAAGGAAAAUGAUUUUGUGUCCAUCAGUGCCACAAGAGGAACCAUAGGAUACAUAGCACCUGAGCUGAUUUCAAGGAAUUUUGGAACUGUUUCUUGCAAGUCAGAUGUUUACGGUUUUGGGAUGGUGUUGUUGGAAAUGGCUGGAGGAAGAAGGAAUUCUAAUAUGAAUGCAACUCGUUCAAGCAAAGCAUAUUUCCCAUCUUGGGUAUAUGACCAAUUAAAUAAGGGAGGUGAUUUAGAGCUUCAGAAUGUGACUGAAAUCGAGUCCGUGAUUGCAAGGAAACUAUGUAUGAUUGGUUUAUGGUGUAUUCAGGUGAAGCCAGCUGAUCGCCCCUCUAUGACAAAAGUAUUGGAAAUGUUAGAAGGGAGUAUCGAUGAUUUGCAAAUGCCUCCGAAACCUUUCUUCUCUUCUUCUUGACAUAUCUCCGGAAGAGAGAUUGAAUCAGAUUCUUCAACAGAGUUGUUAGUGUCUGAAUCGAUUGAGGAAUGUUCUUUCAAUGAUAGUUAUGCUUAGUUUUGGCAAUGAUAUGUGUAAAAAAGAAAUAAAUUGUCGUCGUGCUACCAGAGCUUCUAUAACAUUAUGUUGAAAAAUUUCAGUACGAUUCAUUGUUCGAUGUGAAUAUUCCAAUUUUGCUCGCAUCGACCAGAAUAUGGUGAAGGUUUGUCAUGUGAUCAUGUACAUUCAUCAAACUAUUGAAACGCUGCUUGCUGCAUCUCUGAUUGAGCUAGAGUAUGCUUUGAACUCUCUGGUCCUGCUGAACUUAAUUUAAAGUACAAUUACCAAAGUAUAUCGUAGACACCUAGCUAUCACCACACAUCCACUUUUACUUAAUAGAUAAUAAUUUCAUCUCACAACAGUGAUGAAUUAAAAGACAUCUAGUUCCCAUCAAUCCUAAACACACCCUUAGUCUCCCACUGAUAUAUUAUAGUAAGCGGAGGGUAGCUGCUAGGAAUUACCUAUUUUCUAAAGAACAUUACUUACUGAUCUUAAAAACAUAAUUUUCUCAUUUCUUUAUCUACAAAUUACUUUCGCAACUCUCACUAAAAUCUAUAUCACAAACAGCAAGUCCCAUCCUAUUCCUUCAUGCAUCUGAUAUUGGCAGAUAUUAAAGUUGACUAGUCUCUUUGGGGCUACCAUUGACUUAGAAAAUGGAGAAAAGAAAGAAGGAAAGAACAGAAGAAAUUAAAAAGAAACCCAUUUUCGUACCUUUUUCCGUGACAAAUUGACAAUCAAACUCUGCUCUCCCUCAUUACUCCAAAAGCAUAACUCAAACUCUGUUCUAACUCAAACUCCGCUCUGCCUCUCCCUCCAUGUCCCUCGUGAUGAGUUUAAUAAUCCUCUUCCUCUUCUUACCAUACACAUGUACAUUAGCCAAAGCUUCUGCAGAAGACAACAAGACAGAUAAAUAUGAAUUCUGUCAACCAACAAGAUGCAGUAAUAAGAGCCCAAGGAUCAGAUAUCCCUUCAGACUCAAAGCUCAACCAACAUCUUGUGGCCUUGAAGGGUUUGAAUUGUCAUGCUUAAGUGACAAGACAAUCUUGCAUCUUCCUUCCUCUGGUGAUUAUUAUGUCCACGAAAUUUCUUAUCUGGACAGCAGUAUUACCAUUGCAGAUGUGAAUGAGACGGCAUGCCCGUUUCAAAGUCUUAUCUCUGUCAACCUCACAAACUCCAAAUUCUUUCUUCCCUUUAAUGAAAGUUACGCUUUAUGUAACUGCCCUGAGAAGGUUGCUGCAGAACGGACUUCUGUUGAAGCAAUUGGACCUAUCAAUUGUCUUAGCAAUGAAAACAAUCUUUUCUAUGCCAUAUAUAGCGAAUAUUCAAUGGAGUAUAUGCCUCCAUCUUGCAGAAAAUCUCGAACAGUUGAGAUUCCUGAUGGGUUACCUCUGCAGGAUAUUGCAACGACGGCGAGGGCAAGACCAGUAGUCUUAGGAUGGGAAACUCUUGAUGGAUGCUACGACUGCGAAAAUUCAGGGAAUUAUUGUGGGUUCAACACUACAAGCAAUUCGACAAUCUGCGUUUAUUGUGGGUUCAAUACUACAAGCAAUUCGACAAUCUGCGUUGCCGUUAAAAACCAAAAACGUAAGUAAUCAUAUCUUUUCUCAGUCACCUCUCUCUACAGUGCUUGAAAGUGAAAGCCUCGUCUCUAUUUAGCAAACAAUAAAAAUAAUAAGUUGAAUUUAUUAUCAUUGUUAUAUAUGCCGGAAAAUUUAUCAGAGCAGUGUAAAUGAAAAGAAAAAAUAAUAAUAAUUAGGCUUUGCAUUAUUUUUUCAAUUGUAAAAGUGUAAUUACAAUUGCUAGAAGUUAAAAAUUAAAGAAGCCAUCUAUAUUAAUAGGGGUGGCCACUGGGCAAAGGUUAGAUUUAGUUGAAUUCCGAUGGUGAGUUUUUUAAAAAAUUAACAAUUUGAACUGAACUGAAAAUCCAAUCAAUUUGGUUCGAUUUAGUUAGGCUUUUUUUGUUUUUUUUUUUCAUUUGAGCUGUAAUUUCUUUUGCCUUUUCCUACUUUUUUAUUUUUUAUUUUCUCUCAUUUAAAUCGAUGAAUUUUUUUUUGAAAAAAAACUGACGAUUCGUUUUUUUGGCAGCAAAUAUAAUUUUACCCACCCCUAAUCUGCAUGGCAAAUAUCAUUGCUAUUAAAGGCUGCUUCCAGUAUUAGUGCCAGUUGUAGAUUGUUUAAUAAAAUGUUGCUAGCCAGGCUGAUUUGACUGUUUGAAGAAAAACUGAUACUACUCAGGACCAAAUAGAUACUACUAAUUUUCUUUAUCUCGUCAAUUUAAUCUUUGAAUCUUUAUAUUACAAUUAAUUUUCGUAAAUGGUGAGAGAUUGAUUAGACUCACAAUGCCUGAUUAAAGUUUACCCUAUUAUAUUUUCUUGCGUACUCAAUGAAUACAAAUUAAGAAGAAUUAUUAUACUAAUACCUAUGAUUAAGUUCAUGAUGGAAAAUUAUUGAGAAAAAAUUUUGUUCAAUCAAGUAACCCUCAAUAUUCACAUGGAAUAAGAGAUGAGGGGAAAAAAAUCAUUUUGUGAAUGCAGAAAGGGGAAAAAAAAACAUAAAGACAGAGAUUUCUAAUUGUGAUAAUUUUGGUGUUUUUAUUGUGUACUUAAAGUUAAAAUUUUAAAAUUGAAGUGUGUAAGGUAAAAGAGUUCUAAUUUGCCGUUUAAAUAAUUUCAUCCUUUUGCUUAUUAUUAUUUUUUCAUUAUUUAAUUAAAUGAAAAAUUAAUUAUCUAUCCACCCAUGUGAAUAAGAUACCUAAUUAUAAUUUAAGUUACGAAAAAAUACCUAUAUAUGAGAUGGUCACAUGAGAGGGACUUGUUAAAACCCAAUCAAAUGAUAUUAGAGUCUUUAUGCUACCAAGUUAAGCUUGCACGGGUCCAGACUUUUAGCAUCUCAUUUUAUUGUUUGAGUUAAUUUUUUAACUAACUUUUCUUAGUUAUAUAUAACAGAUGGUCCUGGCCCUUUAUCUAUAAGUCUAAUAUCCACAGGCACAAGCAUUGGAGGCAUCACCCUCUUUGCAUUAGUGAUAUUCCUCAUUUACAGAUCAAGAGAAUCUGAAAAAGAAAAAGAGACUCAACUGAAGGUGGAGAAGUUCCUCGAAAACUACAGGACCGUCAAUCCCACCAGAUAUACUUACAAAGAACUCAAGAAAAUAACAAGCAGAUUUAAGCACAGGCUCGGUCAGGGAGGUUACGGAAGCGUGUUCAGAGGAAAGCUCUUCAACGGAAUUCCAGUUGCUGUCAAGAUGUUGGAACAUUUAAAAGGAAAUGGACAAGAGUUCAUCAAUGAAGUGGCCACAAUUGGCAGGAUUCACCACUUCCACAUUGUUCGGCUUCUGGGAUUUUGCUCUGAAGGAAACAGGCGUGCUCUUAUUUACGAGUUUAUGCCCAAUGGAUCACUUGAGAAAUUCAUCUUCUCAAAGACAAAUAGCUCAAGUCAUCGUCAAUUGAGUUGGGAGAAGCUGAGGAAGAUUGCAUUUGGCGUUGCCCGUGGAGUGGAGUACUUGCACCAAGGAUGCAACCACAGGAUCCUGCACUUCGAUAUCAAGCCUCACAAUAUAUUAUUAGACCAUAAUUUUCAACCGAAGAUUUCAGAUUUUGGACUGGCUAAGUUGUGCUCAAAGGACAUAAGCAUUGUAUCUCUGACAGCUGCCAGAGGCACUUCGGGCUACAUUGCACCUGAACUUUUCUCCAGGAAUUUUGGUGAGAUCUCUUACAAGUCUGAUGUUUACAGUUACGGAAUGAUGCUGUUAGAGAUGGUCGGAUGCAGAAAAAAUAAUGAUCCUGCGGUUGAAAUUCAGAGCCAAAUAUAUUUUCCGGAGUGGAUUUACAAUAGAAUGGGGCAAGGACAAGAGCUCUGUUUGGAAUUUGAGGAAGAUGGGGAUGAGGGAAUUGCCAGAAAGCUUGCAAUUGUGGCUCUUUGGUGCAUUCAAUGGAAUCCCACGGAGAGACCUUCCAUGCCAAUGGUAUUACAAAUGCUUGAAGCUGAUUUUCAAAGCUUGGAGAUCCCUCCAAUGCCCUUUGUCUCUUCUGAUGUUGAGACAGGUGCAAUCAAUUGAUCUAGAUAAUAGAAGAUUACAAUUUAAAAGAGAUAUUGUUAAUUUGUUUCAAAAUUUCCCCGAUUAUAAGAAAAAUUAUUUAGUCCUCCUUGUUAUUGGAACACUUGAAAACCAGUAUAUUGAGUUUUUAUUCGAUUGUAGUUGUUUUAUCUAUCGCUUAAAAUCUUUGAUGUGUUUGACUGAUACAACAUUAAUACAAUUAUAGAUGACUUUUUUCAAUUUGUCAUAUUAGUUGAGAACCUACUAUUGUACUUCUAUUAUGUACUUAAAAAUUGAGAUGAAUGAAAUUUAUUAUUUUAAAAUAUAAAAAUCUUAAUAUUAUCACUCACAUUCUUCUUGUAUUUAUAUAUGUUCUCGUAUCAUGCGCUCAACUAAAAUUUAGGAAUCUUUUAUUUUUGAUGGGGCUUUUUUUUUUUCCUUUAAAACCAAAAUAAAGUUGGGAUUCAUUUAUGUUUUAAUCACAUGCUUGUUUCAAAAUUUUACUUUCUUACAAUGUUUUUACAAUUUUUUUAAAAUGUACUCUCAUAUUUGUUAAAUUUAAGAAUUAAAGUCCAUGAUAUUAUAUUCAUCUUUAAGUUUCUCAACAGCUACUUCGGAAGUGAAUCAGACUGGAAGGGAAAAAAUGAACAAAACAACGGAACAGUUCAUGGCUUUACGCUUCUUUAUGGACUGCGGUUGCCUCCAAGAAUAGCCCAAGUCAUUAGUGGGCUUUUUAUGCUCCUCUGAAAAGCCCAAAGCGUCCGUGAUAAAGCAGCUCAUAGGAGCAGUCCCAAUUAUGAAUCUCUCUUAACUCCUCAAGCGGGGUUUCAUUUUGAAUGCCGCCAAUUGCCUCAUUUCACAAUAUAGAUACGCAUGCAUGGAGGAUAUAUAUACACUGGGUUUAGAUGUGUAUACAUAACUUAUAAAGUUAUAAUUAUAUUAGGAGUAUAAUUGUAUAUGUAUGUAUGUGUUUGUCUGUGUGUCUUUCUCUCUCUCUGUAUAUAUAUAUAUAUGAACAAUAAAAUAAUAAUAAAAUGAAAAUUAACAAAUAGCACCUGGAAGAAGAUCAGUAGAUCACUACAGUUUUGAGGGCUAAAUGAAGCUGCACGUUGAUGACAGAAUACAGAGAGCACAAAGAUUUAAAAUACGUUUGCUUAAUGGCAUUUUAAUUUAUGCGCUCUCUAUCUUCUGUCAACAAAAUUUCAGAAAAUUAGGGCCCUCUACUUCAAUUAGAACAAAAACAUGCACCAAAUAUUAAUAAGGAAAAAAAAUCACCAAUCGAUACGUUUUUGUCUCCACAAUAAUAAAUAGCUGCGGAAUGGCCAUCGAAGCGUGCAUAUCCAUAGCAGCAUGACAUUAAAGUGCUUGAUAAAUUGUUUACAGUAGCAUGACUUUGUAUGCCAGAUAAAUGGUUGCAGGCUUAAACGCAUUAAUUUAUGAAGUGCUUCCCCCUUUUAGGCUGGAGAUAAAUCCAAUCUACAUUACUUUCCCUCCUUUUCUUGCUCGCCUUUUGCAAUAGAUAUGUUAUUAUUUUGUUUUUUUAGUACAUUUUCAAUGAGACUACUAUUCCUAUAUCGGCUGCCAAGUUAACCAUUUGAUCAAUAUUUAUUUUAUGGAUUUGAAUUCGACAUGACAAACAUUAAAAACAAGUGGCAUACAACAUGACCAAAUUUUACAUCAAUACAUACAUUAUACUAAUGCAGCUGCGACAUUUGAAAUAAGUGAUUAUUUCAUUAAAGCAAUUUAUGGCAGUGAUACAUACCACAUGAAACACAACAGAACUUGUUACAAUGUCACAAAAUUAAUACGAAAACAUUUGAUGGAGAGGAAAUCUAUGCAGAAGUGAUUUGCCUUCAUAAAAUAUCAUAGUGACACUUUUGACUCUUGACGGCAACGAAGUCUACUCAUAGAACCAAUCUUGAAUCGGAAAUGGAGAGUUUUAAAAAUCACAUGAAAAAUUAGCUUACGAAGACACACCAAAAUGUUGCACCAAGCAUAAGAUUCAAGUAUCCUUAGCUCGAAUCUGUUGUGUGUGACUUAAGUGGAUAUAUCAAACCACAUUGAUUUUUUGUUCCCUUUGCGCCUAACUAGUAUUACAUCGGUGGUCUAACUUUUUUCAUUCAUAUACUGUGUGUGAUGAAUUACAUAUAAAUUGAUCUAAAUUUUAGUCAUAAAUUAUAUCAUUUCUACUCUAAUCUACUUGAGAUUAAUGAACGUCGUAUAUGAUAAAAAAAAUAAAUUAUUAAUAACAUCUCUUUUCUUAUUCUAAUAAUCUAUUAUUUGUUGUCAUAUCUUAUGAUCAAACUAUGUAUUCGACCAUUAAUUUUCCAAUAUCAUUUUUUGAUAUAUUUACUUGUUUCCAUUAUUACAGUCUAACGGUUUAUACUUCUUUCAGGAUUUUGGUGGUCUCAAUGUGAAGCCCAGCUCAUAUUGGGCAUUUGAAAUCGAAAUCAUUAAAAAGCCCAAAAAAUAACUAAUGCGCAAGGAUAGACUCAUAUCCAUAUAUAUAUAUAUAUAUAUAUAAAUGUUCUAAUUUAGGAUUUUAAAGUGCGGGAAAGUUUGAAAAAUCUUUAAAAUUGUAAACUUUUAAAACUGUGCGGUUUUAAAACUUUCCUAAACUUUCCCGCACUUUAAAAUUCUGGAUAUAUAUAUAUAUAUAUAUAUCAGGAAUCCUUAACUUUAAUAAAGUUAGAGAUUAGCCAAAAAACAAAAAAAUUUAGAUUUUAAUACACUACAUAAAAAAAUACAAUCCAUUGGAAUAUGUGUUUAUUUUAUCUUUUAACUUACCCAUAACUUUAUUAAAAUCAGAGAUCCCUAAUUAAAAAACUAAUAUAUAUAUAUAUAUAUAUAUAUAUAUAUACACACACACAUACACAUACAAUAUUUCUAUUAUCCAAAUGUCCGGAUAUUAGUUAUCCUCUGCAUGUUGAAUAUAAGCGGUUGGAUCAAAUUGAGUCAAUCCAACGCUCUUAAAACUUUUGCGCGCUAAACUAGUAAAGUGCAAUAAAUAUUAUAUUGAUUUAUUGUCGUAAAAGAACCCUAGUUAUAUAACUAGUUGUCUGCCUAUUAACUAGUUGCCAAGCCAAAACACUAAUUAUCAUUGACUUUAAUUUUUAAUUUUGAUCGCUACUGUUGGCGGGUUCUCACAAUUAAUAACAGGUAUGCUAAAUUCUUUUAAAAAUAUAUAUGUGUGUAUUAUUUUACUCAUGAGUCAUGAAUAUAAUCUGACGCCUUUUAUUUUAUUAUUUGUAUUGUUCUAUUCUUGUCUACAUCUUUCUAAUUUCCAUGUAGCUAAAAUCCAUUUUCAUAUUAAUUACUAUAGAUCGUGAUGUUAUAAUAAUUUUUUUUUCUUGUUUGAUUUAUGAAGAGAAUGAAUGAUAUUGGAAUAGACACUGGGGAAAGUUAUGAAGAAGCCAAGCAAGAGCAGAGAGACAAAGUUUACAAACCCGUAGUCAUACCACAUGAUCAUAUGCCCAGGUUAUGACAAGAAUUUGUCUUACUAGAUGACGUUCAUGAAUUUUAUAAUGAAUAUGCAAAAAAGGUUGGUUUUAGCGUGAGAAUCAACUCUAGUAAGAAAAGUCACACAGGCGAAAUUGUAAGGAAGGAGUAUAUAUGCUCUAAAGAAGGGGCAACCACUAAAGAAGUAGUUGAAAAAAAACGACGACGCGGUAAAGUGAGAGAGGGUUGUAAGGCAAAACUAGCAAUGGUUAAGUCUAAAUCAGGAACUUAUGUAGCUAGCGUAUUUGAAGAGGAUCAUAACCACCCAUUAACAACACCCCGAAGAGUACACCUUUUAAGAUCUGUAAAGGAAGCUCAUUGUGCUGAGCUUAUGAAGAAUAGAAAGGUGAAGAAGCCGAUAGUUUCAGCAAGUGAAGUUAGUCAAUCAUGCCAGCUCAGCAGUGCCAAGUCAUCAGAGUUAGUUAUGAAAUACCAAGUCAGCACAGGAUGUUAAAGUCUGUUAUUAAUAAUUCUUGUGUGCAUAACUAACUCGUGUGUAUAUAAGCUGUGAUUGAUUAAGUUGUAAAUGACUUUUGUGAAUUGUCCAGAUUCAAUGAAAUAAAAUUUUCUCUGCAAUUUUUCCUUUAAAACAAACAGCUCAAGUUUUCUUUUAUGGUAUCAGAGCCACAAUGGCUAGUUCCAGUACAACUAAUCAAAAUCAUUCGAUUGUUCAUCAAACUCAUUCUCAUCAAAUUUCAUUUACUUUUGCUACAACCGUCAAGCUUGAUCGAUCUAAUUUUCUCCUCUGGCGUAAGCAAGUUCUGACUUCGAUCAGAGGAAAUAGACUUGAAGGUUUUAUCUCAGAAAAUCAAAAUAUUCCAGAACAGUAUUUGUCUCAAGCUCGAACUGAUGGAUCUGUGGAGAGAACUGAGAAUCCAGCAUAUGUAAAUUGGAGAGCUCAGGAUCAGACUCUGCUGAGCUGGCUCUUUUCAACUAUAAGUGAAGGUAUUCUAAGCUCAGUUCUCAAUUAUGAUACUACAUUUGAUGUCUGGAAGUCGAUUGAAAAGCAAUUUGGAGUUCAAUCUGAAGCAAAGGUUAUGCAGCUUCGAUAUGAAUUAGAUACCUUAAGAAAAGAAUCAAUGUCGAUUGAAGAAUAUUGCUCAAAGAUGAAGAUACUUGCUAAUAAGCUUGCCUGUGCUGGUGAUAAUAUAACUGAAAAAGAUCUGCUAAUAAGAACUCUUAAUGGAUUAGGAUCUGGCUAUCUGGAUUUAGCUUCAAUAAUUACAGCAAAUAAAAUGAGUUAUGAUGAUGCAUAUGCACUUUUGUUGAGUCAUGAGGCUAGAUUGGAACAACAUCAGAAUUCUCAGAAUUCUCAGGCCAUGUUUAAUGCUAAUCACAGUAUGAUGAAUGCAAACUAUUCACAAAUGAGGGGAAUUCCUAGGAGAAAUACUUAUGGUAAUGGAUCCUUUGGUCAAUUUGGAGGAAGAAGUCAAAAUUUUGGUCGAGGCAUGUUCUUUAACUCUUAUCCUAGAGGUUUUCCAGCUGGUAGUAGUACUGCUGGUGGUUUUGGAAGAGGUCAUGCUGCAAGCUUUGGAAGAAAUCAACAAUUUACACAUCAUCCUAGGUCACCACAUGUAAGGAAUACAUUUUUACCUGGAAUGAGCUCAAGCAUUUCUGCUGGUGAAUCUAAUGAGUCAAUACCUGUGUGCCAAAUAUGUCACAAACAAGGUCAUACUGCUGAUGCUUGCUGGUAUAGAUAUGGUGAUAAUUACUCUCCUUUUCCAAAACAAUUUGGGAGAGGAAAGAUGAUGGGACCUAAAGCAGCAUAUAUGACCAAUUUUGAGCCAUUCUCAUACCACCAGUCAGCUAUUGAAGAUCCUUAUGAACUUUCUGGUGUCAACUCUGGCUGUCAACCAGUUCAUUACUCCCCUGUUUCUUCUUAUUCAUCAGAAGCAUUUACUUUGCCUGAAGCUUAUGUUGCAAAUCUGGAAGAUUCAUCAGAUGAAGGGUGGUAUCUGGACAGUGGUGCCACACAUCACAUUACAAAUAACAUGGAAAACAUGCAUGUACGAGAAGAAUUCAAAGGUUUAGACCAGCUUACCAUUGGCAAUGGACAAGGUUUGAUCAUUACUCAUAUUGGUGAUGCUUGCUUUAACUAUAAAUGCCUUCAUACUGCCUGCCAGCACACACCUAUAACACUUAAAGAUAUCUUAUUAGUUCCUUCAAUUACUAAGAACUUAAUAAGUGUAUCUAAGUUGACAACUGAUAAUAACCUUUCUAUUGAAUUUGUUGGCAAUGUGUGUUAUGUAAAGGAUUCACUGAAGGGACAGGUGCUUUUGCAAGGUCUUGCUGAAAAAGGAUUAUACAAGUUGCUGUUAAAGUCAUCUCAGACAUCACCCUCUUCUUUCUUGAGUCAAGUUUCUUCAAAUAAGCCUUUGUCUAUGCUAUCUACUUGUCAUCUUUCAUUUCCUGUUACAACUGGUGCUCAAAAUAAUCAUUCAACUUCUAUGUCUUGUUAUCAAACUGUUGUCUCUCCUUGUAAUGCAUCAGUUAAUAAAAUCAGUUUGUUUCAUAGAAGAUUUGGUCAUCCUCAUCAUGAUGUACUAAUACAUUUGCUUAAGAAUGAUAAAACUAUCAAUCUCUCUACCAAUCUUAUCAAACAAUCUGCACAGCAGAUAUGUGAGGCAUGUCAACUAGGCAAGGUUCAUAGAUUGCAUUUUCCUAUUGCUGAAACCAAAACUUCUCACAUCCUUGAACUCAUUUAUACUGAUUUAUGGGGACCCUCACCUAUACCUUCUAGAACUGGUCAUAUCUAUUAUAUCAGCUUUGUUGAUGAUUUUAGCCGAUAUACUUGGAUUUAUCCAUUAAAGUUGAAAUCAGAAGCCUUACAAAUUUUCAAACUAUUCAGAUUGCAAGUUGAAAAACAGUUUCAAUGCCCCAUUAAGAAGUUGCAAUCUGACUGGGGGGGAGAGUACCGAGCAUUUACUGAAUUCUUGAAUCAAAAUGGCAUUAUUUUCAGGCACUCAUGUCCCUAUACACACCAUCAAAAUGGGGUAGUUGAGAGAAAGCAUAGGCAUGUAGUUGAGUCAGGUCUCACACUUUUAGCUCAAGCUAAGUUACCCUUACAAUUUUGGUGGGAAGCCUUCCAAACUGCUGUUUAUCAUAUUAACAGGUUGCCUUCUGCAACUCUGAAAUUUCUUACACCAUAUGAAAAGCUUUUCAGUCAUAAACCAGAUUACAAGAUGCUCAAGUGUUUUGGCUGUGCAUGUUAUCCUUAUUUGAGAGAUUACAACAAGCAUAAGUUUGCAUAUCAUUCUAGUAAAUGUAUUUUCAUAGGUUACAGCCCUUCUCAUAAAGGGUACAAGUGUUUACAUCCAUCUGGUCAAACCUAUAUAGCUAGACAUGUUGUUUUUUAUGAGAAUUUGUUUCUUUACUCAUCAGAUUCUGGUUUCACUUCAAACUCAUCAAAUUCAUGUUCAAACCUACCAUUUACUCCUCAACAAGUGUAUCAUCUAUCCACUUUGUUAAUAUCUCCAAUAUCAGAUGACAGCAACUACUAUAAUCAUGAUUCUGCAAGACCUACCAGUAGCACUUCUCAUCACUCAGGUAAUUCUGCAUACAACAUUGAUCCUCACUCUUUAUCACAAACAGUUCAACCACAUACAGAGCCAGAGCCUUGUACUUCUCCUCAUGAUCAAAUAUCUCCUCAUAAUCAAAUAUCACUAAACACUAUUCCAUCUAUCUCAUCCCUAGAACAUACACAACACAUUACUACACCAGUAAACUCACAUUCCAUGAUCACUAGAAGCAAAGCUGGGAUUUUAAAGCCAAAACUCUACAAUGUCACACUUGUUCAUAAAGAACCAGAAUCUGUCAAAGAAGCUAUGGAGAAUCCUAAAUGGUUUGCAGCCAUGAAGGAUGAGUACAAGGCUCUAAUGGAUAACAAAACAUGGUCUCUGGUUCCUAGAUCAGCUGGUCAGAAAAUUAUUGGCAACAAGUGGGUAUUUAGAGUCAAACAAAAUUCAGAUGGAAGUUUGGCCAAGUAUAAAGCCAGACUAGUAGCUAAGGGGUUUCAGCAGAUUGAAGGGGUUAAUUACUUUGAGACAUUUAGCCCUGUAGUAAAGUCAGCUACUGUCAGAGUGGUGAUUAGUCUAGUUGUCAUGAAACAAUGGGAGAUAAGGCAAGUCGAUGUAAAUAAUGAUUUUCUUAAUGGAGAGCUGACAGAAGAGGUGUUUAUGGAUCAACCAGCAGGCUUUGUCAAUAAUCAGAAACCAGAAUUUGUAUGCAAACUCCAUAAGUCUCUCUAUGGUCUUAAACAAGCUCCAAGGGCCUGGUAUGAGAAGUUAAAAAGCUGCUUGUUACAGUGGGAUUUUGUCAAUUCAAGAGCAGACUCUUCCUUAUUCAUAAAGAAAACAAGAAACUUCAUGAUAAUGGUGUUGAUUUAUGUAGAUGAUAUCUUAAUCACAGGACCAGAUAGUGCAGCAUUGGAAACCUUUAUAACUGAACUGAGCAGAGUCUUUGCCUUGAAAGAUUUGGGUAAUUUGUCUUAUUUUCUGGGCAUUGAAGUUUUGUAUGAUGCAGGUUGUAUCUAUCUGUCACAAAGGAAAUACAUAAGAGACUUAUUAUCCAAAGUUCAGCUACUUGAAUGCAAAGGAAUUGAUAAACCUAUGAGCACUGGGAUAAAGCUACAAAAGGAAACUCCAGGUCAUCUUGGUCAGUAUAUCACUGAUCCUACACAUUAUAGAAGCAUUGUGGGGGGAAUGCAGUAUCUGAUCCUAACAAGACCAGAAAUUGCAUUUGCUGUCAACAAGUUAAGCCAGUAUGUUUCCACUCCUACAUUGCAGCACUUGGUAGCUUGUAAGAGAGUGCUCAGAUACUUGAAGUCUACUUAAGAUUAUGGACUUAAAUUUGCUCAGCAUGGAGAGAUGAAGAUCACAGGAUUCACUGAUGCAGAUUGGGCUGGUGAUCUUGAUGACAGAAAGUCUGUGGGUGCUUACUGCAUUUACUUGGGAAACAAUCUAAUAUCAUGGUCAUCUAAAAAGCAGUCAGUCAUUGCCAGAUCAAGUGCUGAAAGUGAAUAUAGAGCCUUAGCUUCAGCUAGUGCAGAGAUAAGCUGGUUACAAUCUCUGUUUUCUGAAAUUGGUUUAAGCUGUACAGAAACUCCUAGUGUUUGGUGUGACAACAUCAGUGCCACUGAGUUAGCUCGCAAUCCAGUUAUCCAUUCAAGGACUAAACAUAUUGAAAUUGACUUACACUUCAUCAGAGACAAAGUGAUUGCUGGAGAACUGCAAAUUCAGUACAUUCCUAGUGCAGAACAGAUAGCUGAUAUCAUGACCAAGCCUCUCUCAUUUAUUCACUUUAACUAUCUUAGAGACAAACUCAAUGUGCAGAUGUGUCCCUUGAGUUUGAGGGGGGCUGUAAAGGAAGCUCAUUGUGCUGAGCUUAUGAAGAAUAGAAAGGUGAAGAAGCCGAUAGUUUCAGCAAGUGAAGUUAGUCAAUCAUGCCAGCUCAGCAGUGCCAAGUCAUCAGAGUUAGUUAUGAAAUAGCAAGUCAGCACAGGAUGUUAAAGUCUGUUAUUAAUAAUUCUUGUGUGUAUAACUAACUUGUGUGUAUAUAAGCUGUGAUUGAUUAAGUUGAAUAAUGACUUUGUGAAUUGUCUAGAUUCAAUGAAAUAAAAUUUUCUCUGCAACUUUUCCUUUAAAAACAAACAGCUCAAGUUUUCUUUUAAGAUCUCAUCGUAAUGUGUCAGAAGCAAAAAGAUCAUUGACUCGUCAAUUAGCAGCAGCUAAUAUACCAAUACAUCAACAAAUUAGUGUCCUUGAGUUGCAAGCUGGAGGUAUACAAAAUAUUGGAUGUCUUGGGAAAAAUUUAUAUAACGAUGAAACGAAAUCCAAGAAUAAAGUGAAAGGACAUGAUGCAGAUAUGUUGUUAGAGCGUUUUCAGUUGGAAAAAGAGAAAAAUUCAGCAUUUACUUUUACAAUUGAGUCCGAUAAUGAAAAUAGAAUUACCCAUUGUUUUUGGGCUGAUGCAACAUCUAGAAGGGGUUAUAAUUCUUUUGGUGAUGUGGUGGUUUUUGAUACUACUUAUAAUACCAAUAAAUAUGGUAUGAUUUUUGCACCAUUUAUCGGGGUUAAUAACCAUGGCCAGACAAUUGUCUUUGCUUGUUCAUUCUUAAGCGAUGAAACUACUGAGUCUUUUGUUUGGUUGUUUGAGUAAUUUAAAAAAGCUAUGCCUAGUGAUCUACCGAAAAUGAUUAUUACUGACCAAGAUCCAGCUAUAACGAAAGCCAUUUCUGAAACUCUUCCAAAUACAUUUCAUAGGUAUUGUAUCUGGCACAUACUGAAUAAAUUUUCUAAUAAGAUUCAUGCAAUCAAGCAUAAGGAUUAUUAUCCUGAUUUUCAAAAAUGCAUUUGGAAGUCAUUGAGUAGGGAUGAUUUUGAUAGAAAUUGGCUGGAGAUUGUAGAAAAAGGCAAGCUACAUGAUAAUGCAUGGCUAAAAUCAGUUUUUGAAAUUCGUUCAAAAUGGGUGCCUACAUAUGUGAAUCAUGUCUUUUCUGCUGGAAUGUCCAGCAGUCAACAAGCAGAGAGCUGUCAUUCUUUCUUCAAGAGGUACGUGUCUAAAAAAAAUUCAUUAUUGGAUUUUAUGAUACGAUUUAAUAGAGCACUUAAUCACCAAAGACAUGAAGAGUUAAAUGCUAAUCAUGCAGACGUCAAUGAAAAACCUACUUUGAAAUUGCCUUUGAAGAGGGAGAAGCAAAUGGUUAGUCUUUACACACGUGAAAUUUUUUAUAAAUUUCAAGAUGAAUUGUGGGAUAGUUUGCAACAUAAAAUCGAACUUCUAAAAGAAUAUGCUCAUCAUUGUGUGUACAAAGUUGUGAACCAGAAUGAAGAUGAUGAUGUGCACGAAGUUUUGUUUGACAAAACUUUGGAUUUUGCUUCAUGUAUUUGUAAGAAGUUUGAGAGUAAAGGAAUUCCAUGUAAACAUAUUUUAGUUUAUUUUCAUAGAAAGCAAUUUACAUAUUUGCCAGAUCAAUACAUACUGAAGAGAUGGACAAAAUAUGCAAGAUGUGAUAAAGUCAUUGGUGAUGGUGGUUUAGAAAUAGAAGAUUGUUUCCAGAGUUCAAUUCUCAUGAGACGUACUGCAUUAUUUCAACUCGCUUCAAAUGUUAUUGAUAAGGCUGUCAUUAGUGAGGAGGCAAGUAAGAUACUGAUGGAUGAUUUCGAAAAUUCACUUCGGAAGAUUAAGUCAGUUGUAAGUCAGGAUCCAAAAGCUAUGGAGAAAAACAAGUGUACUGACCAACAUGUAUUGAAUGAUCCACUUGUAGUUAGGGCAAAAGGGUGUGGAAAAAGGCUGAAAAAAAGAAAAGAGAAGGCACGAGCUAAGGAUAAAAACAAGCAUUGUCAUGGAUGUGGAAAAAUUGGACAAUCACAUGAUAAAAGAAAUUGUUCAAUGCUCAAAAAUCGGUAAGCAUGUUUAACUUAACAUAUAAUUAUUAUACAACAUUUUUUUAUACUAAUUUUUUUACUCUAUUUUUACUUCACAUAGGUCUUCUUUAUUGGAUGAUGCAGAUAGUUUUAAUGAAAGCUCCUCCUCUAUAGGUACAUGGUCUUUGACAUAACUAUAAAUAUAUUUUGUUGUAUUGACAUUUGUGAAUAUGAAGUAAGAAUCUAAUUAAUUAUUUGUUCAUGCAUGUGUGGUUGACUACAGAUGAAUGACGGUCAAGAUCUGGGUUACUUUGGAUUCAUUUGAGAAAUCAUGGUUAUUAUUCUGACCAUGGGCUUAGCUAAAAUGUUUGGGCAAAUUAGAAUUUUUGUCUUCUGUAAUUAAAUUUUACAGGACUUAAUGAGUGUUAAAUAUUUUUCAAUUAAUUUACCUUAUAUUCCCAUUUGUCUUUUAUUAACUUUUUUAAUUUUAUAGUUGAAUGUCAUUCAAUGAGUUGGUUGCCAGUGAACAAUAAUUUUUUUUUUGAAAAGAGGAUUGUAAAUUAAUUGAGAAAAUUAAUGCGGUUUAAUUAGAAAGAUGCAGAAUAUUUAUAAGAAUUGAACAAUGAAAUAGAAUUGGAAUAUAUAAUUUUAAAAAAAUCAUGAAACAACAAUAAAAGAAAAAGCGCUUGAUUACAUUCAUGAUAAUUAGUAUAUUGAUUUGACAAGACUUCACAUGGGAUAAGUUAUUUAAAUAAAUUUAUAUUUUACCAGAUUUUACACUAACACAAUUUAAUAGACAGACAACUAGUUAUAUAACAAAGGUUUUUUUACGGCAAUAAAUCAAUAUAAUAUAUGUUGCACUUUACUAGUUUAGCGGGCAAAGGCUUUAAAAGCGUUGGAUUGACUCAAUUUGAUCCAACCGCUUAUAUUACACAUGCGGAGGAUAACUAAUAUCCGAACAUUCGGAUAAUAGAAAUAUUGUAUAUAUAUAUAUAUAUAUUAUCAUGUGUGGAUUUCCGCAUCUUUUAAAAUGUGAAUUUACUAAUAUACAAUAUAUUAAUUAUUUAAAAAAAGUUAAUAAAAAUACUAAUGCAUUGUAUGGCGUAUACGCGCUAUCACGCACACCUGAAGUAUUUUAAUUAGUGGAGUUGUGGGGCCUACAACACAACUCCACCAAUAAAAACUUAUCAUGCAUUAUAUUACUCAACUCUGGGUACCUAAUCAUAAUUCUAAAUGUACAUAUAUUUCUUUAUUCAUAAUAAUAAUAAUAAUAACAAUAAUUACAACAGCAACCAUAAUUUUUAGAAACUUGUGACAUGACAUGAGAAGUCCUCAUUCUUCUGCAUGUUGGUCGCUUUAAAAGUGUUGGUCGUCGGGGCCUCUCCAAAUUUCCAAUGCCGCGUUUCUCCAAAUCCUGUCAGGAAAAAAAAAAAAAGGUGGGGUACGCCAGUGUGUUUGGUGGUGAGAAAUUAAGAAAGCGAAAGAUAUUAACUGGAAUUGGACUGCAUUGAAACUGUUUCCAAUAAGUUCCAUCGCUUUUAAUGUUGAAGAACGUUUACCAAGAAAUUUGAGGUCAAGCUAGUAUUGGGAUGGAUCAUCCCAUUCCCACCGAUGCUAACUCAUUUACAAUUACCAGGAAAUUAAGCGACUUCUCCUUGCCGUAUGGACUUCCCCAUUGGAAUCUGAAAGCUUCCACCUAAACAAAUCGUGGAAAGAGACUCCAGAAGCUUCGUGGCAUCCGCAUAAAAAAUUUACAGUAAGAAACGAAAUUGAACAUGUUUAUCUAAUUUGUCCCCAUUGCAGUAAUGCUACAAGCCUAGCACUCAGUAAUUAAAAAUUUUCUUCCAUCGUGUCGAUUUCAUUUUAUGAAUAAUUAAUAUUAUUUUUAAAACAAAUUAUUUAGUGCUAAUUAAUUCAAUCGCAUAGUUGUAUACUAAACUAUAAUAAGUUUAAAGCCCGCCUCUCACCGCAAGUGAAACUGUAGAAAACGUAGCGCAUGAACACUUUUAUACCGUUCUGCUUAGUUUAUUCAAAUUCAUUAAUUGUAUCCUGCAAUUGGAGGAGCAAUGAGUAGUGAAGAAGCUUCAAUUUUCUCAACUUUUCUGUUUUGUCUGUUGAUGUUUGUAUUCAGCACCAGUGAAAUUGAAGCAAGAAAACUUGAAGUACAAAUGUGUUCUUUUUCUUGUGGAGAUGUCAGAAACAUAAGCUACCCUUUUCGCCUCAAGGGCGAUCCAGCUGGAUGCGGUCAUCCGGAGUUAGAACUUUCUUGUGAGAACAACAAAACCAUCUUAGAAUUGUCCAAUUCUGCAAGGUACUAUGUAAAGAGAAUUUCCCAUGAUAAAUGUACAAUCAGUGUUGCCGAUGUUAACCUAGCCAAUGGAAGCUGCGGCCUCCCGUACAAAUCUUUUUCCCUAUAUCCUUACUUUUUCCGACAUAUUAACGGUUACAUUCUUAAAUCAUACGCCCAUUACGUGAAUUGCUCAAGUAAUAUUAUUGAUCAGGCGUAUACGAAAGUUCCAUGUUUGAGUAACAAUCAGUCGAAUGUCUAUGUUUAUGUUGGACAUGUUGGAUAUGGUGUCACCAACCCCAGAAUAUAAGAUCUUCCAGACUCAUGCGUCUUCAUUUCAAAGGUUCCUGUAGUACUUAAAAGGGGUGUGGACAAUCCUUCUUAUGAAGACCUCCGAAAAUCGCUGGAGUCAGGGUUCGAUUUUAAACGGUUAGAUGAGUGCAGGGACAACACAUUUACUGAGUGUAAGCCUAUGCUUAUGUUUAUUUAUGCCUUCAAAUGCAAGCGAUUUGUUUUUUGUUUCUCAAUAUUGUACGUAAUAAAGAAUUUGUGAACUAUAUCUAAGAGCAUACCGAUGUGACCCUUAAUUUCUGUUUCUUUUCACUUUUGCAACAGAUUGCAACUUCAGAUACAAUGGAGUAGUGGCAAAAAUUAUUUGCUACCCAUGUUAUAUGCGUAAGCAUAUCCUUAUAUAUCUUUUUGAUCAUGUGUUUUCGACGUUAAUAAAUGCGACGGCUUCAUAUAUUCUCUAAUCUUUUGCUGUCUAGUUUUUUUCUGAAUCAUCUCUCUGAUUAGGUAUAAAGCAUAUUUAAUUUUUCCCCCUUCUCUCCAAUUGCAGUUUUCGGAGUAAUUUACCAAGCAAUGUUUUGGCCUUCCAUGGGAAAUUGGAUAAGUUUUCUGUUAGGUAAAAUCUCCUCUCCAGGAUCCUCUUUUUAUUGCUUUGCUUACUACUAUUUACUUUCAAUAAACGUUCUCUUUACCAGGGUUUCUAGUUGAUGUUCCGAUAAUUGGUAGAUUUAUUCUUGCUCCAAUAGUCUUUCUCGUGUUCCUUAUCCAAAGAUAUAGAAAAUCAUUGAAGAGAGUUGAUAAUGUGGAGAAAUUUCUGCACAAUCAACAAUCGUGGAUGCCUAAAAGGUACUCUUACCCGGAGAUAAUUGCCGUGACAAACCACUUCACUCAUAAAUUAGGCCAAGGUGGCUUUGGUUCAGUUUAUAAAGGACAACUUCAUACCGGUCGCUUGAUUGCUGUUAAGAUGCUGGAGAACUCCAAGUUCAGUGGGGAGGAAUUCAUCAAUGAAGUUUCAACAAUUGGUAGAAUUCACCACGUUAAUGUAGUCCAGCUAUUGGGGUUCUGUUCUGAGGGAUCCAAACGGGCACUUGUCUACGAGUAUAUGCCUAAUGGAUCACUCGAUAGGCAUAUCUUUCCCAAGGAGAGUAGAGGCCAAUCUUUUAGUUGGGAGAAACUCCACGAAGUUGCUUUAGGAACUGCCCGUGGGAUCGAGUAUUUACACAACGGAUGUGAUGUCUGCAUUCUUCAUUUCGACAUUAAGCCUCACAACAUCCUGCUAGAUCAUAAUUUCAUCCCAAAGGUCUCAGAUUUCGGCCUUGCAAAGUUUCAUCCCAAGGAAAAUGAUUUUGUGUCCAUCAGUGCCACAAGAGGAACCGUAGGAUACAUAGCACCUGAGCUGAUUUCAAGGAAUUUUGGAAAUGUUUCUUGCAAGUCAGAUGUUUACGGUUUUGGGGUGGUCUUGUUGGAAAUGGCUGGCGGAAGAAGGAAUUCUAAUAUGCAUGCAACUCGUUCAAGCAAAGCAUAUUUCCCAUCUUGGGUAUAUGACUAAUUAAAUAAGGGAGGUGAUUUAGAGCUUCGGAAUGUGACUGAAAUUGAGUCCGUGAUUGCAAGGAAACUGUGUAUGAUUGGUUUAUGGUGUAUUCAGGUGAAGGCACCUGAUCGCCCCUCCAUGACAAAAGUUUUGGAAAUGUUAGAAGGGAGUAUUGACGAUUUGCAAAUGCCUCCGAAACCUUUCUUCUCUUCUUCUCGACAUAUCUCCGGAAGAGAGAUUGAGUCAGAUUCUUCAACAUAGUUGUUAGUGUCUGAAUCGAUUGAGGAAUGUUCUUUCAAUGAUAGUUAUGCUUAGUUUUGGCAAUGAUAUGUGUAAAAAAGAAAUAAAUUGUCCUUGUGGUACCGGAGCUUCUAUAACAUUAUGUUGAAAAAUUUCAGUACGAUUCAUUGUUUGAUGUGAAUAUUCCAAUUUUGCUCAUAUCGACCAGAAUAUGAUGUAGGUUUGUCAUGUGAUCAUGUACAUUCAUCAACCUUUUGCGACGCUGCUUCCUGCACUCUUUGCUCCUGCUGAACUUAAUUUAAAGUACAAUUACCAAAGUAUAUGGCAGACACCUAAAUAUCACCACGCAUCCACUUUUACUUAAUAGCUAAUAAUUCCAUCUCACAACAAUGGCUAAUUUAGAGGCACAUAGUUCCCAUCAAUCCUAAACACACCCUUAGUCUCUCACUGAUAUAUCAUGCUAGCUGCUAGGAAUUACCCGUUUUCUAAAGAACAACGUUACUUACUGAUCUUAAAAACAUAAUUUUCUCAUUUCUUUACAGACAAAUUACUUUCGCAACUCUCACUAAAAUCUAUAUCACAAACAGCAAGUCUCAUCCUGUUCCUCCAUGCAUCUGAUAUUGGCAGAUACUGAAGUUGACUAAUCUCUUUGGGGCUACCAUUGACUUAGAAAAACAGAAGAAAUUAAAAGAAACCCAUUUUCCUGCAUUUUUCCUUGACAAAUUGACAAUCAAACUCUGCUCUCCCUCCUUACUCCAAAAGCAUAACUCAAAACCCCGCUCUAACUCAAACUUCACUCUCCCUCGCCCUCCAUGUCCCGCUUGAUGAGUCUAAUAAUCCUCGUCUUCUUCUUACCUUAUACAUGUACAUUAGCCAAAGCUUCUGCGGAAGACAACAAGACAGAUAAAUAUGAAUUCUGCCAACCAACAAGAUGCAGUAAUAGGAGCCCAAGUAUCAGAUAUCCCUUCAAACUCAAAACUCAACCAAUAUCUUGUGGCCUUGAAGGGUUUGAAUUGUCAUGCUUAAGUGACAAGACAAUCUGGCAUCUUCCUUCCUUUGGUGAUUAUUAUGUCCAUGAAAUUUCUUAUUUAGAUAGUAGUAUUAACAUUACAGAUGUGAAUGAGACUGCAUGCCCGUUUCAAAGUCUUAUCUCAUUCAACCUCACAAGCUCCAAAUUCUUUUUUCUUCCCUUUAAUGACAGUUACGCUUUAUAUAACUGCACUGAGAAGGCUGCUUCAGAAUGGACUCCUUUUGAAGCAAUUGGACCGAUCAAUUGUCUCGGCAGCGAAAACAAUCUUGUGUAUAUCAUACAUAGCGAAUAUUUAAUGGAGGAAAUGCCUCCAUCUUGCAGAAAAUCUCGAACAGUUGAGAUUCCUGGUGGAUUACCUCUGCAGGAUGUUGCUACGACGGCCAGGGCAAGACCAGUAGUCUUAGGAUGGGAAGCUCUUGAUGGAUGCUACCACUGCGAAAAUUCAGGGAAUUAUUGUGGGUUCAACACUACAAGCAAUUCGACAAUCUGCGUUUAUUGUGGGUUCAAUACUACAAGCAAUUCGACAAUCUGCGUUGCCGUUAAACACCAAAAACGUAAGUAGCCAUACUUUUCCUCAGUCACCCCUCUCUACAGUGCUUGAAAGUGAAAGCAUCGUCUCUAUUUAGCUAAUAAUAAAAAUAAUAAGUUGAAUUUAUUAUCAUUGUUAUAUAUGCUGGAAAAAUGAUCAGAGCAGUGUAACUGAAAAAAAAAAAUAACUAGGCUUUGCAUUAUUUUUUCAAUUGUAAAAGUGUAAUUACAAUUGGAAGUUAAAAAUUGAAGAAGCCAUCUAUAUUAUUUUAGGUCAGUUUUUCAAAAAAUUAAUAAUUUGAACUGAACUGAAAGUCCAAUCAAUCUAGUUCGAUUUAGUUAGGUUUUAUUUAUUUUUAUUUUUUUCAUUUGACCUGCAAUUUCUUUUGCGUUUUUCUAGUUUUUUGGUUUUUUACUUUCUCUCAUAUAAAUCGAUGGAUUUUUUUUACAAAAAAAAAAACUGACGAUUUGUUUUUUUGGCGGCAAUUAUAGUGUUACCCACCCCUAAUCUGUAUGGCGAAUAUCAUUGCUAUAAAGGUUGUUGAUGCAAGAAAUUCGGAUAAGUUGGUCAAAUCUCAGAUCACCGCAUCAUCAUUAAAUUUGUUUGGUGGGAAGCUGAUGAUUAGUUAGCUCCAUGAGCAGAUUUUCUAUGAGCAGAGAACUCAUGAGCAGACAAAUCUAUGAGCAGAUAACCCGUGAGCAGACGAUCCAUGAGCAGAGAACUCAUGAGCAGACAAUCUAUGAGCAGAUAACCCGUGAGCAGACGAUCCAUGAGCAGAUAACCCAUGAGCAGACGAUCCAUGAGCUGAGAACUCAUGAGCAGACAAAUCUAUGAGCAGACAACCCAUGAGCAGACGAUCCAUGAGCAGAUAACCUGUGAGCCUGUGAACACAACCAACAGUCAGGAGGUGCCGGAAGUUUUUCCAGCGAGAACCCUCCGACGCUCAAGUCAGCGAUUCGGGUCUUACUUGGAAAAACCCAUACCACAAUUCAUGUGGCUUAAUUAUGAUUGCUUUAAACAAAAAGCUUUUAAGUAAAUUUAAAGGAAAAGAAUUCAAAAUAAUCAAUCCUAAAGAAAUCACAGGGGAAAGAGAAAUUUCUCAGUUGUAGAGAGAGAAAAAGGUCCAAUGGGUUCAGUUGCCCAAACAGAGAGAGAGAGAGAGAGAGCUCCCCAGAAAAUCCCCCUUUUUCCUUCCACUUCCUAGGGUUUUUAUAGGAAACUAUAUCGGUUUUUAUCCCCUCCCCUAUAAUUCUCAAGAAAACUACUAAUUUUCAGCCCACUAAGAAUAUGGUCCCUAAUAUUUCGGAGAAAAUGUUUUGACUGAAUCGUGCUUUCUGGAAAGUUCCUGGUCGAGGUGACCAAUAAAAUCCUGGUCGAGGUGAUCUGCUCGAGGUCACCACAUAUUAUUCUGGUCGAGGUGACCAAUAAUAUCCUGGUCGAGGUGAUGUGCUCGAGGCCACCACAUAUUAUUCUGGUUGAGAUGACCAAUAACAUUCUGGUCAAGGUGAUCUGCUCCAGGUCACCACAUAUUAUUCUAGUCGAGGUGACCAAUAAUAUCCUGGUCGAGGUGAUUUAUCUUGGUCACCCUAUUUCAUUCCCUAAACAAAAGGCUGCUUUCCAGUAUUAUUGGCAGUUGUAGAGUGCUCGAUAAAAUGUUGCUAGCCUGGCUGAUUUGACUGUUUGAAGAAAAACUGAUACUACUCAGGACCAAAUAGAUAGUACUAAUUUUCUCUAUCUCGUCAAUUUAAUCUUGAAUCUUUAUAUUACAAUUAAUUUUCGUUAAUGGUGAGAGAUUGAUUAAACUCACAAUGCCUGAUAAAAGUUUAAUCUAUUAUAUUUUCUUACGUCCUCAAUGAAUACAAAUUAAGAAGAAUUAUUAUACUAAUACUUUUUCUCUAUGAUUGUCUUUGUCAACUUUUUAUGUAAGAGCCAAUAUACGUUCAUGAUGGCAAAUUUGUUGAGAAAAAAAUUUUGUUUAAUCAAGUGACCCUCAAUAUUCACAUGGAAUAAGAGACGAGGGAAAAAAAAUCAUUUUGUGAAUGCAGAAAGGCAAAAAAAAAAGCAUAAUGACAGGGAUUUCUAAUUGUGAUCAUUUUGGUGUUUUCAUUGUGUACUUGAGUAAAAGUUAAAAUUUUAAAAUUGAAGUGUGUAAGGUGAAAGAGUGCUUACUUUGCAGUUCAAAUAAUUUCAUCCUUCUCCUUAUUAGUAAUUUUUCAUUAUUUAGUUAAAUGACUACCUAAUUAUCUAUCCACCCAUGUGAAUAAGAUAUAUAAUUAUCAUUUAAGUUAUGGACAAAUACCUAUAUGAGAUGGUCACAUGAGAGGGACUUGUUAAAAACCAAUCAAAUAAUAUUGAGUCUUUAUGCUACCAAGUUAAGCUUGCACGGGUCCAAACUUUUAGCAUCUCAUUUUAUUGUUUGAAUUGAUUUUGUAACUAACUUUUAGCAUCUCAUUUUAUUGUAACAGAUGGUCCUGGCCCUUUAUCUAUAAGUCUAAUAUCCACAGGCACAAGCACUGGAGGCAUCACCCUCUUUGCAUUAGUGAUAUUUCUCAUUUACAAAUCAAGAGAAUCUGAAAAAGAAAAAGAGACUCAGCUGAAGGUGGAGAAGUUCCUCGAAAACUACAGGACCGUCAAUCCCACCAGAUAUACUUACAAAGAACUCAAGAAAAUAACAAGCAGAUUUAAGCACAGGCUCGGCCAGGGAGGUUAUGGAAGUGUGUUCAGAGGAAAACUCUUCAACGGAAUUCCAGUUGCUGUCAAGAUGUUGGAACAUUUAAAAGGAAAUGGACAAGAGUUCAUCAAUGAAGUGGCCACAAUUGGCAGGAUUCACCACUUUUACAUUGUUCGGCUUCUGGGAUUUUGCUCUGAAGGGAAUCGUCGCGCUCUUAUUUACGAGUUUAUGCCCAAUGGAUCACUUGAGAAAUUCAUCUUCUCAAAGACAAAUAGCUCAACUCACCGUCAAUUGAGUUGGGAGAAGCUGAGGAAGAUUGCAUUUGGCGUUGCCCGUGGAGUGGAGUACUUGCACCAAGGAUGCAACCACAGGAUCUUGCACUUCGAUAUCAAGCCUCACAAUAUAUUAUUAGACCAUAAUUUUCAACCGAAGAUUUCAGAUUUUGGAUUGGCUAAGUUGUGCUCAAAGGACAUAAGCAUUGUAUCUCUGACAGCUGCCAGAGGCACUUCUGGCUACAUUGCACCUGAACUUUUCUCCAGGAAUUUUGGUGAGAUCUCUUACAAGUCUGAUGUUUACAGUUCGGAAUGAUGCUGUUAGAGAUGGUCGGAUGCAGAAAAAAUAAUGAUCCUGCGGUUGAAAUUCAGAGCCAAAUAUAUUUUCCGGAGUGGAUUUACAAUAGAAUGAGGCAAGGACAAGAGCUCUGUUUGGAAUUUGAGGAAGAUGGGGAUGAGGGAAUUGCCAGAAAGCUUGCAAUUGUGGCACUUUGGUGCAUUCAUGGAAUCCCACGGAGAGACCUUCCAUGCCAAUUGUAUUACAAAUGCUUGAAGCUGAUUUACAAUGCUUGGAGAUCCCUCCAAUGCCCUUUGUCUCUUCUGAUGUUGAGGCAGGUGCAAUCAAUUGAUCUAGAUAGCAGAAGAUUAUAAUUAAAAAGGGAUAUUGUUAAUUUGUUUCAAAAUUUCCCCGAUUAUAAGCUAAAUUAUUUAGUCCUUCUUGUUAUUGAAAACCACUAAAUUGAGUUUUUGUUUGCUUGUGGUUGUUUUAUUUAUCAUUUAAAAUAUUUGAUGUGUUCGAGUGAUACAACAUUAAUACAACUAUGAAUGAAUUUUUUCAAUUUAUAAUAUUAUUGAGGAAAAAGGAUAAUUAUACUCUUAAAGUUUAAGAAAAUAAUUACAAAAGCUCUCAAGUUUUUAAAAUAAGACAUCACGACCCAUUUUUAAUCAUAAUACCCUUUGAAUUUAUUAAUUAGGAAAUUGACUUUGAAGUUUUUAUUUAAUUAAAAUUUGAUAUAAAUAAUAUAAUUUAUCUAGUAGACUAAUAAUAUUAAAUUAUUUUUAACAUUUAAAAUAAUAUAAAAUUUUAAAUUAUUAUAUUUAUUUUAAUAAUAGAUUUGUAUUUGUUAUAAAGAUUUUAAAUAAAAUCUUUGGGUUUAAUUUUACAAUUAACAAAAUAUAUCCCUAUCAAUAAUAUUAAAAUUAUUUUUACAUAAUUUUCAAAAUAAUUUUAAUUAAUUAAUUUUAAUAUUAUGUUUCUAUUUAUUUUUAAAAAUUACCUCAACAUAAUAAAAUAGGUCUAAGAGAUUGUAAAAUAUAAAAAUAUUUUUUUAAAUAUUUUAAAAAUGCAUAUAUUAUUAUAUUUAUUUUAAUGUCAUAUUUCUAUAGAUUAUAAAAUUUUAGAGUAAUUUUUUAGAUUUACAGAGUUAAAGGGUAUUAAAGCAAAAAAAAAAAAAAUGACCUUGCUGUCGUUUAUUGAAGACUUGGGAGUUUUUAUAAUUAUUUUUGCAAAAGUAGGAGUGUAGGUGUCUUUUUUGCUAUUAUUUAUUAUGCCCCGCUACCCUUCUCUACUAAAAUCAAUGCUACCUAAUUGCUGAUGAAUCUUUUGAUUAAUCAUUUAGUUUCAGAUAAGCAACGAAGUGAGACUUCAAAAGUCUUCCAAAAUGUGCACCGUCGUCUCUGAUUCUGAAGUAGGCCCUUGGAAAUUUCAACUUGUCAAGUAGAUGAUUAUUAGUAACUGGACUGCUAAAUCUUAUUCCAUUUAUGGCAGAUUACAUGCAUAUCGAAUGAAACACAACAGAGCUCAUUACAGUGGCACAAAAUUAAUAUAAAAACAUUUGAUAGAGAGGAAACCUCUGCACCUAUGAUACCUUCCCAUGCAAGCACAAGGUGCAUAAAGCAUACGAAAACUUUAGUCUAUUUUUAAACACAUCAUUGAAAAAAAAAAUUAAGCAUAACUACUGAAAGAUCAUUCCUUUAUUGAUAGGUUUAUAGUUCCCAAGGAGGGUAGUUGGUAGAAACUCCAUGAGCUAGGUUGCUUUAGAAAAGGCUCGCGGGAUCGAGUAUUUACAGAACGACCGGAUGUGAUGUGUGCAGUCUUCAUUUCAACAUUUAAGUCUCACAACAUCCUGCUAGAUCCUAAUUCCUUCCCAAAGGGCUCAGAUUUCGGCCCUUGCAAAAUUUCAUCCCAAGGAAAAUGAUUUUGCCCCCAUCAGCGCCACAGGAGGAACAAUAUAUAGGUUAAAAUAUUACAUGAGCUAUGACUAAGACGAUGAUCGCUCUUCUGUGACAAAAGUUUUGGACAUUUUAGAAUGGAGUAUUGACGAUUUGCAAAUGCCUCCAAAACCUUUCUCAUCUUCUUCUAGACAUAUAUCCGGAAGAGAGAUUGAAUCAGAUUCUUCAACAGAGUUGUUAAUUUCUGAAUCAGUGAAGGAAUGAUCUUUAAGUGAUAUUUAGGUUUAAUUUUGCCAAUGAUGAAUGCAAAAUAAAUAAAUGAAUAGCGUGCAAUUAAUGACAAAUGUUAUUAUUCUUCUCAUUGCUUUAUCUCGAAUUGGAGCCUAAUGCACACACUUUUCGCGAUUGAUAGAUAAUUUAGUUGUUGAAAUCUUUUUAGUUGAUUCAAAAAGUUUAAGAUUUGAAUCUGUCCAUAUGGGUGGCAAAAGAAUUUAACUAGACGUGUGUUAAGCUUAACUUAAAACUCUGAGGUGGCAAUUUUCUUCAUUAUUUUACCCCCACAUUGAAAAGUAAUCACAAAAAAUCAUCACCGACGCAAACUUGCAAUCAAAACGUUUACCGAGAGUUGACUGACUUUUAAGAGUGUCCGAAAUCCCCCAUUGCAUGAAUGCUACGAGUCUUGUACUCAACAAAUAAAAUUAAUAUGCUCUUUUAAACCUUUUUAAUUUCCCCAUCUUUGUUGAUUUUUUUUAAGAAUAAGAUAAUACUAUUUUUGAACAAUUAAUUAUUGCUAAAUCAUUUUCAGCUAGUAGAAUCAGAUAGUUGAAUGCUAUAAUAUAUUUACUAAAUUGUCAAGUAAUGAUGUAAAUACGUAUCCAAAACUUUGAAAAUGCGGCCUUCUGUUUAAUUUAUUGACAUUUAUCUUAUCCUGGGAUUGGAUUAACAAUGAGUUGGUGGUAGUUUCGACCAUACGCUUUCUUUCUUUCUUUUUUGUUUUUUGUUAAUUAGUUUAGAAUUUUAAGGAAUUUUAGUUUUUAAUAUUUUUUGGGAAUUUUUUAGGAGCUCUUUGGGGUUCUUUUAUUGCUGUAAAUUUUCCAUAUUUUUUGUUUUCUUUCUCUCGCUCUGUCCUCUUUUUUUUUUUUGGGUGUUUAUAAUAAUUGGGUUCUGUUGUAUAAACACUACUUCCUCAUAUUAUGAUAUAUUUGAGACUUAGGAGUAAAUUAAAAUUAAAAAAAGAAACAAUUAAUUGAGAAGGAUUGAUUACUUUUGAUAAAUAGAUUAAAAGUGAUUAGUGGAUAAUAAAAUUUGGUUCAUUGAGGUAGUUAAAGUUUUAAAAUUCAUCUUUAAUUAAUUAAGUGCUGCUGAAAUUAAAUUAUAAUUAUUUGUUUAUAAUAAAUCUGUAAAAAAAGUGCACAAGUGCACAAACGAAAAAAGUACUCGAAUUUGUAAUAAAUGCUUUUGAUUCCAACGAGUUGCGGAGGCACGUUACAAAAUAAGGUUUUUAAUUUAAAAAAGUGAAUUUUAGUCAAAAGGUUCGGGAUUCAUGUUUUUAUCAUGUUAAAAUGAUUUUCCAUCAUAUCCUACACUCAUUACAUGUCACUUGACGGCAAGGUGAAGGAGGUCUACUUGUAGAACCAAAUCUCGAACGAUAAGUUUCGGUUAGAAACAAAAAAAAAAAUAAAUAAAAUGAAUUUUAUUGAUAGUCUUAGCCUAGCUAAUAAAAUCUUAUUUUAUAUGUUUUAUUCAUUAAAUUUCUUUUUAAAUUACUUAAAACACAUCAAAUAUUGCGCUGAACGUACGAUUCAAACAUUCUUAAUGCUCACUAAUUUGAAUUCGUUGUAAGAAAAUUAUUGGUGGGGGGUUAUAAAAUAUCAAUGACCUGUCUAUCUAAACUACUAUGAUGAGUUGCGUGUAAAUUGAUCUGAAUAUUAGUUGAGAACCUACUACUAUACUUCUAUUACCUACUUGAGAAUUGAGAUGAAUGAAAUUUAUUUUUUUAAAAUAUAAAAAUCUUAAUAUUAUCUCUCAUAUUCUUCUUGUAUUUGUAUAUGUUGUCGUAUCAUGCGCUCAAAAAAAAUUUAGGAAACUUUUAUUUUUUUAUGAUACUUUUUUCCCCUUUAAAACUAAAAUAAAGUAAGGAUUCAUUCAUGUUUUAAUCACAUGCUUGUUUCAAAUUUUUACUUUCUUACAAUGUUUUUAUGCUUUUUUAAAAUGUGCUCUCAUAUUUGUUAAAUUUAAGAAUUAAAGUCGAUGGUAUUGUAUUCAUCUUUAGGUUUCUCAAACAGCUACUUUGGAAGUGAAUCAGACUAGAAGGAAAAAAAUGAACCCAAAAAAAAAAAAAACGGAACAGUUCAUGGCUUUGUGCUUCUUUAUGGACUGUGGUUGCCUCAAUGAAUAACCCAAGUGAUUAUUGGGCUUUUACGUCGGCUCCUAUGAAAAGCCCAAAGCGUCCAUGAUGAAGCAGGUCACAGGAGCAGUCCCAAUUCUGAAUCUCUCUCAACUCCUCAAGCAGGGUUUCAUUUUGAAUGCCGCCAUUGGGCGCAUUUCACAAUAUAGAUGUGCAUGCAUGGAGGAUAUAUAUACACUGGGUGGAGAUAAAUCAAGACUACAUUGCUUUCCCUCUUUUUCUUGUUCACCUUUUGCAAUAGAUACGUUAUUAUAUUGUUUUUUUAGCACAUUUUCAAUGAGACUACUAUUCCCAUAUCGGCUGCCAAGUUAAUCAUUUGAUCAAAAUUUUAUUUUAUGGAUUUGAAUUCGACAUGACAGAUAUUAGAAACAGGUGGCAUACAACAUGACCAAAUUUUACAUCAAAAUAUAUAUAUUGGCUAAUGCUAAGUUACAUACAUGUAACUUACAACCCUCUCACAUGAAUAGUGAGUGGACUGCAUGUAGCAUAUGAGGAUCCAUAUACAAUAUAUAUGCUAAUGCAGCUGCGACAUUUGAAAUAAGCGAUUAUUCCAUUAAAUCCAUUUACGGCAGAACUACAUACUGCAUGAAAGGCAAUAUGACUCGUUACAAUGUCACAAAAUUAAUACAAAAACAUUUGAUAGAGAGGAAAUCUCUGUAUAAGUGAUUUGCCUUUAUAAAAUAUCAUAGUGACACUUUGACUCUUGACAGUAAAGAUGUCUACUCAGUACUCACUGAACCAAUCUUGAAUCAGAAAUGGAGAGUUUUGAAAAUCACAUGAAAAAUUAGCUUAUGAAGACACCAAAAUGUUUCACCAAGCAUAAGAUUCAAGAUAUCCUUAUCUCGAAUCUGUUGUAUGUAAGUUAAGUGGAAAUAUCAGAACACAUUGAUUUUUUUUCCCUUUGCGCCUAGCUAGUAUUACAUCGGUGGUCUAACUUUUUCCAUCCACAUACUGUGUGUGAUGAAUAACAUAUAAAUUUAUCUAAAUUUUAGUCAUAAAUUAUACCAUUUCUACUCUAAUCUACCUGAGAUUAAUGAACGUCGUAUAUGAUAAAAAAAAAUUAAUAUCAUCUCUUUUGUUAUUCUAAUAAUAUAUUAUUUGUUGUCAUAUCCUGUGAUCAAAUUAUAUAUUCGACCAAGGUCGGCUUUAGAGUGUUUGGGGCCUUAGGUGAAUUUUUUUUAUGAGGCCUCUAUUUAUUUUGCAAUUUCAAUACUCAAAGAAAUAAAAAAGGCCCAAAAUUUAUUCCAUUUUUAAUUCUUGAAUUUUAAAAAUAAAACCUAAAAAAAGUUAAGAAGAUAUUUUUUUUAUUCCAUUAAAACUAUUACAAAAUAAAAAAUCAAAUAAAUAAUAAAAAUAAUAUUUUCAAAUAGGAUAUUUAGAAUAAUAGAACAUAAAAAGUUGAAAGGAUAAAUUAAUGAUCAGAUAAUAGAAAUGAACUUUGUAUUUUUAUAAACUGAUUUUUUUAAAAUUAACCAAUGAAUAUAAUAAUUUUCUUUGCAAAGAAGAGAGGAAGAAAUUUUUUCAUUUACUGAUUUUUGAGAUUACAAAGUUUUUAAUAGAAAUUAAAAGAAAUACUAAAAGUCAAAUAUUCUAACAUUAAAUAAUUAAUUUUUUUGAGGAAAUUGAAAAGAUAACUAAUUAUAAUGAAUGAAUUAAUGAUUAAAUGAUAUUAUUAGUUAUAUCUAUUUAACAUUAAUGUUAUCAAAUAUAGAUUUUUCAUAAAAAUAAUUCUUAAUUGUAGGGUAAUUAAUAAUUAGAGAGAUGUUAAUAAGCUUUUUGAUUUCCUAAAAUAUAUAAUUUAAAAAAUGAGAAUUAUUAAAAAAAAAUGAGGCCUUCACAAUAAUGAAACUUUAUGCGACCGCCUUAUUCGUCUAUACCUAAAGUCACCCCUGUAUUCGACCAUUGAUUUUCAAAUAUCAUUAUUUGAUAUAUUUACUUAUUUCUAUAAUUACAAUCCAACGAUUUAUGCUUCUUUCUGGAUUUUGGUGGUCUCAAUGUGAAGCCCAGCUCAUAUUAGGCAUUUAAAAUUGAAAUCAUUAAAAAGCCCAAAAAAUACCUAAUGUGCAAGUAUAGACUCAUAUCUUCAUGGCCUUUUUAAAUAUAUAUAUAGUUUUUCAAUUAGGAAUUAUUGACUUUAAUAAAAUAUAAUGUAUUAGAAUAUGUGUUUAUUUUAUUUUUUUAACUUAUUCUUAAGUUUAUUAAAAUAAAAAAUCUCUAAUUAAAAAACUACUAUAUAUAUAUUGUCAUGCGUGGAUUUCCUCAUCUUUUAAAUUGUGAAUUUACUAAUAUACUGUAUAUUAGUUAAUUGGAAAAAGUUAAUAAAAACACUAAGGGUAGGGAUAUUUGAACCCACCAAACUACUCAUUAAAUCCACUUUUGAAAAUAUUUUUUUAUGAUUAAAACACCCUAAGUUAAAUUACAGUUAUGGACAUUGAAAUAUAAUAAAAAAGGAAAAAAAUAAAAUUUUUACUUUUUCAACCCACUUCAUAUUCAACAUAAUUUUAUUAAAUCCUAAUCAUAUUUUAAUUAAACCCUAAUCAAUCAAGAUGUGUGAUUUUCCUGCCAAGCUAUAUAUUUUUAUAUUUGUUCUCUCUUUAAAUGUUUCUUUCGCAUGUUAUUGCUCUGUCACAUGAAAAAUUUAUGAGCAAUCAUUUGUCAAUUUAAAUUUAAAUUUAUGAGUAAUCAUUGUAACUUAAACUAAGAAAUCAAGCCUGCUGACAUAACUUGAUGAUAGCAAGCCUGAACAACGGAGAAAUAUCCAUUUUGACUCCUUAUGCCUUUUGGUUGAGCUUUCAUCAUUUCAAAACUUUUGAAUCGGUAAAUAGAAAUUAUAUUGUUGAAAACCACCAAUAGAUGUACUGUGAAAUCAUAUUCCUUGCAUUUUCUUCGAAAAAAAACUUUUUUCGAAAAAACUUUCUUCAAAAAAAAAAAAAAAAUCAUUUCAAUGAAACAUUUAUCAUAUGGGUUUAAUGAGUAAAAUCACAAUUAUUAUAAAAAUUGGGUUUAAUAAGGAGAUAUUAGGUAUAUAAGUGGGUUUAUUGAGUAAAAUUUAAAAUGUAAAAAUUUAAGGUUGGAUUUAUUUAGUAAAUGAGUUUAAUGAGUAAUUUAGUGGGUUCAAAUAACUUCACCCAAACACUAAUUUACUGUAUGGCAUAUACGCGCUGUCACGCAUGCCUGACGUGUUUCUAUUAGCAGAGUUGUAGGGCCUACCCCACAACUCCAUCUUUCUUUCGUAAUAAUAAUAAUAAUAAUAAUAAUAAUAAUAAUAAUAAUAAUUACAACGGGUAAUUUUUAAAAACCUCCCCUGAGGUUUGGGCUUAUUGCAAGUAGAUGGCGAGAAUCUGUUUAUUUGUAAAAAUCCCCUACCGUUAGUUACUUUUAACAUUGACCGUUAGUUGACUGUGUAAAGACAAUAUUACCCUUAACAACAGUUUGUAGAUGAAAUUAACUAAAAAAAAAACUAAAAUUAUUGGCUAUUUUACCCUCUUUAAAUUAUUAAUAUUUUCUUAAAGUUCCUACAAGAAAAAUAAAAUUAAAAAAUUGAAAAAUUAUCUUUAAAUUAUUGAUAUUUUUUUAAAGUUCCUACAAGAAAGAUAAAAUUAAAAACUUGAAAAUGAAAUAGUCAUAAUUUUUACCUAUAAUAUUGUAAAUCUUUGAAAUUGACAAGGAUAAAAUUAUCAAAAAAUAGGGAUUGUGCUUUUCGCGCCAAUAAUUUUAAUUUUUUUUUAGUUAUGUCAGUCUACAAAUUGUUGUUAAGGAUAAUAUUGUCUUUGCACAAUUAACUAACGGUCAAUGUUAAAAUUAACUGAUGGUAGGGGGUGUUUUACAAAUAAAUAGAUUCUCACCAUCUACUUGCAACAAGCCCAAAUCUCAGGGGAAUUUUUUAAAAAUUACCCUAAUUACAACAGCACCAAUAAUUUUUAGAAACGUGUGACAUGACAUGAGAAGUCCUCAUUCUUCUGCAUGUUGGUCGCUUUAAAAGUGUUGGUCGUCCGGGCCUCUCCAAAUUUCCAAUGCCGCAUUUCUCCAAGUCCGGUUAGGAUUAAAAUAAAAAAAAAGGGUGGGGUAAGCCAUUGUAUUUGGUGGUGAGAAAUUAAGAAAGCGAAAGAUAUUGACUGGAUUUGGACUGCAUUGAAACUGUUUCGAAUAAGUUCCAUCGCUUUUAAUGUUGAAGAACGUUUACUAAGAAAUUUGGGGUCGAUGGGGAUGGAUAAUCCCAAUCCCACCGAUGCUAACUCAUUUACAAUUAUCAGGAAAUUAAGCGAGUUCUCUUUGCCGUAUGGACUUCCCCAUUGGAAUCUGAAAGCUUCGACCUAAACAAAUCGUGGAAAGGGACUCCAGAAGCUUCGUGGCAUCCGCAUAAACAAUUUACAGUAAGAAACGAAAUUGAACAUGUUUAUCUAAAAUUGUCCCCAUUGCAUUAAUGCUACAAGCCUAGCACUCAAUAAUUAAAAAUUUUCUUCCACCGUGUCGAUUUCAUUUUAUGAAUAAUUAAUAUUAUUUUUAAACAAAUUAUUUAGUGCUAAUUAAUUCAAUCACAUAGUUGUAUACUAAACUAUAAUAAGUUUAAAAGUGUUGGUCGUCGGGGCCCGUUCCAAAUUUCCAAUGCCGCGUUUCUCCAAUCCUGUUAAAAUAAACAAAUAAAUAAAGUAAGCCAUUGCGUUUUGUGGUGAGAAAAAUUAAGAAAGCAAAAGAUAUUGACUGGAAUUGGACUGCAUGCAUGGAAACUGUUUCCAAUAAGUUUUAUCGCUAUUAAUAUUGAAGAACGUUUACCAAGAAAUUUGAGGUCAAGCUUGGAUGGGGAUGGAUCAUCCCAUUCCCACCGAUGCUAACUCAUUUACAAUUACCAUGAAAUUAAGCGACUUCACUUUGCCGUAUUGACUUCCCCAUUGAAAUCUGAAAGCUUCCACCUAAACAAAUCGUGGAAAGAGACUUCAGAAGCUGCGUGGCAUCCGCAUGCAAAAUUUACAGUAAGAAACGAAAUUGAACAUGUUUAUCUAGAUUUGUCCCUUCAUCUUCCAUUCCAUUGCAUUAAUGCUUGAAGCCUAGCAGGCUAGCACUCAGUAAUUAAAAUUUUCUUCCAUCGUGUCAAUUUCAUUUUAUGAAUAAUUAAUAUUAUUUUUAAACAAAUUAUUUAGCGCUAAUUAAUUCAAUCACAUAGUUGUAUACUAAACUAUGAUAAGUUUAAAGCCCGCCUCUCACCAUGCAAGUGAAACUGUAGAAAACAUAGCGCAUUAACACUUUUAUACCGUUCUGCUUAGUUUAUUCAAAUUCGUUAAUUGUAUCCUGGAAUUGGAGGAGCAAUGAGUAGUGACGAAGCUUCAAUUUUCUCAACUUUUCUGUUUUGUCUGUUGAAGUUUGUAUUCAUCACCAGUGAAAUUGAAGCAAGAAAACUUGAAGUAAAAAUGUGUUCUUCUUCUUGUGGAGAUGUCAAAAACAUAAGCUACCCUUUUCGCCGCAAGGGCGAUUCAGCUGGAUGCGGCCAUCCGGAGUUAGAACUUUCUUGCGAGAGCAACAAAACCAUCUUAGAAUUCAAUUUUGCAAAGUACUAUGUGAAGAGAAUUUCCUAUGAUAAUUGUACAAUCAGUGUUGUCGAUGUUAACUUAGCCUAUGGAAGCUGCAGCUUCCCAUCCACUUUUUUUUACCCACUUGGUUUAAUUUUCAGAUAUUAUUUUGAUUACAAUCUUAAUUCAUACGCCUAUUACGUGAAUUGCUCGAGUAAUAUUGUUGAUAAGGCGUAUGCGAAAGUUCCGUGUUUGAGUAACAAUCAGUCGAAUGUCUAUGUUUAUGUUGCAUAUGAUUUAAUCGCCACCAGAAUAUCACAUCUUCCAGACUCAUGCGCCUUCAUUUCAAAGGUUCCUGUAGUACUUAAUAGGAGCGUGGACAAACUUUCUUAUGAAGACCUCCGAAAAUCGCUGAAGUCAGGGUUCGAUCUUACAUG